RNAcentral lists this long non-coding RNA (120426 nucleotides) under Hordeum vulgare. RNAcentral describes it as "long non-coding RNA (HVUL_LNC014679)". The record is from RNAcentral. Lineage: Eukaryota; Viridiplantae; Streptophyta; Magnoliopsida; Poales; Poaceae.
GUGGGACAAGCACAAAACCUGAAAUGCAGGAACCGACAAGCAUAGAAUUAGUAGCGAGGAAUUGAUCAUUUCUGUGUGGCCAUCCCAACAGAAACUCAUUCAACAUGCUUACAAAUGUACACAAAAGCAACAUCUGAGACCAAGAUUUCUGUAGCUCUUCGUUGCCUAGAUCUGCUCAAGCACCUCGAGAACCACCUCCAUUGAGGGCCUGCUCCCAGGCUCCCCGGCAAGGCAGCUCAGCGCCACAUGCACUACCUGCAGGGCUUGUUUGGAGUUGUAUUGGCCCUCCAGCCGGCGGUCCAUAAGAUGAGCAUGCUUUCUACCGUCGGCCAAGGGCUUUGCCCAGUCAAUGAUGUUCGUUUGCCCCUUGGGACGGUUGGGAUCCCUAGCUCGCUUACCGGACAGGAUCUCCAGCAUCAUAAUCCCGAAACCGUAAACGUCACUUUGCGCAUAUAAAAGGCCUGGAUAUGGUUCACAGCAUGAAGUGAGAACAACCAUCAACUCCUAAGAAAAGCUACUAUAUGUAGCAACUUGUAGAUUCUAAAUUUUAAAAGAUUGAAUGGAGCUAGAAACUCAACAUUUAGUACAAAGAGCGAUUUAUUAUGAAAAAUUAUCCACUUGAAAAAUCUCAACUAUAAUAAAUGAUCACAAACCUAUUUGAUGCAAAACUUCAAAUUUGGAAAUAUACGAUGAGUGAGAAGGACACAUACCACUUAUGACAUAUUCCGGAGCUGCAUACCCGUGGUUGCGCGUGGGCAUGACAGUCAUACGUGAGUUGCCAGUUGACCCAAGCUUAGCAAGCCCAAAAUCAGAGAGCUUUGCGUUAUAGUGCUGCGCAGCAAAAUACGGUCAAAAUUUGAUCUUGAUAAAUAGGCAACACAUAAAAGAUACGUUGCAGGGUAGGAUGCUUACUGCAUCUAGAAGAAUCUUGGAAGCCUUGAAGUCACGGUACAUGGCUUGCUUCUCUGAUGCAUGCAAGAAGGCAAGUCCUCGAGCUGCGCCGAUGGCAAUCUUCAGCCUCAGUUCCCAUGAUAGUGGAGGACGUCUUCCUGAAACUAAUUGCAAUUGACUCCGGCUUCAGUGUCAGUACUUUUCAGUCAAUUGGUUUUUCAAGAGUUGCAAUCUCUUCUAGAAUCAGUAUUGCAGAGAUGCAGGAUGAACCAUUUUUUUAAAGUAAAACCCUAGAAGAAAGGAUGAAACAAAUGGUGGUCAGCAACAACUCACAUGCGAAUAGAUGGUCUUUUAAGCUCCCUUGGGCCAUGAAGUCGUGCACAAGGAAUAGUUCCUUGCCCUCCCAGCAGUAGCCCAGUAGCUUGACAAGGUUUGGGUGAGAGAACUUUCCCAAAAGGUUUAUGUCCGAUUGCAAGUUGACAACCAGAAAUUUCUGUUACGCACGGUAGUUGCAGCCACAUUUAGGAGCGAUGACUCUGUUGGAAUCUCAAAAUUCAUGACUUAUUUAAUCAGUAAUUAAGGGCAAGAUUUUACCUGCCAUUCCUCUUUUCCCUGCAUGACAGCAACAGCCAUGCCGGUGCCACUCGUUGUCGGGUUCAUCGUCUUCUCAUCGACCCAUGCUUUGUACACCGACCCNNNNNNNNNNNNNNNNNNNNNNNNNNNNNNNNNNNNNNNNNNNNNNNNNNNNNNNNNNNNNNNNNNNNNNNNNNNNNNNNNNNNNNNNNNNNNNNNNNNNAUGUCUGACUUGGGUGAACUACACCACUUUCUUGGGAUCAAUGUCACCCCCAACUCCUCGGGUCUAUUUCUGUGCCAAUAACAGUACACCCUUGAGAUUCUUGAGAGAGCCAAAAUUCUCAACUAUAAGCCGGUUUCCACACCCAUUAACACUAGCUCCAAGCUAUCUUCCUCCUCGGGUGCUGUUCUUUUCAAUCCCACCAAAUACCGGAGCUUAGCCUGCGCAUUGCAAUACCUCACACUAACCAGGCCCGACAUCUCUUAUGCGGUCCAACAGGUGUGCUUGUUUAUGCAUGAACCUCGUGACGUUCACAUGCAGCUCGUCAAACGAAUCCUACGAUAUCUUCAUGGAACCUCUCACUACGACAUUCAGCUAUACAAAGCAUCUACCUCCGAUCUACUUGCAUAUACCGAUGCCGAUUGGGACGGAUGCCCGGACACCCGUCGCUCCAUGUCUGGGUUUUGUGUCUUCCUCGGCUCCAACAUCGUCUCAUGGUCAUCCAAGCGCCAGCCCACCGUCUCCAGAUCAAGUGCUGAAGCGAGAGAGAGAGAGAGAGAGAGAGGGAGAGGGAGAGAGAGAGAGGGAGNNNNNNNNNNNNNNNNNNNNNNNNNNNNNNNNNNNNNNNNNNNNNNNNNNNNNNNNNNNNNNNNNNNNNNNNNNNNNNNNNNNNNNNNNNNNNNNNNNNNNNNNNNNNNNNNNNNNNNNNNNNNNNNNNNNNNNNNNNNNNNNNNNNNNNNNNNNNNNNNNNNNNNNNNNNNNNNNNNNNNNNNNNNNNNNNNNNNNNNNNNNNNNNNNNNNNNNNNNNNNNNNNNNNNNNNNNNNNNNNNNNNNNNNNNNNNNNNNNNNNNNNNNNNNNNNNNNNNNNNNNNNNNNNNNNNNNNNAGAGGAAGAAGAAGAGAUAGAGGGGGGGGGGGAGAGGGAGAGGGAGGGAGAGAGAGAGAGAGNNNNNNNNNNNNNNNNNNNNNNNNNNNNNNNNNNNNNNNNNNNNNNNNNNNNNNNNNNNNNNNNNNNNNNNNNNNNNNNNNNNNNNNNNNNNNNNNNNNNAAAGACGACUUGAGACAGAUGAGAUAACUCCGGAAAGAAUUGAGAGAAUGAUCUGCAAAAUUAGAGAGGAUUGAAUUCACUGAAGAGAAACACACCGGUUGAAUGGAAUUGAUACGAUGACUCCGGUUGAAAGGAAUUGAUAAGACAAUUGAUAGAGCAAAAGAAUUAAUACUCUCAUAAAAAUAUGAGAACACCUCUUAGAAAAGAUCUGAAAUCACCACUUGACAUCGAAGCAACUUGAAUUACCAUAUUCCAACAAAGGGUACGGCUUGCAAUUAGCCAGAACAAACUCAUGAGAAAGAUUUCGUCCGAUAUUUUCGUGGACAGGAAUCCACUAGAUGUCGAACCCCAACCUAACAUCAUGCAUUUGUUGGAAGAUUGUCCUAUAAGAAACUACUUGAAUUCCCACCUAUGAAUUCCCGAAAUAUCUGGUCAUGCAAUAUGGUACACGGAUACAAGGAGUAAUAUCACACAACUCCUAUACUAACCCGUCACCUGUAUCACAUCCGUCAACACACGACCAGAAUCUCGGACCUUCAUUUACAACAGACCCUCGUGAUCACAACGAUACAAAGUAUGGCAGUACUCCCGAACAAUCUGCACCAGUACUGGGGACAUCGGGGUUAUCUCUCCACUACUAGUAUUGAAGCAAUUACGAACAUCCUUCGUUCUGAGAUACUAAGAAAUCUGAAUGAUAACGAUGUGCUCAAGAAUCCCCUGGAGCUCAACUCCCCUGAAACUCAAAGCAGAUAGGAGGCACCAAGACAGAACUCUGUCACAUCGGCAUCAUAUAGAUCACAAGAAUAUCCGCGUGAUCCUAAUUUUUUUUGGGUGAGAAGAGGAGUAGAAUUAAAAUAUUACGUCAAGAUUCCUCACCAGAGCAUAGAAGAGGAGAAAAAAGAAUCCUACUCUCCGAUAUAUAACUAGACUCAAAGCAGUUUUUUCACUAGACUUGACUCGGUCAAGUUCGAUCAAUCAAGGGGGCUCCUAGGUCGGUACUACUCUGAUACCAACUUGUCACGCCCAAGAUGCGACCCUAUCCUCAAUUUGGCACGAAGGCCUCGUCAGGGAUAGAAGCGCAUCUCGUAGUGUCGCAAGAAUGGAUAUUGUUACAAGUACAUGUACUGAAAAGAUGAGAUAUAUAUAGAAUUGGCUUACACUCUCCACAAGCUACAUCAGAGUCACAUGAGUACUUUACAUAAUCAUCAAGAGUAAGAGCAGGGUCCGACUAUGGACGAAAACAAACGAGAAAAAUAAGAAUGACGUCCAUCCUUGCUAUCCCAGGCUGCCGGUCUGGAACCCAUCCUAGAUCGAUGAUGAAGAAGAAGAAGAAUCAACUCCAAAUGAAAAAUCAACGCGCUCACGUCAAGUAACCUUUACCUGUACCUGCAACUGGUGUUGUAGUAAUCUGUGAGCCACAGGGGACUCAGCAAUCUCAUUUCCAAAGGUAUCAAGACUAGCAAAGCUUAAUGGGUGGGGUAUGGUUAAGUGGUGAGGUUGCAGCAGCGGCUAAGCAUAUAUUUGGUGGCUAAACUUACGAGUACAAGAAAUAAGAGGGGGAAGUUCUAAGCAUAGCGGAUGUGAACUACUGAUGAUCAAAUGAAUGAUCCUGAACACCAACCUACGUCAGACAUAACCCCACCGUGUCCUCGAUCGGAGAAGGAACUCACGAAAGAGACAGUCACGGUUACGCACACAGUUGGCAUAUUUUAAUUAAGUUAAUUUCAAGUUAUCUAGAACCAGUGUUAAACAAAGUUUCUACGUUGCCACAUAACCGCGGGCAUGGCUUUACGAAAAUAUUUAACCCUGUAGGGGUGCUCCAACUAGUCCAUCACAAAUUACCACAAGCCGCAUAGAAAUCCUCAAUCACGAAGCUCGCGAUCUCGUCGGAUUCCCUAGUGGAAAACCUCAACUCUGAGAUUACCCAAAGCAUCACCGGAAUCCCGAUGCACAAGAUAUCUCGUCAAAGGUAAAACUAAUCCAGCAAGGCCGCCCGGCGUGUCGACGAUCCCGAUAGGAGCCGCGUAUCUCGUUCUCAGGACACGACGGAUAAGCUACACGUACGAGUGUCAAACCUCGAGUUUCCUCGCGGUGGCCCCGCACAGUGCUCUGUUUUGGACCAGCACCAUCAGCACUGGACCUACCUGUAUUAUGUAGAAUUACUCCUCGGGUAGCGCUAACUCCCUAUGCAUUUCAAUUUAACAGAAUUAUUAUGUUGGGCAAAUGUAGUACCAAUGUUGGGCCUUGCCAGGCCAGCUUUUAACUAAAACGAAUUAUCAAGGGGGUCCCCAUAACAACCCCAAUCGUGUUAGGAGCGCUAAAUUAUGGAACAUAACACCGGUAGCCGAAACUAAGGGGGCAAAGGUGAAACAAAACACGAGGCUAGAAAGGCCGAGCCUUUCACCUUUUACCAAGUAUAUAGGUGCAUUAAAUUAAAGGGAUUAUUCCAUCUGUGCCCCCAAUUCCUUAGUUGUGCUCACUUUUCCCCACGCUUCAAACUUUUGCUCACUUUUCCCCUCUCCCUUAGCUGAAACUCUCACAGAUGUUGAUAACAGGCGUUUGCUGUCUUGGCCAUUAACUGACUUGUGGGGCCAUGUUGAACUCUGUUGACUCUGGCUGUGGCUUCGCUGGUCGGGCCGUGUUUGUGUUCAUAGGACGGGCCCGUUAGUUUUUUGGUAAUAAAUUAAAAAAGCCUACUAUCGGUGGAUGCAUCCUGCUAUGCAUGCCCGUCUUUGGAAUCGAUGUAGCCUGCUAUGCAUGCCCGUCUUUGGCAUCGAUGUAGCCUGCUAUGCGUGCCAACACCGCCACGCACGCAGCUAGUGACCUAGACCUAAACGCAUGCAUGCACGUCGACACACACGCAUUGAUCCGUGCCGCACGGUUGCCAGUGGAUUCAGUCACUCCGCAACGUCGUUUCACGUGUCGCAGACAUACGUGCCGGUGGCAGAAGGGACAGGCUGCACGCACGCUCGCACGCUCAUGUCCAUAUGUCGAGGCAUCAGUUCACGCCGCACGGCUGCCACUCGAUUCAGUUGUGCCGGUGGCAGAAGGGGCAUGCAGAAGGGGGAGGCAGGCAGCCGCCAACGCAGCAGGAGGAGGCAGCCGCCAACACACAGCAUGCAGAGCCGCCAACGCAGAGCACGCUCGCUUUGAUUCACGUUCACACAUUGAUGAUCGCAUCGGUUCACGCAGCAGCACUGAGUCAAGAUCUACGCCGUUUGCGCGUGUACCCACUUCGUCUCCCCCGGCUAUUUAAACUGCCCUUCAUUGCCUCUUCUUCUACAGAUCCAUCUGCGCCUCCCACUUCUCUUCUUCCCCCAAGAGCCAGAGCGNNNNNNNNNNNNNNNNNNNNNNNNNNNNNNNNCUCAGCGAAGCGUUCAAGAUGCAGUUCUACAGCCCAACGUUCCAAGGGCCUCCCACCGUGCCGGAACGGCGGUACCCCGCCAACGUCGUCGUCGAGGAAUCGCUCCGCGUGUGGGCGUUCUCACGCUGGAGGGGUAGCACUGAGCUUGCACGGGGGUUCCUCCGUGCGGGCUUCCACCACCUCCCGGCGGGCUCGCCGCCCAUGUUCAACCUCGUGGAGCAGCGUCCCCACGCCAACGCUCCACCGGUAGGGCUCGUCGUCCACUUCACCAACAGGUUCGAUGCCUACCACCUGCUCGGCAAGGUGUAUUGGUGUGGGUGCGAGUUCAUCGCAUUCACCACCUAUAACAUCUUCACCGACUUCGAGAGCAUCUUCCCCGCUCGCAACCGCAUGCACAGCCUCCCGUACCACCUCGGCGACAACGGCCUUGAGGAGGAGGAGUACUGAAGCCGGCGGCGAAGAAGACGGUGAAGCCGGCGGUGAAGACAUGGCGCUGUUGCCCUAGCUACCCUAUCUAGUAGUAUGUAGUAUUAGUUUGGUGUGUGUGUUGCCCGACCGAGCUACUAAUUAUUAUUAUCUAUGUAAGAAAUUGGUGUCUAUGUCCCAAGAACUUAUAUAUGUUGCCCUAGCAACCCUAUCUAAGUUAUAUUAAGUUAUGUGUGUUAUAUUAAUGCUUUGUUAUGUCUGUAUUUUGUUUGUCCCAAGUUUAGACACGGCUAAUUGGUGUGGGAAAAAUUAACCAAACUAACUAAAAAGGAUGUGUUUAUAGAUGCCUUCUAAAAAUAAGAACAUAUUGUACAUUUCUACACGGCUUUGGUUUGCUGAGCUCUGUAUUUUUUAGGUAUUCCAAGAAUACUUUGGUUUUUAGAAAUAUUGAAGUAUCAAAUACAUUGAGAUGUUUGGCUUUAGUCAAAAGUGUAGUUUUAUAUACUUUAAUCCCUACUUUAAUAUGUAGAAAACUACACUACGUUUGAAGUAUGGUUGGACCUCUUUUUCCAAUCAUGAAGUAUAAAUUACACUAUGUAGAAAACUACACUUUGAGAUGUUUGGCUUUAGUCAAAAGGAUAAAUGAAGGGACCCAUAAAGGAAAGCCAAACAAAUUCCUCAAUGAGAUAGAAGAGAUUGGGCAAUCAAAUUAAUGAAAAAAGCAAUCAAAAAAAAACAAAGCAAUCGUUCCUAAACAAAAAAAAGAAACAUCACUUGUUUCUGGGCCUCAUUUAUCCUUUGUGGGCCUAUUGCAGCUUGAUUCUCUUUGGGCCCGCAAACUAGGUUUUUUUUCUAGCAGAACUGAUGAACUCGAGGACAAAAGUUUGGCAAGUGCGAGAGAGAAGAGAUGAACUUGAUGUAUAUCCCUCGUGCUGCUCAAGUACUGCUUACUGUCAUCUGACGAGCUAGCGCAUGACCCAACACUCGAGGUUAUUAGCUAACAAAAUAAUCGUAUCACUGAACUGGUAGUUCUCUUCUGUCGAAACUGAAAGUGUCGAAACUUAACAGUAAACUGCAUACAUUCAGAGAUCGACAGUUGCACUAAACAGAGUUGCAUUUGAGAUAAACAUACGAGGAUUGCUAAACAGUGGCAACAACAGUAGACAAACAUCUCUAACGAGAGAUGGCCAUCAAGUAAAAAAUUCCUAGAGCAAGUAUUCCUAAAGCUAUCAGAUUGGAUUGCUUCUUCAACUCAAUCAGCUGCUUGAAGUUCUUUUUCAUCUUCUUCAAUUCCGUCUUCAGUUCGACAUCUACCACCGUCGGGUAUUCCGGACGCGCUGCUGCUGCCGGAGCGGCACUGUCAUGGGGCAGAUUGAACUCGCGGAUUGCAUCCCCCCUCAAAUCCAGCAAGCCCAACCCUUGAAGCCUUUGGAUGUAAUCAUCCAUCCACUCGAAAUGGUGGCAUUUCUUCACAAUCUGAAAACGAAAUCAUGUAACCUAAAUCCAAAUCUGACAGAGAUAAAGGAUGCGAGGAAAACUUAGAUCUAACCUGCCCCUCCGGCUUGCUCUCGCAUUUGACGAACUCGCGCCCAAAGUUCCCAUUCUUCUCCUCCUUCAAAGUCAACCGCUUCAGUGGCGCAAUCCGUGGGCAGUCAGUGCAUCGAGUCAUCGGCACUGGACCAUACACCGGCCACGUGGAACGGGGGGCUGACGAGGAGGCACUUGACGACCAUUUGACGGUCAUCUAUGGGUUCAGUAAUCUUUAAAGGCACAAUUGGAACAAUUACCCCCUCCUCUUCCUCUCUUAUAGCUUCAAAACCAUCAAAGGCCAUGGUUUCAAAAUCUUCUGCUUCAUUUGCUGCUGCAUUCUCCACUGCAUCUUCAAUCUCCAUUGCUGCUGCAUUCUCCACUGCAUCUUCAAUCUCCAUUGCUGUUGCAUUCUCCUCAGCAUUGGCUGAUGUCCAUCUUUCCUCCUCUCCAAAUGAUGCAUCCACUGCAUUGGUACAAAGCCUAGCAAUAUGCCCCAGAACUCCACACUUUUUGCAAGCACGUUUCUUUGGUAGACGACCCUCCUCACCUGCUCUAAUCCUCUGGUUCGUUGGUCUUCCUGGUGGUCUAGUAAUGAAAGGAGCGUGGAGUUUGAACCCUGGAUCUACUAUGUUCCAUUGAUCUUUCCCCAAUAGUGCAGGCACAUUGUCAGCAUAAGCAGCCAUAAAUUUGGCAACAGAGAAAUACUCAGAGCAAUAUUGAUCAACUUCACCAUCUGCACCCCCGAUAACGGUCAUCAGAUGUAGGGCAUGUAUGCAUGGCUUCCCACGGAUCUGCCAUUGCCUACAAGUACAUUCUCUAGUACUUAGGUUCACAGGAUACCUCCAUACCCUAUUUUUAGUGUCAGUAUAGGUAACCUCUGCCUCAUAUGUACCAGAUCUAAUACAUUUCAUCUUCAGGCCUCUUGCCUUCAAGUGCAAUGCCUUAAUCAGUGAUGGGAGCAUUUGAUGACCAACAUAUUGUGUUUCUGCAAUUCUUUUGCGAAGAGCCAUCUUUAUCGUGAUCAUUUGCCUCAUCUUGUCAAAUGCUUGCCACAACAAGAGCCCUUUCACUGACUUGAACUUUGAAUUGAAGCACUCUGCAAGGUUACUGGUCACAUAAUCUACUUUGCAGAUUUCGUUGAAUUUGCUUAUUGACCACACCUUACCAUGAUGUGCAUCCAUGUACUCUUUCACAAGAGGAUUUUGAGCAUACAACACUCUCAAAUGGUGUUCAUGCUUCCUUUUGCUGCAUGUGUAUGAUGCUGGCCAUAAGUUCUCAUUAGAAACUUUACCUUUGAACUUCUUUUUGAAAUAUGCGCUAGGUGUCGCAUACAUUCCCUAUGCUCCACUCCAGGGAAUACAAUUUCCACUGCACUCUCUAAACCCUUGCAAGCAUCUGUGUGUAUAGCCAAACCUGGGGGUGUGCCUAUAAUGUUGCGCAACUGCUGCAGAAACCAGACCCAACUUUCCUCAGACUCUGCCUCCACCACACCAAAUGCAACUGGGAAUAGCCAGUUGUGUCCAUCAACUGCAGAAGCUGCUACUAGCUGUCCUCUCCAUCUUCCAGUCAAAUGUGUAGCAUCUACAGCCAAAUAGGGCCUGCAACCAUCUAGAAACCCCUGCCAGCAAGCCUUGAAACAAACAAAAACCCUUCUGAAUCACUCCUUCUGAAAUGACUUCCCUUUUAUUUUGAAUUGAACUGUAUGCUUGUCAAUCUCUACAACACUCCCUGGACUUGCCAUCUCCACUUCAGCUUUGAAAGUGUAAAGCAGCUGAAAACUGUCAUUCCAUUGACCAUUAAUUCUGUCAAGAGCCAUUUCCCUAGCAUUGAAAAUUCUCAUGUAAGGAAUUUCUAUCUUGUACUUCUCAAAAAGCUUCCCAUGGAGUGCUGUUGGACCAAGUCCAGGUUCUUCUCUCAGCCAAUCCAAUAUAGCAUUUGCCACCCACCUAGUUUUUGCUAGCUUGGUUUUGGCCUUCCCCCCUCCCCCUCCAGGUGGACAGGUGUGCUUGUGUGGGUUUUUCUUUAUCUGAAACAAAAUAAAAGGGUAAAAAAUAGUUAAGAAACCUAACUCAACAAUCUGAAACUAAAUUACUAACUGAACUUGGAUUACCUGAAUAUAUUUGCUCUUUCUCAUACAAGAUGCAUGCAACUUCCACCUACACCUAGGAUAUGGACAAAAAACCGUGAACCUUGCUGGCUCACUCCUUUUAAUCUUAUAGAUGUAUUCAGAUAUAAUGCACCAUGUUGUCACUGCAUUCCGACAGUCCACCAUUGAUUGGAAAAUGGUACCUACACUAAGCUCAGGUUUUUCCCUGUUCCACUCAAUUGUUGGCAUGUCAUCACCAUCGUAUUCAUCCUCGAUUAAGCUGUCCAUGUUCUCCACCUUCUCUUCAUCGUGAGUGUCAUCAAACCUAGCUUGGCUGAUGGGCUCCUCCAUAUAUUCGUCAUCCACUGCUUGCUGACUGGCUACAUCGACCAGUUCAGGAAACAUCAUCUCGUCUUCAUCAUCAUUUGUAGGCACUGCCUCGUCAGGUUCUGCAUCCUCUUCUACACCAACUGCAGAAGGCACACGAGAAGCAGCAGCUGAAUCGGAACCACAAUUGGUAGCAGCCAUGUUGUGGCUCCAUGAACCACUUGCUUUACUUGGUGUCGACCUACAAGGAGUGUCGGGGUGCUGGCUAUUAGCACAGGCAGAUGAUGUCUGAACUCCCUUCCCCUUCACCCGUUCUGCGCGUGGCUGAAGCACAUCGAUUUGGAGUUUACCGAAUCGGCAGCCAGCAAUCCCAGCAAAAAGCAACGGCAUAUGAUCAUCGCAAGUUAGUGGGAGAAAUCUUUGCUCGUCACUGCUGAAGUAAUUCAGUUCAACAGCAUCGGCAUCACUCCAGGGAUAUGUGUUUCUGAGCUCAGCUUGCAAAUCUUUGAAACAUAUGCUGGUUUCUACCACUUUGAGAUAGAAAAAUGAUGAAAUCAAAUGCGGUUUAGUACCACGCAGCACACUAGUUUCCAUUCUAAUCGCCAGCCGGAAAGCCAGCGCGGGAUCAAUCCUAUUUUGUUGAAGGAAAUAAAGGCUUCAGUUAGCCGGGUAAAAUCGAGCACAAAAUCAAACGAUUCAAGCAAACAGAAGCCAAAUACGGCCUACAAUACGACUUAGAACGUCAAGUCGAGAGGAAACAAUGCUUACCCAGGUUUAAUCCAUGAAUUAUCUGCCGCGGAUUCGACCCAAUCCUCUCCACGGGCGACUGCAUUCCGGGCGUCCUCACUCAACAUCGCCAUGUAAUCCUAGUUGGCGACGUCACCGACGAACGGAAUAGGGGCAUAGGGUGGAGGAAACAACUGCGGUGGACGCGGCAUGACACCGGCAGAGGAGGCGGGGCGGCGCGGUGCAGUGCGGCCUGUCUAGAUAUGUUUCAGAUUUAGACAAGCUGCCCAAUACGUGUCUCCUUGCGGUCCCACCCGUCAGCAAGGAACGGUCAAUGGACGGUCAAGACAACAAACGGCCGCUAUGAGCAUUUGUGAGAGUUUUAGCUAAGGAAGAGGGGAAAAGUGAACAAAAGUUUGGAGCGUGGGGAAAAGUGAGCACAACUAAGGAACCAGGGGCACUAAUUUAAAUAUCCCUAAAUUAAAUAGCAUUUAAUAGGGUGAUAUAACAAGGAACCCAUGUUUUCACAUGGAAGCAACUGCACCUGCAACUAGCAACGCUAACACAAGGUUAAGCAAGCGGUAACAUAGCCAAUUAGUGGUUUGCUAGGUUGAACAGGUUGAAGGUUAUCAUGACAUUGUUGAGGGGCUGAUAUUUAACAUGUGGUAGGCAACGAGACAUAAUCGGUAGAAACGGUAAAACUAGCAUGGCAAUGAUAGUAAUGGUAUCUGGGGAAAUGGUCAUCUUGCCUGAGAUCCCGCUUGGAAGAAGAAUGACUCCGUGAAGCAGACGAACCGACGUAGUCGAAUGGGUCCUGACAAUCCGGCACGCUGCGGAACUCUAUCGAGAUGGAGGAAACCGGAAACACAAAUCAACACACGGAAUACACCACAUGAUGCACAACACAAAUGAUGCAUGAGCAACUGAUACAUGCAAGUCACGGCAUGACAAAUCACACACUCAAACACUACACAUUAAGUGAAGUUCAAUAUGCAACUCGUUGCAUAUUGACGAAACUCCACGUUAAUUUAUUUAGUUCUAUCCCUAUUAGGUACACGACAAUAUUAAAUGUGGUUAAACAUGGCAAGAGGUGAAGCAUAAUUAAACUACCUAUCUAGGCAUUUUAAAUUAGGUCGGAAAUGACAUAUAGCACCUCCGAAACGACCUCACAUGUUAAUUUACAAUUUUGUCCAGAUCUGAACUAACACAUUUAAUUAGUUGUUAAACAGCAAAACAAAUAUGUUCACGUGAUUCUACGCGUCAAGACAAGCAAUCUACACAUAGAGAUCAUCUCCAACGGAGCUACGGUUCAAAAGAUACAAGCAUCGCAAGAUAUGAUGACAUGAAUACAAUAUGUGUGCAACGACGGUCAUGAGCACUUCAAAACAUACAACCAGCAAGAGGAAAUGAAACUACACGAGAUUCUAAGCAAGUUUCAUGUAGGACACGAUCAAAUAUGAGCUACGGUUCAUAAACUACGAGCAAAAGAAGAUAUUACUACAAUCUGCCAAAAUCAGCCACAUAGCAUCUUCUACGCCCCACAACUACGGGCUACACAACUCCGAUAAACUCAAGCAAGGCAUGACAUGAAAGAGGGCAAGAAGCACUACUAUAAACAACUAACAACAACUAACAUGGCAGCAAGGANNNNNNNNNNNNNNNNNNNNNNNNNNNNNNNNNNNNNNNCUAGGAAAAGAAGUCACAAAAUGGCAUCCCACACACUAUUUCAGACUUAGUGAAAAUUACACCUCAUGAAAGUGCAGUUUUCGAUCUGAAGCAAUUUUUACAGAAGCAAAACCAUAAGCUACAGGACUCCAAAUGGCAUGAAAAUUCACAGCAUGCUAUAGAAACACAAGGGCUACAACUAACUCCAUUGGACCAACCCCAAAAGAGCUACAGAUCAAAAGAUACAAGCAAGACAAGACAGCAAGAAAAUAUAACAGAUCUCAGACUUAGAAAUAUUUCAGCUCCUUCAAAUCAACAUUAUUUCUAGCAACUUGAGAGCAAGAAGACCACACCUAAACAUGCAUUUCUAUUGCAACCAAAAAUACCAGGGGCUAGAGUAAACAUCAAAGAUCAACUCUCUAGUUGACAACUCCUUCAAACGAAGCACGGAGUAAUUCCUACGAAUUAAACAAAAGGGCAUCACGGCAAAAUAUCGCGCGAACUAAUUUUCUCAAAAGCUAAAACUAAUUGCACAGAAAAAUCCGAAAACAUAUAAAACAUGUGGGGUUGCAACACAAAAAUAAUGUCACACAUAAAUGCGAGAUAACGACCUAAACACGGAAAAUAAACUAGCGGCAAAUCCCUACGUGCAAAAAUACCAAUGACUACUCUAAAAUACAUGGAAAAUAGGUUCCUAAAACAUGGACAUUUUAUCUAAGGCAUUCGGGCUAUUCAAACAUGCGCGGAAAAUAACUACGGAACGCAAACCUAUUAGGACAGCACGCAUUUCUAGGCAAACAGUGGGUCAAACCACAUCAAACAUUUGGGCAAGUUGCAAAAACGGAUUCUACGCGAAAAACUACAUGAAAACCAUAUGCUACAUGUUGCGAUCCGAAUUACGGAAUAAAAGAUACGAGCGUUUUAAUAACCGUCUAUUUUUCUGGAAUUUAAAUAAUUUCGAAAACCAUCUAUAUUAUCGACGGGCCGAAUCUAUCUAAUUGGGCCUACAGUGCCAUGGGCGCCACUUCAAUAAAACUGCACGCGGGUGAGAAAUAGUGAUAGAGGCGGGGCUUACCACCUUGGGCCGGCCCGGAGGUGCUGUGGAGACGAGGUGAUGGUGGGCCGACUCGGGGGGGGGGGGGGGCUCGCCAGGCNNNNNCCGGGGGGGGGGGGGUGCGCUCGCCAGGCGCGGCCCAUGGGCUACGCCGCCACGGGGUCAACGGGGAACGCGGGAUCCCGGUCUGGAUCGGGACUGGAUGACGGCGGCCGGCGACCUGGGCAGUUGCGGCGGCUGGCGGCUCCGGCAGCGCAGCGUCGUGGCUGCCAGCGUGCGCAGCUGAGGGCACGAGGCGGCCACCGAGCUCCACGGCGGCGGGGACCUGCGGGAGAGAGAGGCACCGCGGAUUAGGGAGAGAAGGAGAGCGAAGACUAGAGAGAGGAGCGGGGCGAGGCUCGCCGGCGCGACAGGGAGGCGAGGGAGCUUCACGGCGGCGGGCUGGCGACUCCGGCGGCGGCCGAUGCCCAGCGGUGAGGUGCUCCGCGGCGGCGCGNNNNNNNNNNNNNNNNNNNNNNNNNNNNNNNNNNNNNNNNNNNNNNNNNNNNNNNNNNNNNNNNNNNNNNNNNNNNNNNNNNNNNNNNNNNNNNNNNNNNNNNNNNNNNNNNNNNNNNNNNNNNNNNNNNNNNNNNNNNNNNNNNNNNNNNNNNNNNNNNNNNNNNNNNNNGGGGAAGGCUAGGGUUUCGGAUGCGGAUCCCGAGGUGGAAGGGGGGCUGUCUAAAAAUGUACAUGGGAACUAUAUAUAGACAAAUGGGGGGGCUAGGUUUGGCGAAAUUUUGACACAGAUCCAACCGCGCGGUCGAAUUCGGACGAUUCCGAACGCGGGAAUGGUUACGAGGCCGUGUAGAGUGGAUAUCCGGAGACGAGAGGGAGAACGGGCGGCGCGGCAACGAAUUUUAAAACACCGACACACGUCCGACAAAUAACCGUAGACGGUGUCGCUACGGUCGACCGUUCGGGUACCAGACGGACUCCGAUCACGACGAAAUUCGACAGACGGCCUAGCUAUAACUAAUCACGACCGCUUGCCAAGUUUCAUCUCGAUCAGAGAAAGUUUUACGCACACUUUUAAAACAGGGUUCGAACGAUGCCGCGGGCGCGUGCAUGUGCGGUCGGGCUCAGAACGGACAACGACGAGAACCGGUAACUACUAAUGGAUGCAAGUUUUGAAAAAAUGGCGGCAAUGGGGUGCCGAUGCAAUGCUGAUGAUGUGCAUGAUGCGAUGAUGGCGCGACAAAAUAAAAUAGACACACGACGAAAACGGAAAGAAAAGGGGAAUCUUCUGGAACGUCGGCAUCGGGCUGUCACAAGGGGGGAGGCGGCAGUGGGCAAGCUUGUGGCCACCCUGGCUGCCCCCUGACCUAGAUCUUGCGCCUAUAUAUUCCCAAAUAUUCCGCAAAAAAUAAGGGGAGCCUCGAAAAUACUUUUCCGCCGCCGCAAGCUUCCGUUUCCGCGAGAUCUCAUCUGGAGACCCUUCCCGGCGCCCUGCCGGAGGGGACUUUGGAGGUGGAGGGCUUCUACAUCAUCAUCAUCGCCCCUCUAAUGACUCGUGAGUAGUUCACUUCCGACCUACGGGUCCGUAGUUAGUAGCUAGAUGGCUACUUCUCUCUCUUGGAUCUUCAAUACAAAGUUCUCCAUGAUCUUCAUGGAGAUCUAUCCGAUGUAAUCUUCUUUGGCGGUGUGUUUGUCGAGAUCCGAUGAAUUGUGGACUUGUGAUCAGAUUAUCUAUGAUAUAUAUUUGAGUCUUUGCUGAUUUCUUUUAUGUAUGAUUUGAUAUCCUUGUAAGCCUCUCCGAGUCUUGGGUUUUGUUUAGCCAACUAGAUCUAUGAUUCUUCCAAUGGGAGAAGUGCUUGGUUUUGGGUUCUGCCAUGUGGUGACCUUUCCAAGUGACAGUAGGAGCAGCAAGGCACACAUCAAGCAGUUGCCAUCAAGGGUAAUAAGAUGGGGUUUUUAUCAUUGGUUUGAGAUUAUCCCUCUACAUCAUGUCAUCUUGCUUAAGGCGUUACUCUGUUCUUAUGGACUUAAUACACUAGAUGCAUGCUGGAUAGCGGUCGAUGUGUGGAGUAAUAGUAGUAGAUGCAAAAAGUAUCGGUGUACUUAUUUCGGACGUGAUGCCUAUAGAAAUAAUCAUUGCAUAGAUAUCGUCACGGCUCUGCACAGUUCUGUCAAUUGCUCGACAGUAAUUUGUUCACCCACCGUCCACUUGCUUUCAUGAGAGAAGCCACUAGUAAACACUGCGGCCCCCGGGUCUAUUCACAUCCAUCGUUUACAUCUCCGCUUUUACUUUGCUUUGUUACUUUGUUGCUUUCAGUUCUCACUUGGCAAACAAUCUAUAAGGGAUUGACAACCCCUUCAUAGUGUUGGGUGCAAGCUUUUGUGUUUGUGCAGGAUCUUGAGAUACUCUUCCGCCGGAUUGAUACCUUGGUUCUCAAACUGAGGAAAUACUUACCGUCGCUGUGCUACAUCACCCUUUCUGCUUCGAGGGAACACCAACGCAAGGCUCCAAGGCCACGGGGGAAAUCCUUUGCAUACUUGCCUAGGAAGUCCCUUAAGGCGUAUCCACGACUGAAGGAUUCCUGGUGCCGUUGCUGAGGAGUAUCAAGCAACACUCCUAUUUCUGGCGCCGUUGAAAGGUCUUUUGUUUUGCAGUAGCAGAAGUAUUUCUGGUGCCAUUGUCGGGGAGACACAGCAGCCAUCAACAGACCCUUCGUAGAGGGAAGCAUUGAUUUGCAGAGGUGCCAGAGCUCAAGCUUUGAAAACAGAGAUAAUAAUUUUGGGUGGCAUGCUUUCAUUGUCAACACAAUGACCAAGAGUUCUCAAUAUCUUCCACGCUACUCAUGCUAUAGGCGGUUCCCAAACAGAAAAGUAGAGUUUUGACUCCCCCACCACCAAUCAAUCACACUCCACGGCUAGCCGAAUCAUCGGGUACUGUUGGGGAUAUUACUUGUUAAUGACCCUCCCUAGUUGGGCCAAGUCACCAAUCAGGCGAUUCACCUAAACAAUUAUUUGGGCCUUGGCUUGGCUGGAUCAAUGUCCUAUGGCGGUUUAUAAUUUCUGGAAGGUCUCCAAGCUUUGAAGGACGGCGACUUAGAGACCACAGAGGUCACGAUUUGUAGGAAGGAAAGUAUCCUUGUAAACCCUGAGGGUUCGACCUGUAUAUAAAGGCGAGUCAAGGAAGGAGAGGAGAGGUUAGAAAUCAUCGAGUGCUAGGUUCGGCGAGUUACGCCCUCCCUGUAAUCAAAACCACAUCAAUACAGACCAAAGCAGGACGCAGGCUCUUACCUCCACACGAGGGGCCGAACCUGGGUAAAUCACCGUGUCUCUCCCGCUUAACCCCUUUGAGUCGCCACCAAGGUGCGAUGGCUCCAGUACUAAGUCCUUUCACGAGGACAUCUGCCGUGACAAAACCACGACAGUUGGCGCCUACUGUGGAGCCUGCGCACGGUGGAGUUGAGUUCUCAAAGGGAGCCCUACCAGGGUUUGGGAGUUACGCAACGGGGCUCAUGACUCGGAGCCACCGUGGGAAAACCUACAUCGACAACCAGCGAUGGGGACCUGAAGCGGAUUCGAUUGAAUCUGGUUACAGGGUCCCCUUCGGCAAGAUCAAGAUCUUCAUCGGCAUGAUCGGAUCAUCCGUGCCUGAGCCGGACACCUCCACCGACAUCGUCGAGCCGGCCAGGUACGUCCGCCCAGUAAUAACGCCAAAUUUGACUCGCCCGGUCUUUGUGGGGUUCACACGGGGAUCGGAGGAGCCAGAGCGCUCGGCGACUCCGGAAACUACACCGGUCAACUCUGAUGACGAAUCAUCCAUGGGCGACUCAGAUUCAAUCCGGUCUCUGCAUGGGGAUUGUCUCGGGGGCUUGUCGCUGGCCAUGGACCCCGAAGUCCUUGACCGAACCCGCCGCCAGAUCGCCAUCUAUAUGGCAGGGGCGACUCAACCCACACAAAACCCUACCGGAGGCGAUGGGACCGGCGAGACGUCCAGGAGCCCGACCGCGGUCCUGGUGGAUUUAGCAGCGGAGAUCACAAGGCUGAUGGCGACUCCCCUCACACCAGAAAACCAGGAGGAGAUAAACACGGAGCUGGCGAAACUCAGGGAGGCAGUGGCAAAGGCACAUCGGGAUGCCGAGAUAGAGUCCGCCAGGAUCGAGACUCGGCAAGCUCAAAUUACUGCCGAAAGGAUGCGUUUAAACACUGACAACUAGCGGCUCAAGAGACAGCAGCGCGCAUCUGACGCCGUCCAUCAGCGGAGACACCAGGGCCGCCUGCCCCAUGAUCUCAACCCGACCCGCCUGUUCGACACUCCACGAACCCCCGGGGCGGGAGCUGCCCCGGUGGGAGGACCGGGCCGCCCGCCUAACCCGCCGGCUCAGCCAGCUGAGGAUCGCAUUCCCCGUUUCCGGACGCCUCAAGGCCACUUUUCCAACCCGGUGGACAACGUUCUUGCCGCAACUUGCCAUCUGGAGUCUCUUCUGAUUCACGACAACACCCCUGCCGAGAUAGAAGCAAGGAACGCCAUCGAGAUGUUAAAGACGGCAGUGGUUCAAAACGCUCAGUUCUCACAUAGCCUCGAGAGGUUGCAUUCCACCCCCCAGGCAAGUUACACCAGGAGCCGGCCAGAGGACCAGCCCGCCGUAAACAGCGGGCCGCGACAUGUCCCACAAGACAACCCGCCUGAACAGAACCCGCCGGGCCGGGAUCUCCCGAACACCCAAAAUGCCCCGGCCCCCCUCGUCGGGGGCGGAGGGCGAGUAGGAGUACCAUGCUUGGCCCUCGCCCUUCGCAACGAGAGGAUGCCCAAAGACUUUAAGGGACCAAGAAAGGUGCCUAAUUACAGCCCGGACCUUGAGCCAGCAUCGUGGAUCGAGAGUUAUUAAAUCGCCAUGGACAUGCUCGAUGUGAACGAGGUGGUUUGCGCCAGAUACUUCACGAUGAUGAUCGAGGGGUCAGCACGUACUUGGUUGAAAAUCUUACCUCCCAACUCCAUCUAGACCUGGGCCGAGUUAAAAGAGCGUUUCAUCAAAAACUUCCGAGGAACUUGCAAACGUCCGAUGACGAUCGUCGAUCUACAACACUGUGUUCAACGCCCGGAUGAGUCGGCUCACCAUUGGUCAUGGCGGGUUGCAGAAAUUAUCCAUUCGUCAGAUGGCAUUACGGCGGCUCAAGCUGUGCUGAUCCUCGAGCAAAAUUGCCAUUACGAACCCUUGGUGCAAAAACUGGGGCGACUCAAGCGAAAGGUCCAAGACAUGGGAGAGCUGAUGGACACCCUCACUAGGUACGCUGAGGCUGGUGACACCAAAGAUCCUGGUGAGGACGGUAAGGCUAAUUCUCCCAAGAAGGGCGAAUCAUCCAAAAAUCAUACCCGGUUCCAGGGACGUAACCGCCACAAUCAAGGGACCAAUGGCAAGCGAAGACCGCAAGAAGAGCCCUCGGACUUAGUCGCCAAUACCAACGCCAACAACGGCAAGAAGAAAAACAGGGGGUUUAGCGGGAAGAUGCCGCGUAACUAUGAAGAGCUACUCAAAGGCCCUUGCCCGCACCAUGCCACGGCAGACGGUCCGGUGACUCACUCCUGGGAAAACUGCUUCGUAAUGCGGGAGUUUCGGGCGGAGGCGAUCAAGAAGAGUCAAAACGAUGACCCGGACCAGCGCGAGGAGUAAUUCGCCGCACCCAACCAACGACAGAACCCUUUCGGCGGCUUUCCCGAACAGGGGGCUCAGGGAGGCCCACAGCCAGGCGGCGGCCAAUACCCGGUGCACCACCAGCGGCGGUAUAACCCGCCAGGAGCCUUUCAGCAGCCGCCCCCACAGGGGGCUCCACAGGGUCAGGACGAUAAUGGGGGCUUCCGCAGCAACCCCAAACAUUUAAGUAAUGGGCAGUAUCAUGUUUUCACCACCAAUGCUUGCAGGCGCGAUAAGAAGGUGAGUCACCGAGCGUACAGUGUAUCUGAACCGGCGCUUCCCAGAUACCUCCAUUGGUCUGAGAAAACCAUAACAUGGAGCAGGGAGGAUCACCCGCCCAGAGUUGACAACCCAGGCGAUCUGGCGUUGGCUGUGGCUCCCCAAUUUGGGGGUUACACCCUAUCAAAAGUGCUAAUGGAUGGUGGCAUCAGCAUCAAUAUCUUAUAUUUUGACACUUUCCAAAGGAUGAACCUAUUGGAAAAAGACCUGAUGCCUUCAACCACGGUUUUCCACGGAAUCGUCCCAGGCAAGUCGGCCUAUCCCAUAGGCCGGGUCAGGCUCACAGUGGCGUUUGGAAAUGCGCAAAAUUACAGGUCGGAGUCACUGAUCUUCGAGGUGGUCAAAUUGAAUUGGCCCUACCAUGCGCUGUUUGGGCGGCCGGCUUACGCCUGCUUCAUGGCUCGCCCGUGCUAUGUUUACCUCAAGCUCAAAAUGCCUGGUCCCAAAGGACCCAUCACGGUUGAUGGAGAUAGAAGGAUUGCAAAGGAAUGUGAAGAAGGGGACGCGGCUUAUGCGGAAGUCGCUUGUGCUGCGGAAGAGCUAAAACACCAUCGGGCCAAUGUUGACCCGGCGGACAUGUCACCCCUAAAGAAGCCGACUACAGAUUCUGAGUCGCCCCUCAAGUUCAAGCCAACAGACGACACUAAUACAAUCGAUUUCGUGCCUGGCGAUUCAUCCAAGCAGUUCACCGUUGGGACGGGUCUGGACCCCAAAUAGGAAAGCGCACUCAUCGAAUUCAUCCGUGAGAAUUGGGACAUCUUUGCAUGGAAACCUUCUGACAUGCCUGGUGUGCCGAGAGAGUUCGCUGAGCACCACCUUAAUGUUGACCCAAAGAGCAAACUCAUCCAGUAGUACCUUCGUAGAUUUAACGAGGAGCAACGCAAGGCGAUUGGAGAAGAGGUUGCCUGUCUUUUAGCCGCCGGAUUCAUCGUGGAAGUUUUUCACCCCAAAUGGCUGGCUAACCCGGUUUUGGUACUCAAGAAGAAUGGUACUUUUCGUAUGUGCAUUGACUACACAGACCUCAACAGAGCUUGUCCAAAAGAUCCCUUCGCUCUUCCCCGCAUCGACCAGAUCAUUGACUCGGUGGCGGGAUGCGAACGAUUGUGCUUUUUGGAUGCCUACUCAGGAUAUCACCAAAUCAAGAUGGCCGUGGAGGAUCAAGAGAAAACAGCCUUUAUAACCCCCUUCGGGGCUUUCUGUUAUGUGUCCAUGCCCUUUGGACUCAAGAGUGCGGGGGCGACUUAUCAACGCUGCAUCCAGAAUUGCCUCCGCAACCAAAUCGGUCGCAACGUCCAUGCCUAUGUCGACGAUAUUGUGAUCAAAACGCGCCAGGGGGAGACACUACUUGAGGAUCUCAAGGAAACGUUCGAUAAUCUACGGGUAUAUCAAAUGAAGCUAAAUCCUACCAAGUGUGUUUUUGGUGUGCCUGCAGGGAAAUUGCUGGGUUUCCUGGUAGCGGAGCGCGGCAUCGAAGCUAACCCGGACAAGAUCGAAGCAGCUACAUCCCUUGGAAAGCCGGCAAACGUUAAUCACGUUCAACGACUGGCGGGUCGCAUUGCGGCCCUAAGUCGUUUUGUGAGUCGCCUAGGUGAGAAGGCGAUCCCUCUUUAUCGGUUAUUAAAGAAAUCCGAUCGUUUUGUUUGGACAAAUGAGGCAGACGAGGUGCUCGAAGCCCUGAAACGCCAAUUGGUUAACCCGCCGGUCCUGGCCCCCCCGACUGAAAAAGAGCCCAUGCUACUGUAUAUCGCGGCAAAUUCCAAAGCAGUAAGUGUGGCAGUGGUCGUUGAGAGAAAGGGGGAAGGGAAGGAAUACCCAGUGCAACGCCCGGUAUAUUUUAUCAGCGAGGUGUUAACUCUNNNNNNNNNNNNNNNNNNNNNNNNNNNNNNNNNNNNCUUUCCCGGCAGCGGUACCCACACUGGCAGAAGUUGGUAUAUGGGGUGUUUAUGGCGAGUCGAAAACUUAAGCAUUAUUUCCUAGAACACCCUAUCACAGUGGUUAGCUCUGCCCCCCUUGGGGACAUCAUCCAGAAUCGGGAGGCAACAGGACGGAUCGCCAAGUGGGCAAUAGAACUCGGGCCCCAUCACAUACAGUAUACCCCCCGCACAGCCAUCAAGUCUCAGGCCUUAGUUGAUUUCGUCAACGACUGGACGGAGUUACAGGCUCCGGAAGACCGGCCGGAUCUCACUUACUGGACUAUUUACUUUGAUGGAUCUAGGCAGCUGGAAGGCUCAGGGGCUGUUGUGGUGUUGGUAUCCCCUCAAGGAGAUAAAUUAUGUUACGUUCACCGACUCAUGUUUCCGUGCACUAACAAUGCGGCAGAAUACGAAGCUUUGCUUCACGACUUGCGACUCGCCAAGGAGAUGAAUCUAACACGAGUCAGAUGCUUUGGCGCCUCUGAUUUGGUGGCACAACAAGUUUCAGGAACCUGGGAUUCUCGGGACCCCAUGAUGGCGGCUUACAGAAGAGCUGUGUCUGAUGUGGCGGGUCAUUUUCAUGGUUAUCAGGUGGACCACAUUGAUCGGCGCCUCAACAAGGCAGCUGACGCCCUCUCACGACUUGGCUCCUAGAGAAAGCCAGUUCCUCCCAAUGUUUUUCUGGAUAUCUGGCAUAAACCAUCCGUGAUUCUACCAUCGGAGGAGGAAUUGGCAAUACCAGAUCCUGAGUCUCAGCUCGUGGCGGCUCUCCAUGUCACUCCGGAUUGGGUUCUUCCUUAUCUGGCUUAUCUCGCUCGGGGCGAGUUACCAGCACACGAAGUUUUGGCUCGUCAAAUCGUUCGGCGCCGCAAAUCCAUUGUCAUCAUCAAUGGCGAGUUAUAUAAACGGAGCACCUCUGGAGUUUUUGAGCGAUGCGUUUCCUCCGAAGAAGGAUGCAUAAUAUUAAAUGACAUUCAUUCUGGAGACUGUGAGCAUCAUGCCGGGUCACGCUCUUUGGUGUCGAAGGCAUUCCGUCAUGGUUUCUUUUGGCUAACGGCUCAUGCAGAUGCACAAGAUAUAGUUCAUCGGUGCGAAGGAUGCCAGUGUUAUGGGCGGCAGGCUCAUGUGCCGGCUCAAGAAUUAAGAAUGAUCCCCAUCACUUGGCCUUUUGCGGUCUGGGGGCUGGACAUGGUCGGCCCUUUUAAAAUGUCCUCUAACAAGAAGACCCAUCUGCUGGUGGCGGUUGAUAAGUUCACCAAGUGGGUUGAGGCGGAACCUAUUGGAGCUUGCGAUGCGGAAACAGCGGUCAAAUUCUUGAAAAAGUUGAUUUUCCGGUUUGGAUACCCGCACAGUAUCAUUACUGAUAAUGGUACUAACUUGUCCCAAGGGGCGAUGCAGGAGUUUUGUCGUCGAGAACAUAUCCGGCUUGAUGUUUCUGCAGUCGCUCACCCACAAUCUAACGGGCAGGCAGAGCAGGCGAAUCAGGAGGUUUUGCGAGGGAUUAAGCCCCGACUCAUGGUUCCCCUGGAAAAAACCCCAGGGUGUUGGGUUGAAGAAUUACCUUCAGUAUUGUGGAGUAUUCGGACCACCCCGAACCGGUCCACGGGUUUCACCCCUUUCUUUCUGGUCCAUGGAGCAGAGGAUGUUCUUCCUACUGAUAUAAGGCAUGACUCACCUAGAGUCGCCGCAUAUGUGGAACAAGACAAUGAGCUGGCGCGUCAAGACUCUUUGGACGCCUUAGAGGAGGCACGUGACCUAGCUGCGGCCCGUUCAGCUAUCUACCAGCAGGAUCUACGGCGUUAUCACAACCGCCGGGUUAAAAGUUGGACCUUUCAGGAAGGCGACUUGGUUCUUCGGUUGAUACAAGAUCNNNNNNNNNNNNNNNNNNNNNNNNNNNNNNNNNNNNNNNNNCAUAAGUUGUCACCACCUUGGGAAGGAUCGUUCGUCGUCAGCAAGAAUCUCCGCAAUGGCUCUUAUUAUUUGGUGGAUCUCCGGCCUAACCGGCCAACCACGAAGGCUGAGUCAACUCGCCCCUGGAAUAUUGCCCACCUGCGGCCUUAUUACACUUGAGCUCUUAAGCUCUACAUUUUGUAAGUUUUUCAGUUUCAUUAUGAAGUAAUAAAGUUGAAAAUACUCCCUGACUUGGGGGCUUCUUCAUUAAACAACAAUUUUGUCAUCCUGUUGCGACCUUAUGAGCUGACAGAAUCAGCAUUUUAGGGUGGCGCUUGAGCUUUCUGACUCGCCCCAUCCUGUCGCGACCUUAUGAGCCGACGAAACCAUCAUUUUGGGUGUGUGCUCGAGCUUUCUGACUCGCCCCAUCCUGUCGCGACCUUAUGAGCCGACGAAACCAUCAUUUGGGGUGUGUGCUCGAGCUUUCUGACUCGCCCCAUCCCGUCGCGACCUUAUGAGCCGACGAAAUUGUUGUUUUUAUUCGUGGCAUAGCCUCGGGGGUUUUAAACCUUUCUUUCUGAUUCCUCUUGAAAAUAGGGUGUUUGCUCGAGCUUUCUGACUCGCCUCAUCCUGUCGCGACCUUAUGAGCUGACGAAACCUGCAUUUUAAGGUGUGUGCUCGAGCUUUCUGACUCGCCUCAUCCUGUCGCGACCUUAUGAGCCGACGAAACCUGCAUUUUAGGGUGUGUGCUCGAGCUUUCUGACUCGCCUCAUCCUGUCGCGACCUUAUGAGCCGACGAAACCUGUAUUUUAGGGUGUGUGCUCGAGCUUUCUGACUCGCCUCAUCCUGUCGCGACCUUAUGAGCCGACGAAACCUGCAUUUUAGGGUGUGUGCUCGAGCUUUCUGACUCGCCUCAUCCUGUCGCGACCUUAUGAGCCGACGAAACCUGCAUUUUAGGGUGUGUGCUCGAGCUUUCUGACUCGCCUCAUCCUGUCGCGACCUUAUGAGCCGACGAAAUUGUUGUUUUUAUUCGUGGCAUAGCCUCGGGGGUUUUAAACCUUUCUUAACCAUCAUUUAGGGUGUGUGCUCGAGCUUUCUGACUCGCCCCAUCCUGUCACGACCUUAUGAGCCGACGAAACCAUCAUUUUGGGUGUGUGCUCGAGCUUUCUGACUCGCCCCAUCCUGUCGCGACCUUAUGAGCCGACGAAAUUGCUGUUUUUAUUUGUGGCAUAGCGUCGCGACCUUAUGAGCCGACGAAACCAUCAUUUGGGGUGUGUGCUCGAGCUUUCUGACUCGCCCCAUCCCGUCGCGACCUUAUGAGCCGACGAAAUUGUUGUUUUUAUUCGUGGCAUAGCCUCGGGGGUUUUAAACCUUUCUUUCUGAUUCCUCUUGAAAAUAUUUGUUAUCAUUUAUUUGGUUUCACAUAUGUUGUUUUCAAAGCCUAAAUCAGGUUGAUGAUUAGAAUUACUUCGUCCAUGGCGGAUUAAGCAUCAUAAAGGAUUCUCAAAUGGCAGGUCAAAUAUUUCAAAUCCCCUUAAGGGCGAUAUAAAGAUUCUUUCGAGAGUAUCACAAAAACAGUGUCGACUUAUGAAAAAGACCUAUUACAUGGCUCUCAGGCCAAAUCGAUGAGGUUUAUUCUGUUGGCGCCUUGGGAUCAUUUUGCUGCGAGCUUUGGCCGACCUCAAUUUGCAAGUCGCCCAGUACCCAGUUACACUUGGCUAGAGCUGCGAAGUCAUCUUCAUCAGUCAGGAUUGAUGCCAGGUCUGCUUCCAAGUCAAAAGGGUUCUUGGGUCGCCGAGGAGUUAAACUGGUCGUCACAAAGGUUGGCGGGUUGACCUUCUUGUUUUUGCUGUCAUAAGCCGCCUGAUACUUUGAUAAAUCCAGACUUGCUGCGAGUUAGGUUGCUGCCAGCCGAGAGUCCUUGACAACACGUUGAUAGUCUUCUUCAACGAAUUCUGACCCAUCGUCUUUGAGUUGAGGAAAGCCUGCCGCUACCUCUUCCAGGUUGAUCUCUGAAGCAUACGCCAAGCAGCGACUCAAGGCAGUCAGAACCCCCUUUCGGGCGGCUGAUCGAGUUAGCUCGCCAAUUUGAGGGGGAAGUGUGGAGAGGCAACCAAGCACCUUCUUUAUGGAAGUUAUAGGCUCUUUGGCACCCAUUACAGCUUUAGCAGUUAAGACACUGCCGGUGUACAGUUGCUCUGUCAGCGUGUAAAUCGCCUUUAGCAUCAGCACGCAAUCUUCCUAAAGGUUGGCGGCUCUCAGACCUGAGUAAGGGGUCAUGAUAAUCAGCGACUUACGAUAAGAGUUGUUUAUAAAAAAAGGGGGGGAGAAAAGAUCAAAAGUUUGAGUAAGUUUACCAAAGACGGCUUGCGUCAUGUUUAAGAUAUGACGCUUCAAGCCGGACAAUUCUUGUUGCACAGUAGCCAGCCUGGCUUCAGCCUUCUCUGCUCUUUUUAUGGCAGUAUCUUGGUCAGCUUGAGCUCUUUUCAAAUCGGCUUUGAGUUUUUCCAGCUCAGCCAAGACCAAUUGAUACUUCUCCUCCGAUUUAGCUCGGGCAUCUUGCUGACCAGAUAAGUUCAACUUUAAAUUGCCAAGCGCCGAUUCAGUCUGAGCAAGAGUUUCCUGUUGAGAGUACAAAAAAAGGGGCAAGUCUCAGAACUAUUGCAAGCAAUAUCCCUGACACUUGGGGGCUAAUGUAUAAUUUUUUCUUUUUCAGAUGAAAUUAUACAAUAUCAAGACCCGGCUCAUCUUUUUACUGAUGACCCGGCCCUUGGGGGUUACUGGUCCAAGUUUUUUCUAAAUUUAUCAAGACCCGGCUCAUCUUUUUAUUGAUGACCCGGCCCUUGGGGGUUACUGGUCGCAGGUUUUUUCUAAAUUUAUCAAGACCCGGCUCAUCUUUUUACUGAUGACCCGGCCCUUGGGGGGUACUGGUCGCAAGGUUUUUCUAAAUUUAUCAAGACCCGGCUCAUCUUUUUACUGAUGACCCGGCCCUUGGGGGGUACUGGUCGCAAGGUUUUUCUAAAUUUAUCAAGACCCGGCUCAUCUUUUUACUGAUGACCCGGCCCUUGGGGGUUAAUGGGAGUAAUGCAAUAUAGCAAAACUUACCUCAUGUUUGUUUUUUAACAUCCGCAGCAGGCUUUUGUCCAUCUCAUAACUCGCCUCCAGGCGACUUGCAAAACCAGAACAGAGUUCCUUGAACUCCAGAUUUUCAUAUUCAGAAAGCCUAGCCUUGGAGAGUCCAGAUUCAGGCAUGGCUUGAGAGGAGGAUGCCACAUUCCUUGACAAAACCGUUGCCGCUGGCUUAGAGAAGCCGGUACCAGUAAUAACUACGGCAUCCGGGUCUUCUGUUGCCAUCAAUGGACUUGGCGGCUUAGGGGCAUCCAUUGUUUCCUUGGGCGAGUCUGGAAGAUCCAUUUGAUUUUCAGGCUCGCCUUGGUCCGGGUUGUCUUGGAUCGACACUGACUCUUUGUUGGGCUCUGAAGUUGUGACAGGAGUUGGUCCGCUGGUUUUCCUUUUCUUGGCCUGUGCCCUAAAAGAAGGGAGAAGCGCAUUAAGGAACUGAAAGUUUAUUACCCUCAGGAUUCAAAGUAAGAUUAUCAAAAGACUUACCCAGGAACUCGAAUCAUUGGCGAAAGUGUCGACAUCACUGAGUCGCCAGAUGUAGGAGGAGAGUUCUGCAAGAAUUAUACGUCAACAAUAUAGGCGGGUUACAGACGUGAUCCAAAGAAACAUGAAGAAUUGCUAUUCAUAAGUACCUCAUUUGGUUUCCUCUUGUUCGUUGCUGGUAAGCCGGACACCGGGUCACCGGAAUGACUUCGGGUCUUCCGAUUUAAAGUAUGUUGUGCUUUCUUUAGUAGGAAAGUUGGGUCCAAACAAGCAUUUGGGUGUGAGAAGGGAACUUUCCCACAAAUUCUCCUGGCCGGCUUAGGUGGAGAAGGAGAUGAAUCGGAGGAAACAUAAAUUACCUCAACGGAGUCCUCCUGGCUUUCGUUCUCUUCAUUCUAUUUCAAGAGAGGCAGAGAUAUAAAUACAAAGAUUAACAGUAGUGGAUGGCGAGUGAAAAAAUGAUGGAUUUUUACCUCCGAAAGUGCAUCGCCGACUUGAGACUCAUCGACUUCGGAUGGCUCAGCCGCAGCAGCUUUGCCCUUGCCCUUGGUUUUCUUUAAAGGCGGCUUAACAUUUUUCAUGGCUGGCCUUUUGGGUUUCCUGGACCAAAAUUUAUCGCCUUUCUGAAAUAGAAUAUGUUACAAAAACCACGAUACAAGUGAAACAUAAGAAGUAAAGACCAAAGGCGGGUUAGAUUUGCUCACCUUGGGCGCCGGAUUAAUUUUGCAGAAGGGCUUGAGGCCGAUUUGGCCGCAUUUUCCCGCAGGCUCGCCAGUCAGCUUCUUGAUGAUGGUGACAAUAUCCUUUUCUGUUAAAUCCGUAUGGAAAUAACAUUGAGGAUGAUCUAGGGUGCCAUCAAAUUCGCACAUUAGCCCGUUCCGGCGACUCAGAGGGGGAUGCGCCAUUCGACCCAACAGCAGAUUAGGUCAACCCCAGUAAGGCCGUUGUUUGUCAAGAAUCUUAACUCGGACAAUACUGGGAUGAAUUUUGAUUCCUCCUCCUCGGUGAGUUUGUCUGGAAGCUUGAAGUUUGUAGGAAGGCGAUCUUUCCUGUAGCCCAGAAGUUUGUUUUCAGCUGCACGAGAGGUCUCUUGACAGUAGAACCAAGACUUGCCCCAACCUUUGGGAUGGCUGGGCAUGGCGAGUGAGGGAAACGGGCUAUCCCUGCGGCGCUGGACAUUGACACCGCCGAGUUCCAGGCUGGGGCCAUUGUGAAAUUCCGUUUGGCGAUUCAGAUGGAAAAAGUGCCAGAAUAAGGGGACACAGGGUUCGAUCCGCAGAUAAGCCUCACAGAACACUUGGAAUUGGCAUAAGUUACUUAUGGAGUUAGGUCCCAAAUCCUGGAGGCGGACGUUCAUGAAAGCCAUGGCGUCUCUAAGAAACUUCGAUCCGGGCGGCUUAAAACCUCGCUCCAGGUGCUCAACGAAAACGACUAUCUCUCCUUCUUUGGGGUUGGGGAGAUCUUCUCCGAACCCGGUACGCCAGCCGAUAACAUUCUGAGGGUCCAAGUUGCCCGUUUUCACAUAGUCUGCCAGUAUGGUGUCAUUGACCUUGGUAGGAAGCCAGUCACUUUUGAAGACGGCGCCCAUGCUACAAAGAAGUAAAGUAUGGAUGAAUUUACAAGCCUCGAACAUCUACUGUAAGGGAUGAAAUAAGAUCAUUUAACUCGCCAAGUAAUUUGUCCACGGACUGAGGGAAAAACUUGACCCGUCGUAUCAAGAGCCGAGUUGGGUUGCUAUGGCGACUUACGAAGUUUGGCUAUUCACGAGAGCUGCGUUCUAAAGACGAUGGAGACGUUCGUUCAAAACGUCAAAGUGUGAAGACUACAAACAGCCUUUUGCAAACAGUAGGUAAAUUAUGGAUCUACUGAACAGAUGAAAAAAACCUGAGAAAAAUGGCUGGAUGCAGCAAUUUAUUAAUCAGGGCAAGGUGAUGCCCUUCGCUUGAUGAAACAUUAUUUUAGGUUCGCAAGUAAGAGCGGGUAAAUGAAAAAGCAUUGGCUAUCUCGUCGACAUUUGUGGUAAUCAGUUCAGGACAAGCAACACAUGCUCGCGAAGAACAUCAAGAACAUGGCAGUGCUGGAGCUUCAAACGGAGAUUAGAUCUGUUCUUAAAUGGGCGGUGGCCUAACCUGAUGCUUUCGAUCGAAAAAGGCCGACAGUGGCGGAGGUUGUUGGAGAAGCACGGAGGUCCCGUCGAGCGAAGAGAUCUUCGACGGCGGCGGAGUUCUUGGCGGGCGACGGGAUGGUCGACGACGAUGCGGUGGAUAAUGGCGGCGGACGUCUCGGCCACGGUGCGAAGCUUGACGACGGCGAAGACCUAUGGGCGGCGCCGAAGCUUCUUGGACGAAGACGGAGAGUGCGGUCAGCGGCGGAGCCCUCGGGAGGCGAUGAGACUUCCUCGCUGCGACAAUAGGGAGGAGAUUGACGAGACUGGUAGGUGGGAAGCACCAGUCCUGUCGCCCCAUCUAUUUAUUAGGGCGGGCGCUGGAAUCGAGGCGCCAUGAGCGGGAACCGCCGGGGAAUAAAAAGAUUCGCCAUAAUGGCGUUCCGAAGAUUUUGGGAUAACGAUGCACUAGGAUCCGUUGGGAUUAUGUCAGUCUUCCCGAAAAUCGAGGGAUAAGAAGAUGCCAACAAGAAAUGGUUUGGCGACUUAAAGAUUUUUUUUUGGUGCUAGAUGGCGGGUUACAAUUUCUGACGUAUGGAGAAAAAUGAGGAAUGAAUCGCCUUCAAUUGAGCGGAGGUAUUGGCGUGAAAAAAGUUCAAGUCAAUCUGGGGCCUAAUGUUGGGGAUAUUACUUGUUAAUGACCCGCCCUAGUUGGGCCGAGUCACCAAUCAGGCGAUUCACCUAAACAGUUAUUUGGGCCUUGGCUUGGCCGGAUCAAGGUCCUAUGGCGGUUUAUAAUUUCUGGAAGGUCUCCAAGUUUUGAAGGACGACGACUUAGAGACCACAGAGGUCACGAUUUGUAGGAAGGAAAGUAUCCUUGUAAACCCUGAGGGUUCGACCUGUAUAUAAAGGCGAGUCAAGGAAGGAGAGGAGAGGUUAGAAAUCAUCGAGUGCUAGGUUCGGCGAGUUACGCCCUCCCUGUAAUCAAAACCACAUCAAUACAGACCAAAGCAGGACGCAGGCUCUUACCUCCACACGAGGGGCCGAACCUGGGUAAAUCACCGUGUCUCUCCCGCUUAACCCCUUUGAGUCGCCACCAAGGUGCGAUGGCUCCAGCACUAAGUCCUUCCACGAGGACAUCUGCCGUGACAAAACCACGACAGGUACCGUCCACACUAACAUCAAUCCAGGGGGAGUCUUGUUUUAUAGUUAUGUUUUUGAUUUAAGCGUGGAACUAGGCAUUCCAAUUACUGGCCCCUUUCUCGUGAAUGACAGUGAAUAAACACAUCUCAAGGAUAACACGCCUAGCAUGGAAGAUAUUAAUAGCACCCUGUCACCACAUGAGCGGUUCGGGCAUGCAAAACAGAUUAUUUCUUGAAGGUUUAGAGAAUGGCACAUGCAAAUUUACUUGGAACGGCAGGUAAAUACCGCAAAUAGGUAGGUAUGGUGGACUCUCAUGGAAAAACUUUUUGGGUUUAUGGAAGUGGAUGCACAAGUAGUAUUCCGCUUAGUACAAGUGAAGGCUAGCAAAAGAUUGGGAAGCGACCAACUAGAGAGCGACAACAGUCAUCAAGAUGCAAUGAGUUUGACUAACAUUGAAUGCAAGCAUGAACAGGAUAUAAAUCACCAUGAACACGAACAUCAUAGAGGCUAUGUUGAUUUUGUUUCAACUACAUGCAUGAAGAUGCGCCAAGUCAAGCCGCUUGAAACAUUCAAAGGAGAAUACCAUCCUAUCAUACUACAUCAUAGUCACCUCAAAAUCUAUGUUGGCAUUCAAGACAAACCAUCAUAAGCUCCUAGCUAAAUAAGUAUGGCAUCAGAAACUAUGAUCUCUAAGUUGUCAUUGCAAACAUGGUUCUCUCACAACAAAGCUGGAUCUGGGACGACAAGCUAGUCAUAUUUACAAAAACAUAAUAGAUAGAGUUCAUACCAGCUUUUCCAGUCUCAGUCACUUCAUCAUAUAUCAUCAUUAUUGCCUUUCACUUGCACGAUCGAACGAUGUGAACAAUAAUAAGCGUGCUAGUGCAUUGGACUAAGCUGAAUCUGCAGGCAAACACAAAGGAGAAGACAAAGUACUAUGGCUCUUUGAAAGCUAAACAGGUAUGCAUGCAAAAGCCACUAACCAUUAUAACCAAUAUCUUCUACCUUGACCCAAAGAAAAAGAAAACUAUUUACACGGGAAAGCUCCCAACAAGCAAAAGAAGAAAGGAAAAUCUUUUUGGGUUUUCUCAAAAGGACACAAAACAAGAAAACAAGAAAACGAAAAUAAACUAGCAUGGAUAAUACAGCGGCAACGUGUAAACACCGACGAACAAAGUAAAAGCAUAAGCAUGAAUGUAAGGUCGUUGAGAACAGGUACUCCCCCAAGCUUAGGCUUUUGGCCUAGCUUGGUCUACUCCCAAGGACGGUCCUGGCGAAAUCGAAAAUCAUAAUCGGGGUUAUACGGGAGCGCUGCAGCCACUGCCUGAAUAGAUGCCUCGCGAAGACGAGCAGCUAUCGCCUCCCUCUCAUACUCCUCUGCCUCUCCUAUAGUUAUGUAGUAUCUCCAUUUAACCUGGAAGUCAAAGAAAGCAGGAGCAGGAAGGGUCAUAUGGAAAACACGCUGCUGGUUAAAUAUCAAUCGGUAUAGGAGGGAUUCAUCAUCCCUCUCAAGGAACUGGUAACGUGUCAAAGCGACGCGGUCAAGGAAAGCCGUAUGGAGCGGGGGAUCUCCUGCGCGGAUGGGUACUCCAAGAAAAUUUGCUAUGCGAGUGGCAUAGAUGCCGCCAAAGAAAUCUCCCUCAAUAGCGUUUUUAUUCAGCCUCCUUGCUAUAAUAGCUCCCAUGUUGAAGAUUUUGUCACCCGUAACUGCGCUCUUAAGGAUACUAAGGUCGGAAGCGCAUAGGUGACAAUGUUCAACCUUACCGUUAAUGCAUCUACCUAUGAAGAGGGCAAAGUAGUGCAAGGCAGGGAAAUGAAUGCUUCCUAUGGUAGCUUGCGUGAUGUCUCUAGUUUCUCCAACAGAUAUACUAGAGAAAAAAAUCUCUAACCGAAGAUUUAGCAAGAUCUUUAAGAUUACCCCCAUCGGGUAUUUUGCAAAUCCUAUUGAAAUCCUCCAAAUCCAUGGCAUAGGAUUUAUCAUACAAGUCAAACAGUAUGGAUGAGUGACGGCCAACUGAAAAUUUAAAUCUACGCACGAAAGAUGCAGUGAGCAUAGCAUAUUGUUCACAUUUAUCUGAGAGGAAUUCUUGUAACCCAGCAUUGCGGACAAGUGUAUCAAACUCAUCCUUGAAGCCUGCUUCGAUCAUGAACUCAUCGGAAGGCGAUUCACAUGGUUGUACCGGUGCGUCCCUUAGUUGAUAAGGAUCGGGCUCAGGAAAAGAAAGACGGGGACCCUUCUUACUUGCGGAACCACCAUGAAACUUCCUCCUGAACAUAAUUUCUCUUUGCUGAAAUUUUGAAGUUCAAGAGAAAAGUGAAUAAAGACCAACCACACCUUGUAGCAACUACUCCCACCAAUGCCUAGAGAACGUAUCACGCGCUAAAACUACUUGGGACUAGCUAAAAUCAACAUUUCAAGCUCAAGAACAGGGUCACCAAGGUAGCAAGAAUACGUGAAGGAUAAAGCACUAAAGCAAAAACUAAUUGGACCAAUGGAGGAGUCACUUACCAAGGAGCAAUUUCCUGAAAACGGUUCGGAGAAUGAUGCUUUGAGCAGGGAGAUCGAAAAUCACAGCCAAAUGAGCAAGAACACGGGUUUGAGCUGCGAAACAAUUUUUUCCGAAGGAAGAAGAAGAGGAUGGGAGCUGGAAUGAGUGGAGGGGGGCCCUGUGGGCCCCACAAGCUUGCUCCCCGUGGCCAGGGGGCUGCCCGCGAUGACAGGGCUUGUGGCCCACUGGGGUGGCCCCCAGGCCAGCUCUCUCUCCCAGUAUUUUUCAAAUAUUCCAGAAAAAAUUAUACUAGAAUUUUAGGACCAUCGGAGAACUUGUAUUUUCGAGGUAUUUUUCUCCAGGACACUAAAACAUAAAAUAGGGAAAACUAAACUAAACCUAUCAUUUUUCUUCUAAGAAAAAGAAAAUGAAAGCUUAAAACAGAGGUAUGUGACUCUUUGAUUCAUCCAUUUCAUGGUCAUCGAAAGAAAUCCGACAAUGGGGUUGAUCAAAUCCUCAUGACAAAACUUUCUCGAAUCGCAAGAGAGAACGGAGAAUUUUUGAAUAGCCACUAAGUCACCUCAAUGGGAAUAUGAAUCUCCCCAACUACCAAUUCAUACUUCAUCUUGACACGAGGAAUAGGGCAUUUAAAGCUCCCAAUAAGAAUCGAUGAAGUUCUUUUGAUAGAAUUGAUGCAAUGUACUUGAUAUAGUUUCUUCGGAAAGUGCACGGUAUGCUCAUUACCGUUGACGUGGAAAGUGACAUUGCCUUUGUUGCAAUCUAUAACACCCCCUGAAGUGUUUAAAAAGGGUCUUCCGAGGAUGACAGCCUGAUGACCCACAAGUAUAGGGGAUCAAUCGUAGUCCUUUCGAUAAGUAAGACUGUCGAACCCAACGAGGAGCAGAAGGCUCUGAUAACCGGAUUUCAACAAGGUAAUAAUUGCAAGCACUGAAAGUAGCGGUAACAAGUGAUUGUGUAGUGAGGUGAAAAGUAGCAAGCGAAACGUAACAAGUAACAAGUAGUAGCAACCGUGCAGCAAGUGGCCCAAUCCCUUUUGUAGCAAGGGACAAGCCUGAACAAAGUCUUAUAGGAGGAAAAACGCUCCCGAGGACACACGGGAAUUUCUGUCAUGCUAGUUUCAUCAUGUUCAUAUGAUUUGCGUUCGUUACUUUCAUAGUUUGAUAUGUGGGUGGACCGGCGCUUGGGUACUGCCCUUACUUGGACAAGCAUCCCACUUAUGAUUAACCUGUCUCGCAAGCAUCCGCAACUACAAAAGAAGAAUUAAGACAAAGUCUAACAAUAGCAUUAAACUAGUGGAUCCAAAUCAUCCCCUCACGAAGCAACACAUAGACUGGGGUUUAAGCUUCUGUCAUUCCAGCAACCUAUCAUCUACUUACUAUUUCCCAAUGCCUUCCUCUAGGCCCAAAUAUGGUGAAGUGUUAUGUAGUCGACGUUCACAUAACAUCACUAGAGGAAAAGACAACAUACAUCAUAUCAAAAUACCGAACGAAUAUCAAAUUCACAUGACUAUUAUCAGCAUGACUUAUCUCAUAUCCUCGGGAACAAAAGUAACUACUCACAAGACAUAAUAAUAAUCAUGACCAGAGGUGUAAUGAAUAGCAUCAAGGAUUUGAAAAUAAACUCUUCCACCAAGUAAUCCAACUAGCAUCAACUACAAAGAGUAAUCAACACUACUAGCAACCUUACAAGUACCAAUCGGAGUUGCGAGACGAAGAUUGGUUACAAGAGAUGAACUAGGGAUUGGAGAGGAGAUGGUGCUGAUGAAGAUGUUGAUGAAGAUGCCUCCGCUCCGACGAGAGGAGUGUUGGUGAUGACGAUGGCGACGAUUUCCCCCUCCGGGAGGGAAGUUUCCCCGGCAGGAUCGUCCUGCCGGAGCACUAGAUUGGAUCUGCUCAAGUUCCGCCUCGUGGCGGCGGCGAAACCACGAAAAAGCCCCCUCUUUAUUUUUUCGAGACCAGGACGCUUCAUAUAGCAAAAGAGGGGGGCUAGUGGGCUGUCAGGCAGCCCACAAGCUUGCCCACCGCCACGAGGGGGGUGGUGGCGAAGUGGGGGCUUGUGGAGCCCUGGUGGCCCCCCUCCGGUAGUUCUUUCGCCCAGUAUUUUUAAUAUAAUCCAGAAAAAAUCCACGUAAAUUUUCAGGGCAUUUGGAGAUGUGCAGAAUAGUGGACUAGGAUUUGCUCCUUUUCCAGUCCAGAAUUCAAGCUGCCUGAAUUCUCCCUCUUCAAAUAAACCUUGCAAAAUAAGAGAGAAAAGGCAUAAAUAUGGUACCACAAGUAAUAUAACAGCCCAAAAAUCAAUAAAUAUUAACAUGAAAGCAUGAUGCAAAAUGGACGUAUCAACUCCCCCAAGCUUAGACCUCGCUUGUCCUCAAGCGAAAACCAAGUUCCAUAAACAUGUCCACAUGUUGAGGGACGAAGGUGUUGAUAAAACAUAAUACGGACAUGAGGGCAUCAUGAUCACACAUAGGACAGCAAUAUAUCAUAAAGAUUCUUAUGGGAAAGUUACAAUUCCUUCACAAAGCAAACCAUGAAGCAAAAACCUUACCGAGAAGUAACCAACAAUAGUCCAUAGUCAUUGAAGCAAUUGCAAUUUAUCACAACAUCAGAAAGAGUCAAAUAAGAGCUUGUAAGGCAAACCCACAUACUCAAUCAUCUCUUUUGUUUUCCACAAUUGUUACAACUCACGUGGUACUCAUGGUGUCGAAGUUUCAGCUGGACACAGAGGAAGAUAGGGGCUUAUAGUUUUGCCUCCCAACAGUUUACCUCAAGGGUAAAGUCAACAACAAUAAAGCAUAAGUACUCAACUCCAAGUUGAUAUAUGAAUAUAGAUCUUUCCCAAACAUGUGACGGUAGCCAAGACAAAGGCAAAAAGGGAAUUGGUGAAGAUCACCAUGACUCUUACAAGGGUAGAAAGUAAAGGUACAAGAUAGGCCCUUCACAGAGGGAAGCAGAGGUUGUCAUGCGCUUUUGAGGUUUGCAUGCGUGUCCUCUUAGUCCGGAGGAACGUCACUUUAUAUUGCCUCCUAUGAUAAAGAACUUUAUUAUGCAGUCUGUCGCUUUUAUGUCUUCCUCAUCACAGGUUUGUACAAAGCUUAUUUUCCACACACUAAUAGAUCAUACAUAUUAGAGAGCAAUUUUGAUUGCUUGCACCGAUGACAACUUACUUGAAGGAUCUUAUUCAAUCCAUAGGUAGGUAUGGUGGACUCUCAUGGCAAAACUGGUUGGAGGUUUAUGGAUGCACAAGUAGUAUCUCUACUUGGUGCGGGAGUUUUGGCUAAUAUGAGGUGGAAGCAAUCGUCACAUGCUAAGGGAUCUCUAAUCAUAUAACAUUGUUUGGAACCAAGCAAACACAAUUCAUUAUGUUGUCUUCCUUGUCCAACAUCUACUCCUAGGCAUGUAAUAGUUUGGUGAGUGCUCACAAUUGUAAAAAGUGUCUAAGAUGAUAUAUUUAUAUGUGAACCUCUCUUUCCUUAUUACUUCUUAUUAAUUGCAACAAUGACUGAGGUCUAUGUAGAUUUAUUCUCAACAAGUUCCAAUCAUCAUACUUGUCAUAUGUGAAGUUAUCACUUUCCAUAAGAUCGUCUCAUGAUCUUUCAUGCUAUCGUUCUUUUCAUACUUUUGAUCAUGGCACAAAGCAAAGCCCUUGACUGAGACACUCUUUAAUAUAUAGCUCGUAAGCUCGAAUACAACGGGGGAGAGACAAAAGAAAAAGACUCAAACUAAAAACUAAAGACUUAUUCCUCUAAGAGAAGAAAUAAAAACAGAAAAGGAAAGAACUAAAACAAAGGUAAAAGCAAAAGAUAUAAAGGUGAUAUGAUACCAGGGCAACUCCCCCAAGCUUGGCAGAAGCCAAGGGGAUUGCCCAUACCAAUGCUUAGUUGUCUUCUUUUGGUGGUGAUGGUGGUGUUGUUGUCGCCUUUGAUUCCAAGAGAGCUAUCAAUGUUUGAUAUAUACCUUUGAGAUCUGUGACAUGGUUUUCCAGCAAAACAACUUCACGAGAAAGAGAAAUAUUGCGAGCACGAGUUGUUUCGCAAAACCUCAAGAGUUCAAUCAAGGAUGGAGACAGCACGUGGAGGAAGGGUUGGAGAAAAUAUACUCCUUCAACGUCUUCAAUGUUGAACAUAGGUUGAACUUCCUGCCUAGCUUGGGUUUUCUCCUUAGCUUGGUCCCUGGCUUCCGUGACUUCUACUCUUUUCAGAUCAGCAUCUACUUCCUCAUGAACUUGGUGAAGAUCAUUCUCCCCAACAGAUUCCUGAGACAUCUUUGCUCUAAAUCUGCGGCAGACAACAAGCUCAAAAUGAAAAUAGAGGAAAACUACGCGAUACGGAGAUCAAAACCUUCGGGCGAAUAUAUAUUGAUUUUUUCUGGACCAGAAGGAGUCCUCCGCAAGAAAACGGAGUCCGGGAGGCACACGAGGUGCCCACAAGCUUUCCCACCGCCACCAGGGGGUGGUGGCGGAGUGGGCCCUUGUGGCUGCCUCGUUCGCUCUCCGGACUGCUCUUUAUUUUUCUAAUUUUCCAAAAAUUCCAAAACGGAAGAAAUUUCCUAUUGGAAAAGUAUCGGAGUCCAAUUUCUUGCCGAAACAAAUACAUCUUCGUUUUCAAGGUCUGAAACAGGCUGAUAAACAUCCCUUAUGUACUCCUCUGGAGUUAUGACAUUGAUGAUAUUGGUCUCAACAUUUAUGGGAGUACCAGAGAUGUAAUGCUUGAUUCUUUGCCCAUUUACCACUCUAGGAAAAUUUCCUUCCAUGUUAUUGAUUUUGAUGGCACCGGAACGAUAUACUUCCUCGACAACAUAGGGACCUUCCCAUUUAGAGAGAAGCUUGCGUGCAAAGAAUCUCAAAUGAGAAUUGUAUAGCAAAACAUAAUCACCUACAUUGAACUCUCGUUUCUGUAUUCGUUUGUCGUGCCAUCUCUUAACCUUUUCCUUGAACAACAUGGCAUUCUCAUAUGCCUGGGCUCUCCAUUCAUCUAACGAGCUGAUAUCAAACAACCACUUCUCACCGGCAAGUUUGAAAUCAAAGUUGAGCUCUUUGAUUGCCCAAUAAGCUUUGUGUUCCAGCUCAAGAGGUAAAUGACAGGCCUUACCGUAAACCAUUUUAUAUGGUGACAUGCCCAUGGGAUUCUUAUAAGCAGUCCUAUAAGGCCAUAGUGCAUCGUCAAGUUUGCUAGACCAGUUCUUUCGAGAUCUAUUGACGGUCUUUUGUAGGAUCAACUUGAUCUCCCUAUUACUCAACUCCACUUGACCACUAGACUGAGGAUGAUAAGGAGAUGCAACUCUAUGGUUGACAUCAUACUUAGCUAGCAUCUUGCGGAAAUAGCCAUGAAUGAAGUGUGAACCGCCAUCAGUCAUCAAGUAUCUAGGGACUCCGAAUCUUGGGAAUAUGACUUCUUUAAGCAUCUUAAUAGAGGUGUGGCGAUCAGCAUUUUUAGCGGGGAUAGCUUCUACCCACUUAUUAACGUAAUCCACAACAACUAAGAUGUGAGUGUACCCAUUGGAACUCGGGAAGGGUCCCAUAUAAUCAAAGCCCCAGACAUCAAAUGGUUCAAUGACAAGUGAAUAGUUCAUAGGCAUCUCUUGACGCUUACUGAUGUUCCCUAUCCUUUGGCAUUCGUCACAAGACAAGACAAACUUACGAGCAUCCAUGAAGAGAGUGGGCCAAUAGAAACCUGAUUGCAAUACCUUAUGGGCAGUUUUAUCUCCAGCAUGGUGUCCUCCGUAGGCUUCGGAAUGACAUUUCUGCAGGAUCUGUCCCUGUUCAUGUUUAGGCACACAACGUCUAAUAACACCAUCUACUCCUUCCUUAUAAAGGUGAGGAUCAUCCCAAAAGUAGUGUCUCAAAUCAAAGAAGAAUUUCUUCUUUUGUUGAUAGGUGAAACUGGGUGGUAUGUAUUUGGCUACGAUAUAGUUUGCAUAAUCGGCAUACCACGGUGCACUAAGUGAAGUGCGGAUGACAUUUAAUUGCUCAUCAGGAAAGCUGUCAUCAAUAGGUAGUGGGUCAUCAAGGACAUUCUCUAGCCUAGACAAGUUAUCUGCUACAGGGUUAUCAGCACCCUUUCGGUCAACGACGUGCAAAUCAAAUUCCUGUAGCAGGAGAACCCAUCUGAUCAGCCUAGGCUUAGCGUCCUUCUUCUGCAUGAGGUACUUAAUAGCAGCAUGAUUAGAGUGAAUAGUGACUUUGGAGUCAACUAUGUAAGGUCUAAACUUUUCACAUGCAAACACGACUGCUAAAAAUUCCUUCUCCGUAGUGGCAUAGUUUCUUUGGGCACUGUCUAGAGUUUUACUAGCGUAGUGAAUGACAUUCAACUUCUUGUCAACUCUCUGUCCUAGAACAUCACCAACAGCGUAAUCACUAGCGUCACACAUGAUUUCAAAGGGCAAGUUCCAGUCAGGUGGUUGAAGAAUAGGUGCGGUUAUCAAAGCCUUCUUAAGUAUUUCAAAGGCUUCCUCACAAUCCUCGUCAAAAACAAAAGGAACAUCCUUCUACAAGAGGUUGGUAAGAGGCCUAGAAAUCUUAGAGAAGUCUUUAAUGAACCUUCUAUAGAAACCAGCAUGACCUAAGAAACUUCGUAUACCUCUGAUAUCUGUGGGGCAAGGCAUUUUCUCAAUUGCAUCAACCUUAGCCUUAUCAACUUCAAUGCCUCUUUCAGAGAUUUUGUGUCCUAAGACGAUACCUUCAUUAACCAUAAAGUGGCACUUCUCCCAAUUCAAGACGAGGUUGGUUUCUUCGCAUCUCUGUAAGACUCGAUCAAGGUUGCUGAGGCAAUCAUCAAAGGAAGACCCGUAAACAGAGAAGUCAUCCCUGAAAACCUUGACAUUCUUUUCACAAAAGUCAGAGAAUAUAGCCAUCAUACAUCUUUGGAAGGAGGAAGGUGCAUUACAUAAGCCAAAAGGCAUACGUCUAUAGGCAAAGGUACCGAAAGGGCAGGUGAAAGUGGUUUACUCUUGAUCAGAUUGUGCAACAGGUAUUUGCGAGAAACCUGAAUAACCGUCUAGAAAGCAAAAGUAUGUGUGUUUUGGUAGCCUUUCUAGCAUUUGGUCGAUGAACGGCAAAGGAUAAUGAUCUUUCCUGGUUGCCUUGUUCAGUUUCCGGAAGUCUAUCACAAUUCUAUAGCCGGUAAUAGUCCUUUAUGGGAUUAGUUCAUCCUUAUCAUUAGGAACGACGGUGAUACCUCCCUUCUUAGGUACGCAAUGUACUGGACUUACCCAAUCACUAUGAGCAACAGGAUAAAUGAUUCCUGCUUCCAGAAGCUUUAAUAUUUCUUUUCUAACGACCUAUUUCAUCUUAGGAUUUAAUCUCCUUUGAUGAUCAGCAACUGGUUUAAAGUCAGGAUCGGUUUUAAUCUUGUGCUGACAUAGAGUAGGACUAAUACCCUUAAGAUCAUCAAGAGUAUAUCCAAUAGCAGCGCGGUGCUUCCUCAGAGUUUUUAGUAACUUCUUCUCUUCGCGCUCUGAGAGGAGAGCACUAAUAAUGACAGGAUAUAUCUCCUUCUCAUCAAGAUAGGCAUACUUAAGAGUAUCAGGCAACUGUUUAAGCUCGAACACAGGAUCACCCUUUGGUGGGGGAGGAUCCCCAAGCAGUUCAACAGGCAGAUUAUUCUUGAGAAUAGGAUAUUGUUCUAAGACAAUUUAUCUAUCUCAUCUCUCUCCUCCAUAUGCAUAUCAUUUUCAUGCUCAAGCAGAUAUUGCUCUAAAGGAUCCGUAGGAGGUACGGCAAUAGAGGCAAGAGCAAUGAUUUCAUCUCUACCAGACGACUCUCUUUCAUGGGGUUGUCUUCCAAACUUGGAGAAGUUAAAUUCAUGAGACACACCCUCGAAACUUACUGUGACCGUAUGCUUAAUGCAAUCAAUGUGAGCAUUGACAGUGUUGAGAAAGGGUCUACCAAAUAUGAUGGGACAAAAGCUAUCUUGUGCAGUACCAAGGACGAGGAAAUCAGUAGGAUACUUCGUCUUACCACACAGGACUUCUACGUCUCUCACAAUUCCGAGAGGGCAGAUAGUGUCUCUAUUAGCUAGCGUAAUAGUGACAUCAAUGGGUUCUAACUCAGCAGGUGCAAUCUCAUCUUUGAUUUCAUCAUAUAGAGAACGGGGUAUUGCACUAACACUAGCUCCCAUAUCACAUAAACCAUGGUAACAGUGAUCUCCUAUCUUAACAGAAACAACGGGCAGGCCGACUACAGGUCCGUGUUUGUCUUUCACGUGAGGUUUAGCAAUUCUAGCGGAGUCCUCAUAGAAUUUGAUAACAUGCCCGUCUAUGACUUCGGCUAAGAGAUCUUUGAUAAUAGCAACACUAGGUUCAACUCUAAUCUCCUCAGGGGGUGCAAGUGAUCUAAUGUAACCCCUACUUAUCACAGUUGGAGCUUUAUAAUAAUCCUUUAUCCUAGCAGGGUAUGGUGGUUUCUCAGUGUAAGCACAAGGAACAACAGGAUCACUAAAAGCAAUGAAUUUCUCCUCAACUAGAUUGGUUUUGGCUAUGUUGCUUUCUACAGGAGGAUGAUAUUUAAACCACUUCUCUUUGGGAAGAUCAACAUGAGCAGCAAAAGAUUCACAGAGAGAAGCUACUAUCUCAGAGUCAAGUCCAUACUUAGCGCUAAAAUCUCUAGAAGUGUUUGUCUCAACAAAAGAUUUAACGCAAUCAAACUGGAAAUUCAUACCUGACUCCUUACCUUCCUCCAGCUCCCAGUCUUUAGAGUUGUGUUUGAUUCUCUCCAAUAAAUUCCACUUGUGAUCAAUAUCCUUCUUCAUAAAAGAACCGGCACAAGAAGUGUCAAGCAUGGUAUGAUCUUCAUGAGAAAGCCAAGCGUAAAAGUUUUGAAUGAUGAUUUCUCUCGAGAGCUCACUUUUUCGAAAUCAAUUUCGAAAAAGAAUGGAAAACGGGAUCCAUUUACUUAUGAUAGAUUGGGGCAUGAAUAUAGCAUUGAUUUAAGCCUCCCCCAAUCUUGAGCAAUGUUUUCCCUGUCACGAGGCCAAAACUUAUAAAUAAAGUUCCGAUCACGAUGUACUAAAUGCAUAGGAUAGAACUUUUGAUGAAAUUCCAAUUUCAACUGAUUGUAGCCCCAUGAUCCAGUAUCAUCACAUAGCCUAUACCAUGUCAACGCCUUAUCCUUCAAACAUAAAGGAAAGAAUUUCUUAUUUACCUCAUCCUCAGGCAAACCUGCAAGCUUAAAUAAACCACAAACUUCAUCUACAUAGAUUAGAUGCAAGUCUGGCUGUGAAGAUCCAUCUCCUGUAAAAGGAUUAGCCAGCAGUUUCUCAAGCAUACCCAAGGGAAUUUCAUAAAAGAUAUUUUCAGUAGGUACCUCAGGUUGAGGAGCAACUCCUCGUGCUUCCGUUCGUGGUGAAGAUACCCCGAACAAACUCCUCAAAGGAAGAGUUUCCAUAGUGACAAGUGACAAUAAAUUUCAGCACAGUAUAAAAAUGUUUCCUUACCAAUUUCCACUUACCAAAGGCGCUUCACUCCCCGGCAAUGGCGCUAGAAAAGAGUCUUGAUGACCCACAAGUAUAGGGGAUCAAUCGUAGUCCUUUCGAUAAGUAAGAGUGUCGAACCCAACGAGGAGCAGAAGGCUCUGAUAAACGGAUUUCAGCAAGGUAAUAACUGCAAGCACUGAAAGCAGCGGUAACAAGUGAUUGUGUAGUGAGGUGAAACAUAGCAAGCGAAAAGUAACAAGUAACAAGUAGUAGAAACGGUGCAGCAAGUGGCCCAAUCCCUUUUGUAGCAAGGGACAAGCCUGAACAAAGUCUUAUAGGAGGAAAAACACUCCCGAGGACACACGGGAAUUUCUAUCAUGCUAGUUUCAUCAUGUUCAUAUGAUUCGCGUUCGUUACUUUGAUAGUUUGAUAUGUGGGUGGACCGGCGCUUGGGUACUGCCCUUACUUGGACAAGCAUCCCACUUAUGAUUAACCUGUCUCGCAAGCAUCCGCAACUACAGAACAAGAAUUAAGACAAAGUCUAACCAUAGCAUUAAACUAGUGGAUCCAAAUCAGCCCCUCACGAAGUAACGCAUAGACUGGGGUUUAAGCUUCUGUCACUCCAGCAACCCAUCAUCUACUUACUACUUCCCAAUGCCUUCCUCUAGGCCCAAAUAUGGUGAAGUGUUAUGUAGUCGACGUUCACAUAACAUCACUAGAGGAAAAGACAACAUACAUCAUAUCAAAAUACCGAAUGAAUAUCAAAUUCACAUGACUAUUAUCAGCAUGACUUAUCCCAUGUCCUCAGGAACAAAAGUAACUACUCACAAGACAUAAUCAUAAUCAUGACUAGAGGUGUAAUGAAUAGCAUCAAGGAUCUGAACAUAAACUCUUCCACCAAGUAAUCCAACUAGCAUCAACUACAAAGAGUAAUCAACACUACUAGCAACCUUACAAGUACCAAUCGGAGUUGCGAGAUGAAGAUUGGUUACAAGAGAUGAACUAGGGAUUGCAGAGGAGAUGGUGCUGAUGAAGAUGUUGAUGAAGAUGCCUCCCCUCCGACGAGAGGAGUGUUGGUGAUGACGAUGGCGACGAUUUCCGCCUCCGGGAGGGAAGUUUCCCCGACAGGAUCGUCCUGCCGGAGCUCUAGAUUGGAUCUGCUCAAGUUCCGCCUCGUGGCGGCGGCGAAACCACGAAAAAGCUCCCUCUUUAUUUUUUUUCCAGACCAGGACACUUCAUAUAGCAAAAGAGGGGGGCUAGUGGGCCGUCAGGCAGCCCACAAGCUUGCCCACCGCCACGAGGGGGGUGGUGGCGAAGUGGGGGCUUGUGGAGCCCUGGUGGCCCCCCUCCGGUAGUUCUUUCGCCCAGUAUUUUUAAUAUAAUCCAGAAAAAAUCCACGUAAAUUUUCAGGGCAUUUGGAGAUGUGCAGAAUAGUGGACUAGGAUUUGCUCCUUUUCCAGUCCAGAAUUCAAGCUGCCUGAAUUCUCCCUCUUCAAAUAAACCUUGCAAAAUAAGAGAUAAAAGGCAUAAAUAUGGUACCAAAAGUAAUAUAACAGCCCAAAAAGCAAUAAAUAUCAACAUGAAAGCAUGAUGCAAAAUGGACGUAUCACAGCCAUGGCAUCGUCCUCGAGAAUAUCCAAGAUAACAAAGUCUGUUAAGAUAGUGGUGUUAGCAACCACAACAGGCACAUCCUCGCAAAUGCCAAGAGGGAAAGCGGUUGAUUUGUCAGCCAUUUGCAGAGAGAUUUCAGUAGGUGUCAACUUAUCCAACUCAAGUCUACGAUAAAGAGAGAGAGGCAUAACCCUAACUCUGGCUCCAAGUUCACAUAAGGCAGUUCUUACGUAGUUUCCUUUAAUGGAGCAAGGUAUAGUGGGCACUCCGGGAUCACCAAGUUUCUUAGGAGUUCCACCCUUGAAAGUGUAAUUGGCAAGCAUGGUGGAGAUCUCAAGAUCUGGUAUCUUCCGUUUAUUGGUCAUGAUAUCUUUCAUGUACUUGGCAUACGAAGACAUUUUGAGCAUAUCAACUAACCGCAUCUGCAGAAAGACGGGUCUUAUCAUUUCUAUGAAGCACUCAAAAUCCUCAUCAUCCUUUUUCUUGGAUGCCUUAGGAGGAAAGGGCAUGGGCCUUUGAACCCAUGGCUCUCUUUCUUUACCAUGCUUCCUUGCAGUGAAGUCAUUCUCAUCGUAUCUCUUAGGUUGUGGGUUAUCAGGAUUAACCGUAGGUUCAAUCUCCACAUCCUCACCAUUGCUGGGUUGAGCAUCGUUAUGAACAUCGUUGUCCACAUUGUCACCAGGUUCAUGUUCAUCACCAGAUUGUGUUUCUGCAUCAGACGUAGAAAUAUCAUUUGGUUCUUCAGGUGUGACAAUAUUUGGUGGACUAACAUGCAGGUUUCUAUCAUCCUUCUUCUUCUCCUUAGGAUGACUGGGUGCAUCUAAAUUAAUUCCUUGAGAAUAUUGAUCGAUUCUCUUAGGAUGACCUUUAGGAUACAAAGGUUCCUGAGUCAUUUUGCCUCCUCUAGUAAUGACUCUGACAGAGUUGUCGUUUAAUUCAUUGAGCAAGUCAUUUUGAGCUUUAAGUACUUGUUCUACCUGAGUAGUAAUCAUAGAGGCAUGUUUACUCAGAAGAUUCAGAUCAUUGACAUUUCUGUCUACACAAGCACUUAAAUGACUAAGCAUAUGAGUGCUUUGUUCCAAAUGUCUGCUAACAUAAUCAUUGAAACUCUGUUGUUUGGCAACAAAGUUGUCAAAUUCAUCAAAGCAUAGGCUAGCAGGUUUAUCAAAAGGAAUAUCACUCUCAUCAAACCUACGCAGAGAAUUUACUUCUACUACCUGUAUUGGGUUAUCGAGACCAUGGAUCUCUUUGAUAGGUGGUAGUUUUUUGACAUCUUCAGAUCUAAUGCCUUUCUCUUGCAUAGAUUUCUUGGCUUCUUGCAUAUCUUCGGGACUGAGGAAUAGAAUACCUCUUUUAUUCGGAGUUGGCUUAGGCGGUGGUUCGGGAAUAGUCCAAGCAUUAUCGUUGAUCAAGAUGUUAUUCAGUAGAGUCUCAGCUUGUUCUACAGUUCGUUUCCUAAAAACACAACUGGCACAACUAUCUAGGUGGUCUCUAGAAGCAUCGGUAAGUCCGUUAUAGAAGAUAUCAAGUAUCUCGUUCUUCUUAAGAGGGUGAUCAUGCAAAGCAUUCUAUAGCUGGACGAGCCUCCCCCAAGCUUGUGGGAGACUCUCUUCUUUGAGUUGAGCAAAGUUGUAUAUUUCCUGCCAGGCAGCUUGCUUCUUAUGGGCAGGGAAAUAUUUCUCACAGAAGUAAUAGAUCAUAUCCUGGGGACUACUCACACAUCCAGGAGCAAGAGAAGUGAACCAGGCUUUAGCAUCAUCCUUUAGAGAGAAAGGAAACAACUUAAGGAUAUAGUAGUGGCGGAUCUUCUUCUCACUAGUGAAAAGGAUGGCUAUAUCGUGUAGUUUGGUAAGAUGGGCUACGACCGUCUUAGACUCAUAACCGUGAAAAGGUAAAAUUCGACUAGAGAGAUUAUCUCAGGGUCGACAGAGAAUUCAUAAUCCUUAUCGGUGAUAAAGAUAGGUGAAGUGGCAAACUUCUGGUCGUAUUUCAUCCUUGCUUUCAGGAAUUUUUCCUUCCACUUGAGAAGUAAUUUCUCAGCGUCAUAGGCAUCCUUACACGCAAGAAAAAUCCUCAGCUAUCUCUCCCUCCAUAACGUAACCCUUAGGUAUAUCAGGCAAUUCAUAUCUUUGGCACUAAUAUUAUGAACACGUGUAACACUACGAUCGAGAUUCAAUAAACCAUUGAGGGUAAUUAUUCAAGCAAAUAGAACAACUAUUAUUCUCUUUAAAUGAAUAAUCGUAUUGCAAUAAACAUGAUCCAAUCAUGUUCAUGCUCAACGCAAACACCAAAUAACAAUUAUUUAGGUUUUACCACCAAUCCCGGUAAUGGAGGGAGCGUGCGACGUUUGAUCACAUCAACCUUGGAAACACUUCCAACACUUAUCGUCACCUCGGCUUUAGCUAGUCUCCGUUUAUACCGUAGCUUUCAUUUCGUGUUACUAAUCACUUAGCAACUGAACCGGUAUCCAAUACCCUCGCGCUACUAGGAGUCUCUACUAUUAAAGGGGGGUCUGCCGUCGUGGUGAUGGUUCAACCUCGAUCACCUCCCACGUAAGAUUGACACCCGCGCGUAAAACAGGCAGCCCACCCGGCGUUCGAGGUGGCCCAGAAAUCAGCCCAACGAAAAAAAAUCGCUAACACGCGCACACGUCUCCGCCUCCCCCACUCCCAACUCCCUCCCCAUCCCGAUCCCGAUCCUCGCCGCCGCCGCCGGUUGUGCUCGUCGCCCCGUCACCUCUCCAUCCGCUGCUGCGAUCCAAUAAACUCCCUCCCCAUCCCGAUCCCGAUCCUCGCUGCCGCCGCCGGUUUUGAAGCACGAGCAACAUUACAACGCGGGUGAUGAGACGAUGGAGCUGACAAGGAGGGAAGGGAGGCAGAGGCGAGUCAGCUCCAACCUGCCCGGUCACCGGCCGGAGGGAAGAAUGGCGGAGACGACGGGGACGGCUCCAAGAUACGCGCCGCCGCGGCCGACGGAGAGAGAGCCGGGGCACACACGGGUAGCAUAUAGAGGGAAAAUGGGCACGCGCCUCCCGUGCGGCGACGGCCGUCGAGAUCCGCUCCCGUUUCACCGCCGGCGGGGUCGACGCGCUCGACCUCCCUCGUCCCACCUCCUCCCGCAGGUUCCGUGGUGAAGAGGCUCGGGCGCAUACCCCACUACGCCGGCAGGUAAGCUAAGCUCCCCCCUCAUCCACAUUCAUCCGUCCCUGCCUCUGCAUGUGAUUAGUUCCAGCCAGAUCCUAAUUUCAAUAAGUGUGGUGGCGUGAAUUGAUUCAGUAGCCGUACGUUGUGUUUAGCUGAUGCAAAUCUGCACGCCCAUGCUGCCACUGGCGGAGAAAAUUAAGGAAUACUGAUUUUGAUUUCCCUAUAGGCCCUGUCCUCUGGUGCGAUUUCGUUCAAGGGCAUUCAAGUCUUUUCUCCACGCCAACUAAGUACUCCCUCCAUCUCAAAAUAAGUGUCUCAACUUUAGACUAGCUUUAGUAUAAAAUUGUACUAAGCUUGAGACACUUAUUUUUAGAGCAGAGGGAGUAGAUUUUAGUGCCUGUCUGUCACCAAUAGCAAACACACCAACUUAAAACAUAAAACGAUGCCAUCCUUGUCAUUCUCCCUCCAGUCAAGUCAACCGCGUCGUCUAAUCUGGCUGCAAUUGCAUCACCCCUCCUCUACCCACCGCAUCAACGAGCUCCUUCCUUGUCACGGCAGGAAGUUUCCAGGUUAGCACUGCUCAAUUUGCUCUAAUUUGUUACUCGAUUGUUCUCCCUGUUUAAUUAUAUGGUGUUUCGGAUCUGAUUCCUGCAAGUUCAGUUCAACUGUUGUAACAAGUGAACAAAGAAGAGGAAGAGUUACAAUUUGCCUGUGAAUUUUGCAAAGCUAGCUUUCUCUGGCUGAAAAAAGUAUGGACAUGCGAAUUUUCCUUAUUUCUACCAGGAAAAUCAACUUCAUGGAUGGUGGGGCUGAAGGUCUACUGGUCAUGCCGUUCGACUUAUUACGAGAAGUUACUAAUGAUUUCUCUGAGGAGCGGAAACUUGGUAGCGGUUCGUUUGGGAAGGUUUACAAGGUAAAAUUAAUGAUGUCUGUGGUUUCCUUACAUCAAUAAUAACACAAUACAACACAACCGGGCAACUAUUAGCAUCUUCUUGACCAAGAGUUAUAUGGUGAUUCUGUCAAUAUGCAAGAUCCAUGAUCCAGCCUUUGGUAGUCUCUACGCGGGUGUAUAUGUGCGCACGAUGUUUAUGAUUUAUUACACGUGUACUAUAUAAUUGUCACAUUACACGUGCUCGACAUAUGGCGCAUAAGGGAUUUUGCACCUAUAACUGCCACACUCAAACAUAGCGAUUGCUGCUUCAUAGAAUUGCAUGUGUUUAUGAACAGAAAAUUGAACCAUGUGAAAUUUUGGACAGGGAGUGCAUCAAGACGGUGUAAAGAUUGCUGUGAAGAUGCUCUAUGAUAUGCCAGGGCUCGAUGAUGAGCUAUUUCAGAACGAGUUUAAAAACCUUACAAGGCUCAGACACCAAAAUAUUGUGCGGUUAGUUGGCUAUUGCCAUGAUAUUCAGGUAGUACAAGUAAUGCACGAAGGAAAAUUGGUUCUCGCUGAAAAGACACAUAGGGCACUCUGCUUGGAGUAUAUGUCUAAUGGAAGCCUUGACAAGUACCUUUCCGGUAAUGAUCUCCUUACUACCGCUCAAUCUGGCUUCGGAUGGAGGUAGAAUUCGUGGUCAAAAGGCACUAGGCCUGCACCUGGGUGGCGAGGUACAAGGAAGGAGCUGUGAAUCAAUUGAGCACACCAGGAAUCAGUCUGACAAUUGGAAGGCCCUUUUUUCUGGGCUCUGCUUCUAGACAUUGGCACAUAAGGAUUUUCCAUGUGCAUAUGGCCAUUGCAGCUCCUUGACAUGUCCAAUUUCGCAUUUUUAUAAGUACAUCAAAAUGGUUUCUUUAAUCAAAAUGACACAAAAGAGCAGAAUAGUUUGUGACAACUUUGCAUAAUAUGAUUGUUUCCUAUUCACAGGAGGCGGAUAGGAACAUUUUCCGUCAGGAUGCUCAAGAUCCAUUUGAUAAACAUGUCCAACAUAUAUACCAUGGAUCCAAGUUUAAUCAGUAUGCUCAGUGUCUAUUUUGAAAUUCUGUUAGUUAUCAGCCAUCCAGUCAAAUAUGUCAUCGACAUGGAAAGAUUUUGACCUCUGAUUCUUGCCUGGAAUUACCUUUCAGGGAUAUAAUAAUUACUCCUAUAUCUACUUGUUUUGAAGAAAAUGCUGAUCCUACAGAAACAAGAUUAGAUGGUGACUCGCCGAAUGACAAUCAAGAUUACUCAUCUGGUGGUAAAUAAAUAGCUAAUUAUGUUAUUUAACUAUAUAAGAUUACAGGUCAUUUCUGUUGAUAUAAGCAUACCUCAUACGUUUAACAUAGGUGAUUUAUUACCUGGUAUUGAGGGAUUUCAAGUUGUCGGCAAUCCUAUACCAGGAUCUACUCUAAGAGCAUGUGGUUUUUCUAUAAAUGGUACUACACGUUGUAAUUUCCAGGUAUGUUGUGUUCUGACUCUGGAUUGUGAUUCUGUUAUCUUUGUUGUGAGUUUCUAAACCUUGCAAUAGACCUUUGACAUGGGAAUGUUGUUUUCAGUGGGUUCACUAUCUUGAAGAUGGGAACCAACCUUCUAAGUAAUUGGAAUUUGAUUUAUAAUAUUAGGUGAGUGAUUGCAUUGUAAAAGAUUGGCUUAUGUUAUUUGACCCUUGACAUUAUUUUCUUGUUGUCUGUAUGAACCAGAAACAAAUAUAUUGCAAAUAUCUAAAGUGAGAUGGUCUAUUUUUUUUGCUCGCUUUUCAUGUGCUUGCAACAUGGUUUUGUUUUUAGGACACAUUGUUCAUCCUCUAAUAAUACUUAUCCCUUUUGUGAUUUAUGUGCAUGUUAUGCAGCCAAUUCCAGCAGUUAUGUUUGGCUAAUAAAGUAGAGAGUCAUGCUACAUAACGAUACAAGGAAGAUACUGAAAGAGGUUUUGCAAGUGCUUCCAGUUUAAGUAUACAUCUUCUUGAAUCCAUGUGCCGAAACCUUCAUCUUUACCUUGAGGUAUGGUCUGCUUUCAGCAGCAUUUAUUUAGUUAAUGUGUCAUUGAAGUGUUGAACAUCAAGUUAUAAUUUACCUCCUAUAUUUUCACCAUUGAUACGCUGCAAGUAUUAAUAAAAAAAUAUGUGUCCGGGUGAAAGUUAUAAAUUAUCCUUUUUAAAAAGAAUUAUCCAUUUUGUUGAAAUUUCAUUUUAUGCAUUUUUGUGCCCACGAAUGAUAUUAUUAUCUCUUUGUAGUUUUAUCGUCCAUGCACUCUAUCGUUAUCAGUAGAGGAGCACAUCGGUUUUUUUCCUUCUCUGAGUUUUCAUUAUUUCAUAUUACAUUUAACCAUGGGAGUGGGUUGUAGGCAUCGUUGUGUUCUGGAUCGGGUAUGUGGAUUUUCUAUGAGUUUUCCUUUUAUAAGAUGGAUAUUUGUGCUUAAGAACUAAUUAUAUUGAUUUAUUCUUGCCUUCUUGUACAUAGAGAGAAAACCAUAAGUUUAUGGUUCCUCAUAUUGGAGUGAGGCUUUUAUUGCAUGGAAAUUACAACACCAAAACUUCUUUCCACUCUCAAGGAGGUCAAAUGGUCCCUCUUGGGGGCGAAGAGGACAUUCUUGAGAUCAAGGUGAUACAUCAAAGAGAAGUUCUUGAACGGAAUAUGCUACUGGCGAGCUUCUCCCAAGUCAUUUGAAGGAUAUAGGAAAACUUUCAUGAGAAUUGACAUGAAGGUCGGAUGUUUUGUAGUAGAUAUGCCUCUCUUGUAGGUCUUUUCUACUUUGGGUUUGGGAGUAGUCUAUGUGGUUUGAGAGAGUAUAUUUUCCAGAAAACAAGAUCUUAUUAUUGUGUUUCUAUACUCAACGGAGUUCAUGUUUCGUUUCUUUUUGUUGUGACAGGUCCUUUUUAAGUUUCCUUUCAUAUAGUUACAAGAGGUAUUGCUUAAGUAUCCUUUCAACUAUCUAAUUCUCAUAAAAGGAGAUUGAAAGAAUAAUUUGAAUCGACAGAAAAAACUCCCUCUAUUAUAUAUUAGUUGCCGCUAAUUUAGGACAACUUUAUACUAAAUUAAUCAUAACUAAUAUGAAACGGAGGGAGUAUAAUAUAUAAAAGCACAAGAUUUAAUAGAGUGCUCGCACAUGAUGUUGAGAAAAAUGGUGAAGGGAGAGAAAGGAUGAUUGCCUGAGAAGAAUGAAGAGGGAGAGAGAAACAAUUUCACGUGUAGGAGUUGAAACCAUGGGUUGGUAUGAUCGACACAUAUUCUUUAGUUGAAAAGUUAUUUAAUCACUCUUUUAUGUUCCCUAUAUAAAAUAUUCAUUGUCGAGUAAUCUUUUCACAUCAUAUUUUGUAUUCCCGUGGCAACGCACGGGCAUCGAACUAGUACUAGUAAAGUACACAUCAACAUCAUGUAUAUCAAAUAUACUUCUUUCGACUUUGCCAGCCUUUUUAUCUACCAAGCAUGUAGGGUAGCUCCGCCUCAGUGACCGUUCCCCUCAUAACAGAAGCACUUAGUCUCGGGUUUGGGUUUAAUCUUGGGUCUCUUCAUUAGCGCAGCAACUGUUUUGCCGUUUCACGAAGUAUCCCUUCUAGCCCUUGCCUUUCUUAAAACUUAGUGGUUUUACUAACCAUCAACUAUUGAUGCUCCUUCUUGAUUUCUACUUUCGCAAUGUCAAACAUCGCGAAUCGCUCAAGGAUCAAUGUAUCUAUCCUUGAUAUGUUAUAGUUCAUCACGAAGCUCUCGCAGCUUGGUCGCAGUGACUUUGGAGAACCAUCACUAUCUAAUCUGGAAGAUUAACUCCCACUUGAUUUAUUUGGGAUUUUUAGGGAAUUUAUAGGCGCAAUCCCUAGGUCAGGGGUCGCUCAGGGGCCCACAAGCCUCUNNNNNNNNNNNNNNNNNNNNNNNNNNNNNNNNNNNNNNNNNNNNNNNNNNNNNNNNNNNNNNNNNNNNNNNNNNNNNNNNNNNNNNNNNNNNNNNNNNNNNNNNNNNNNNNNNNNNNNNNNNNNNNNNNNNNNNNNNNNNNNNNNNNNNNNNNNNNNNNNNNNNNNNNNNNNNNNNNNNNNNNNNNNNNNNNNNNNNNNNNNNNNNNNNAUCGGAGGUAGAUGCUUUGUAUAGCUGAAUGUCGUAGUGAGAGGUUCCAUGAAGAUAUCGUAGGAUUCGUUUGACGAGCUGCAUGUGAACGUCACGAGGUUCAUGCAUAAACAAGCACACCUGUUGGACCGCAUAAGAGAUGUCGGGCCUGGUUAGUGUGAGGUAUUGCAAUGCGCAGGCUAAGCUCCGGUAUUUGGUGGGAUUGAAAAGAACAGCACCCGAGGAGGAAGAUAGCUUGGAGCUAGUGUUAAUGGGUGUGGAAACCGGCUUAUAGUUGAGAAUUUUGGCUCUCUCAAGAAUCUCAAGGGUGUACUGUUAUUGGCACAGAAAUAGACCCGAGGAGUUGGGGGUGACAUUGAUCCCAAGAAAGUGGUGUAGUUCACCCAAGUCAGACAUGGAGAAUUCGGACUUGAGGGACGCGAUAACAGAGUGGAGUGUUUGUGGUGCGGUAUAUGCAAGUAAAUCGGAGGUAGAUGCUUUGUAUAGCUGAAUGCCGUAGUGAGAGGUUCCAUGAAGAUAUCGUAGGAUUCGUUUGACGAGCUGCAUGUGAACAUCACGAGGUUCAUGCAUAAACAAGCACACCUGUUGGACCGCAUAGGAGAUGUCGGGCCUGGUUAGUGUGAGGUAUUGCAAUGUGCAGGCUAAGCUCCGGUAUUUGGUGGGAUUGAAAAGAACAGCACCCGAGGAGGAAGAUAGCUUGGAGCUAGUGUUAAUGGGUGUGGAAACCGGCUUAUAGUUGAGAAUUUUGGCUCUCUCAAGAAUCUCAAGGGUGUACUGUUAUUGGCACAGAAAUAGACCCGAGGAGUUGGGGGUGACAUUGAUCCCAAGAAAGUGGUGUAGUUCACCCAAGUCAGACAUGGAGAAUUCGGACUUGAGGGACGCGAUAACAGAGUGGAGUGUUUGUGGUGAGCUUGCGGUGAGUAUAAUGUCGUCGACAUACAUUAAUAGGUAGGCGGUGGUGGAUGCACGAUGAACAAUGAACAAGGAGGAGUCACAUUUGGAUGCUUGAAACCCGAGAGAGAGCAAAAAAUUCUUGAAGCGAAGGAACCACGUUCGUGGUGCUUGUUUGCGUCCAUAAAGAGACUUAAGGAGGAGGCAGACGUGAUCGGGAUGAGAGGGGUCGACGAAGCCCGCCAGCUGUGAACAGUAGACCGUCUCGUGGAGACCACCGUGUAAGAAGGCGUUCUUGACAUAUAGUUGAUGGAUAUAGGCCAAGAAUUGGAGGUGGCAAGACUCAGAACAACGCGAAUCGUGGCAGGCUUCACCACCGGACUGAAUGUUUCAUCAUAGUCCACGCCUUCAUGUUGAGUGAAACCACGGACCACCCAUCGGGCUUUGUAACGAGCGAGAGAGCCGUCUACAUUGAACUUGUGCCAAAAAAUCCACUUCCCCAUCACCACAUUAACACCUGCAGGUUUAGGCACCAAAGACCACGUAGAGUUGUGCAUUAAAGCAUUAUAUUCAUCUAACAUUGCUUGGCGCCAAUGGGAAUCCCUUAGUGCAGAUUUGUAUGUGGGAGGUAUAGGUGAUAUGGAGGAGGUAGUGGUGUGUGCGAGGAAGAGGCGCUUGGGCAUGCAGAAACCAACCUUCGAGCGUGUGCCCAUGGGAUGAUGGUUUUUGGUUGGUGCGACUGGUACAGCCUUGAGCGGGCGAUGUGGAAGAGGCGUAGUGGGCGGCUCGGAAUCCGAGGGAGAUUUGGUGGGACCCGGGACUGGCGAGUCAGGCGGGUCAGGUGCGGAAGGCGUGGUAGAUCCGGUGGGCGCGGGAGAGCAGGUGGGAGUGGCGGUCUUCGAGGAAGAUGUGGAAGUGGCGGCAGGUGUGGGAGAUAGAAUGAUUUGCGGGCACGUGUCGACGGCAGGAGGGGUGGGUGAGACCCGAGAGGCCGAGUGGGCUGGUGGCGAGCAAUCCGAGCGGCUAGGGUGGGACCGACGAUGUGAUGACGAGUCAGGGGUGGUUGCGUGAUCCGAGGCUGCCGAGGUAGGUGAGAUCCAUGCGGUGGGAUUUUCUGUGGACGCGAGGGUUUGUAACAUGGGUGUCAGGGGUUCGUAGGGAAAAAUGGUUUCGUCAAAAAUGUCGGGAGACGAUCACGCGACGAGUUUGGAGGUCAUAGCAACGGUAGCAUUUCUCUUCUAGUGGGUAGCGCAAGAAAAUGCAGCGAGUGAAACGAGGGGAGAGUUUGUUGGCGGCCGUGGCAGUGAUGUUUGGAAAACACAAGCAGCCGAAGACCCUGAGGUGAUCAUACGCCGGAGGUGAGCCGUAUAGGAGAUAGUGAGGGGUGUGGUUGGCGAUAGCGCGGGACGGAUGGCGGUUGGGUAGAUAGGUGGCAGUGUGAAGAGCUUCGACCCAAAAUGGUGGUGUGAGGCGCGCUUGAAAGAGGAGGGUGCAAACGAUGUCGUUUGUAGUGCGGAUGAGGCGUUCGGCUUUGCCAUUCUGAGGAGAGGUGUGAGGGCAGGAGAAGCGGUAGACGAUGCCAUUGUUAGAGAAGAAGGAGCGAAGGGAGGUGUUGAUGAACUCAUCACCACUGUCUCAUUGCAUGCUUUUAAUGAUAGUGUGAAAUUGCGUGUGAACGUAUGUGAAGAUACAAAGUAAAACCGUCGAGGUGUCGGAUUUGUGGCGUAAUGGAAAGGACCACGAGUAGUGGGUGUAAUCAUCAAGGAUAAUGAGAUCAUUCACUACUCUCUCUCUCUCUCUCUCCCUCUCCCUCUCCCUCUCCCUCUCUCUCUCUCUCUCCGAUGUCGCUCACCCGCCUCCAGUUUGACACCAUCCUCCUUCCAUGGCCUCCUGAGAAUGGAAUCUCACACCUCUUGGCUAGCCUUAGUCCAUAAGGGCCCGUUUGGGUCGUCUCGGCGGACACCAACGUCUGCUUCCGCGUUUGAAUCGGCACGCGUCCAACGUUUGCCCGACCCGUUUUGAUGGCGCGUAAAAAAAACUGCAAACAUGAAAGCCGACCACGAAGGCCCGCGAGAUUCCACGCGCGCAUCUCCAUUAUAUUAAUUGAAUAUUAAGAAAACUAAACUGCGCGCUACCCUAGGCAUCUGCGUUGUCUGCGUUGAUGUUGGGGGCGGGCUCUACCGGCGUGGGCAGUGCUGGUGGCGGCGGUGCCGGCGGUAGCGCGGAACGGACGCGGUCCUCUUCCUCCCUCUCCAGUUGUUCCUCCUCCGGUUCCGGCUCCAGCUCCAUCUGUCGCGCGCCGUCGGUGCGCUACUCCGCCAGGCGCAGUGCCCUCCGAUUGUGGAGAUAGACGGCCUCCUCCUAGCGCAGCGUGCGGGGAUAGACGACGGGGGCCUUGCCCUUGUUUUGGGCGGAGCCGGUCAUGGCUUAUGGCUAGGGUUUGGUCGUCGACGAGGGAGUAGAGAGGUGGCGAGAUAGCGACAUGCAUGCAUAUUAGUAUAAGAGCCGCCGCACGACAAUGCCCGGGUACGACGCCGCUCUAUAGUCGGAUCUUAGAAAGAAAGAAUCCUAGUCAGCGUGUAACAUUGUGUAACUCUUUGUAUGUUUAACAUUUUUAGCUAGCUCCGUAAAAAACAGUCAUAUACGUGCCCUACAGGAACUAAUAUAUUUUAUAUGUCGAAUCUAUGUUGAGCUGUGAUGCCUGGUUACUUAUGUCAAAAGUUGUUGCUUAUUUUAUUUUGCGAGUAAAAAGUUGUUGCUUAUGCUUUUCACACACACAAAAAAAGAACAGAGGCAGUGCAUAUCAUCGUUUAUUCAUCUUUGUUAUAUGUACCCGCAACUGGAACAAGAUGCACUUACAUAAAUAAAUAAUAGGGAAAGUAGUGGCUGCAUCUACCUUCGGUGCACCCAUGAAGUGAACAGUAAAUUAAAAAAAUAGAAAAAAAAAUCUAAAACUUCGUGAAUGUGAUUAUGAGCAAAUGUUUUAGAAGCUUGCAGAGUUUGGUCAACAAAAAACAUAAGAUGAUCUCUAUGCAAAACGAAAUAGGAAUGAUGCUCUGUACCAACGUUAUUGUUCACAUGUUUUCAAAAAAAAAAUAUACGAAGCUCAUCAGAUGUCAAUUUGCCACCAAAUUUUGCAAGCACCUCAAACAUUUGGUCAAAAUCGCAUGGACAAAAUUUCAGAUUUGUUUGAAACUUUUUGGUAACUUUUUUAUCGUGGGUGCACCGGGGUGCAAUGUUCGUGGGUGCACAAAAACCACAUUGCAAGUUCUCAAUUUAAAAAGAUGGUAAUGUAAAGCGGAAAGUAGGACACGCGGUUUGAUUCAAAGUAAAAGCCGAAGUGCAGUGCGGUCCCAGCCCACAUGGUGGAGACUGGAGAAGCAACAAAGCCACCGGAGACUUUCUUCAGUUUGUAGCUUGGCUUCUCUGCUUACUUCUCAAGCCCCCAAUUGACUCCAGUCUCCCUCUUCUUCCUCUUCCUCUCCCCUCCGUUACCUGUUUCUCCUUGAUACAGACAGGGAGAGGAGAGGGAGAUGGCGAACAUCUACGGUGGCUGGGAAAGGGAUCGUGUCGCAGCGGAACACCGGCCGUCAAGCCCAGAUGAGGAAUCUGGUCUGCAAGAACCUAAUUCAGGUGAGCUCUCAGAUUUCCUCCGUUCUUCGUAGCAGCAGUCGGUAGAUAUCAAGGAUGGGAAUUAACUGAAUUAGUAUCAUGCAACCACAGCUCUAUAGGCUUAAAGCGUCCUUGGUUUUCUUUGAUAUAAACGUCUACAUAAUUUUGUUCUGAGGUGUACUUCCGUAGACCCCCCUCACAAAACAUAGAAAGAGAACGUAUACUCACCUCGUAUUGUAUACUAUAGACUUUUAUAUGCAUGCAAUACAAAGUGGACAUACGUACGACAGCUUGUAAUGUACAAAAAUAUACAAUACGAGGUGGGUAUACAUUUUCCUUUCUACGUUUUAUGAAGAGGGGUCUACCGAAAUAAAUGUGUUUUUUGUUUAGUAGUAGUAUGUCCGGAAAACAGAGUGGUUUUGCCUAUUUGAGAAAACAGAGCAGUUUUCCCUAUUUCACAAAUCAUACGGUCUGAGGCACCCAUAUAUCACUUUGCGACAAAUCGCAACCAUAUAUUGGUUAUGCCAUCCUACCUGUUUCCUACUUCGGUUGAACCCUACGUUCUUCACAAAAUUCUGCGAUGGUACUUCUGAAAAGGAACACUUUCCCAUUCUUCACGAAGAAAAAAAACUGUGAUGAGAAAAUUCAGCAUGUUAACGCGUGUUAAUUGUAUAACAGGGACGAUAGACUCCAAGAAAAGCAGCAGUGCCGCCACCAGCCUCAUGGCCUCUUCCGGCAGCGAUGGUACAAACAGUGUAUUGAAACAGGGGUGUUUCCUAGAAGGCCAAAUACUGGAGGCACCGAACAUCCGGAAGUUCACAUUCCCUGAGAUUCGGACAGUUACCAGGAACUUCAAGCCAGAUUAUCUCCUUGGGGUGGGGGCUUUUNNNNNNNNNNNNNNNNNNNNNNNNNNNNNNNNNNNNNNNNNNNNNNNNNNNNNNNNNNNNNNNNNNNNNNNNNNNNNNNNNNNNNNNNNNNNNNNNNNNNCUUCAAUCACUGCCGCCAAGCUAUAAAGGCUUUGUGUUGAACUACAAUAUGCAGGGGAUGAACAAGUCUCCCGGCGAGUUGUUUGCGAUGUUGAAAGUCGCAGAGUCUGAACUCCGUAAAGAGCAUCAAGUGUUGAUGGUGAAUAAGACCACUAGUUUCAAGAGAAACGGCAAAGGCAAGAAGGGUAAUUCGAAGAAGAGCGGCAAGCCUGUUGCCAAUCCACCGAAGAAACCCAAAGCUGGACCUAAGCCUGAAACGGAGUGUUACUAUUGCAAGGGUAUGAGUCACUGGAAGCGCAAUUGCCCCAAGUAUCUGGCAGAUAAGAAGGUGGCCAAAGAAAAAUCAGGUAUAUUUGAUAUACAUGUUAUUGAUGUGUACUUAACCGGCUCUCGUAGUAGUGCCUGGGUAUUCGAUACCGGUUUUGUUGCUCAUAUUUGCAACUCGAAACAGGAACUGCGGAAUAGACGAAGGCUGGCGAAAGAUGAAGUGACGAUGCGUGUAGGAAAUGGUUCCAAGGUUGAUGCAAUCGCCGUCGGCACAGUUUCACUUCAGUUACCAUCAGGAUUAGUGAUGAACUUAAAUCAUUGUUAUUUAGUGCCUGCGUUGAGCAUGAACAUUAUUUCUUGAUCUUGUUUAUUUCGAGAAGGUUACUCUUUUCAGUCAGAGAAUAAUGGUUGUUCUAUUUCUAUGAGUAACAUCUUUUAUGGUCAUGCACCAAAUGUGAGAGGAUUGUUCAUAUUGAAUCUUGAUAGCGAUACACAUAUACAUAACAUUGAGACCAAAAGAGUUAGAGUUAACAAUGAUAGCGCCAUAUUUUUGUGGCACUGCCGCUUAGGUCAUAUUGGUGUAAAGCGCAUGAAGAAACUCCAUGCUGAUGGACUUUUGGAGUCACUUGACUUUGAUUCACUAGACACGUGCGAACCAUGCCUCAUGGGAAAGAUGACUAAGACUCCGUUCUCCGGAACAAUGGAGCAUGCAAGUGACUUGUUGGAAAUCAUACAUACCGAUGUGUGUGGUCCAAUGAGCGUAGAGGCGCGCGGCGGAUAUCGUUAUUUUCUCACCUUCACUGACGAUUUGAGUAGAUAUGGUUAUGUCUACUUGAUGAAGCACAAGUCUGAAACAUUUGAAAAGUUCAAGCAAUUUCAGAGUGAAGUGGAAAAUCAUCGUAACAAGAAGAUCAAGUUCCUACGGUCUGAUCGUGGGGGUGAAUAUCUGAGUUUUGAGUUUGGUGCUCACUUAAGACAAUGUGGAAUUGUUUCACAGUUAACACCGCCUGGAACACCACAGCGUAAUGGUGUGUCCGAACGUCGUAAUCGUACUUUAUUAGAGAUGGUGCGAUCUAUGAUGUCUCGUACCGAUUUGCCGUUAUCUUUUUGGGGUUAUGCAUUAGAAACAGCUGCAUUUACUGUAAAUAGGGCACCAUCAAAAUCCGUUGAGACGACACCAUACGAAGUGUGGUAUGGCAAAAGGCCAAAGUUGUCGUUUCUUAAAGUUUGGGGAUGUGAUGCUUAUGUCAAAAAGCUUCAGCCUGAAAAGCUGGAACCCAAAGCGGAAAAGUGCGUCUUCAUAGGUUACCCAAAAGAGACAGUUGGGUACACCUUCUAUCUCAAAUCCGAGGGCAAAGUGUUUGUUGCUAAGAAUGGAACUUUUCUCGAGAAGGAGUUUCUCUCGAGAGAAUUGAGUGGGAGGCACAUAGAACUUGACGAGGUUGUCGAACCUCUCAUCCCUCUGGAUGGUGGCGCAGGGCAAGCGGAAACCUCUGUCGUUGCGACGCCGGUUGAGGUGGAAGUUAAUGAUGAUGAUCAUGAAACUCCAGUUCAAGUUUCAGUCGAACCACGCAGGUCGACGAGACCACGUGCUGCUCCAGAGUGGUANNNNNNNNNNNNNNNNNNNNNNNNNNNNNNNNNNNNNNNNNNNNNNNNNNNNNNNNNNNNNNNNNNNNNNNNNNNNNNNNNNNNNNNNNNNNNNNNNNNNUAAUAAUAACUAUAUUUAUUAUUGCCUCUAGGGCAUAAUUCCAACAGCCCCGACAUCAUGAUGAUCGGCGUUCAGUCGGUGACACUUAUGAUCCAAGGUCCGACGCAAGAGGGUACAUCGCCCAGAGGAAGGUCGACAGGAGUCGAGCCCACCGCGAUGGUCACGAUAGAGACCGACUGAGUGGAAGCAGGACCAUCGUCUCUGGCCUCGACUGUUUCAGUCCGGCCAUCCGUUCGGCUGACAUCCCUCCCAACUUCUGAUUGGCGACGGGGAUCAGCAAGUUUACAGGAGAAUCCAAGCCAGAAACGUGGCUGGACGACUACCGGGUGGCGGUCCAGAUCGGUGGUGGUGAUGACCAGGUCGCCAUGAAACAUCUCCCCCUGAUGCUCGACGGCUCGGUACGAGUGUGGCUGAACCAGUUAGCUCCUUCAAGCAUCUACAGCUGGGCAGAUCUGGCCCGAGUCUUCAUCAGGACGUUCGAGGGGACGUGCAAACGCCCUGCUGGUCUCAUAGAGCUCCAAAACUGUGUCCAGAAGCAGAAUGAGCCCCUGCGCGAUUUCAUCCAGCGUUGGACAACCCUCUACCACACGGUCGAGAACGUCAUAGAGCACCAAGCAGUCUGCGCCUUCAAGGCAGGCGUGCGGUACAGGGAUCUGUACCUGAAGUUCGGUCGGACAGGCGACAUCUCCAUGAGCAAGAUGAUGGAGAUAGUGGCACGCUAUGCAAAUGGCGAAGAAGAGGACCGCAUUCGUAGCGGCAAGCAUAAAGCAGUCGCCGAUGGAGAUGGGAACAACACUCGGAAGCAGAAGCAUAAAGCUCCGUCCACUCCGCAGGCAGAGGUCGCAGCCGUUACCAAUGCCAAGUUCAAGGGCAAGGGGAAGGCUCAGUUCACCCCCAAGAAGAAGCAGUUCGGAAACCACAUCCUGGAUCAGCCAUGUCCAAUCCACACGAAGAUGGACGAAGAAGGCAACGCCAUAUUCCCGAAGCAUACCACUCGGCAAUGUCGCCUCCUAAUCCAAGGGUUCGGCGAAGGGCAGCCGAGUGAAAAGGACAACGAACAGGAUGAUGAGGACAAGGAGGAUCCGUUCCCCCAAGUCCAUGCAACACUGAUGAUUUUUGCUGACGUGGAAAGCAAGAGUCGUCUGAAGCUGGUGAACAGGGAGGUGAACAUGGCCACCCCAACCAACCUCACAUUCCUCAAAUGGUCUCAGACCGCGAUCACCUUUGACCAGUCAGAUCAUCCAGCACACGUGCCCAUCCCAGGGAGGCAGGCUCUGGUCGUCGACCCGGUGGUGGAAGGAGUUCGACUGCGCAAAGUCCUCAUGGACGGCGGCAGCGGCUUGAACAUCAUGUACGCCGACACUCUCAAGGGGUUGGGAAUUCCGAUGUCCAAACUUAGCGAGAGCAGCAUGCAGUUCCACGGAGUCAUCCAUGGACGAAAGGCCAAGUCACUCGGCCAGAUCUCGUUGGACGUCGUUUUCGGCUCCGACAAGAACUUCCGCAAGGAAAAGCUGACAUUCGAGAUGGUGGACUUCCAGAGUGCAUACCACGCGAUUCUGGGCCGUCCGGCGUAUGCGCGUUUCAUGGCCCGUCCAUGUUACGUGUACCUGAAGCUGAAGAUGCCAGGUCCCAAAGGUGUGAUCACUGUCACAGGCAAUCGGCAGCGGGCCGAGGAGUGUCUGCAGCAGGGGUCGAGGAUCGCCGAUCAGCAGAUGGCUAUCCUCGAGCUCGACGAGUACAAGAAGACAGCCGACCCUGCUGACUUGAUGCGUUCGAAGAAGCCAGCUUCGUAGUCCGCAUUCCAGUCGGCGGGAGACACGAAGAAGGUCAGCAUCCACCCGACGGAAGACACCGCUGCCCCGACGAACUUCUCCACCACCCUCGAUCCAAAAUAGGAAGCCGAGCUCAUCCAAUUCCUCCGUGAGAACUGGGACGUCUUCGCAUGGAAGCCCGCUGACAUGCUAGGUGUACCCAGGGAGUUGGCUGAGCACCGAUUGCAUGUGGAUCCUGCUGCUCGACCUGUCCGAGAACGCCUGCGUCGGUCCGCCGCGCACAAGAGGAAGGCAAUCGGAGAGGAGGUGGCUAAACUUUUGGCAGCCAACUUCAUUCGCGAGGUACACCACUCCGAGUGGCUCGCCAAUGUUGUUAUGGUGCCCAAGAAGGACAAGUCUCUUCGAAUGUGCAUCGACUUCAAGCAUCUCAAUAAGGUCUACCCGAAAGACCAUUUCCCGCUCCCCCGCAUUGAUCAAAUUGUCGAUUCGACUGCGGGUUGCGAGCGUUUGUCAUUCCUUGAUGCCUACUCGGGCUAUCAUCAGAUCCGUCUGUAUGGCCCCGAUGAAUUAAAGACAACCUUCAUCACCCCAUUCGGGUGCUUCUGCUACAUCACUAUGCCGUUCGGUUUGAAGAAUGCAGGAGCAACUUUUAUGCGCAUGAUCCAAAAAUGCCUCCUUGACCAGAUCGGUCGAAAUGUGGAAACGUAUAUGGAUGAUAUCGUAGUCAAGUCACGCAAAGGUUCCGACCUGCUGACUGACUUGGCAGAAACAUUCGCCAACCUUCGUAGGUACGAUAUCAAGCUCAACCCUGCCAAGUGUUCAUUCGGUGUUCCCAACGGAAAGUUACUCAGUUUCUUCGUUUCCGAACGAGGGAUCGAUGUCAACCCCGAAAAGAUCGGGACCAUUGUCCGAAUGGAGCAGCCGGUCAGAAUACACGAUGUUCAAAGGCUCACAGGUUGCCUAGCGGCUUUGAGCAGGUUUAUCAGUCGACUCGGCGAAAAAGCGCUACCUCUGUACCGACUCAUGAAGAAAUCAGAUACUUUCGAGUGGACAGACGAAGCCCAAAUUGCAUUCGACGACCUCAAAGCCCUGCUUUCCACCCAGCCGGUUCUUACUGCUCCGCUCAGUAAAGAACCCCUUCUUCUGUACAUCGCGGCUACAAAUCAAGUCGUCAGCACUGUUCUCACAGUCGAACGCGAAGAAGAAGGCAAGUCAUACAAGGUUCAGCGGCCAGUGUAUUAUGUCUCCGAAGUCCUGACUCCUUCCAAGCAGAGGUAUGCCCAUUAUCAAAAGCUUAUUUACGAGAUUUACAUGACUGCGAAGAAGGUGGCUCAUUAUUUCCAAGACCACUCGGUGACCGUCGUUUCUGAUGCUCCGUUGUCAGAAAUCCUCCACAAUCGGGACGCAUCAGGCCGAGUGGCGACGUGGGCAAUGGAGAUGUUAUAAUGUGACAUGAAGUUCGAGGCCAAGAAAGCUAUAACGUCUCAAGCCCUGGCUGACUUCAUAGCAGAAUGGGUAGAACAACAGCAACAGACCCACAUCUACGCGAUUCCUCCAACAACGAGGCAGAGUAUGAAGCUCUCCUUUAUGGAUUGCGCAUGGCCAUCACACUCGGCGUCCGUCGCCUGAUGGUCUAUGGCGAUUCAGAUUUGGUGGUUAAUCAAGUGAUGAAGGAGUGGGACGUAAGGAACCCCACCAUGACUACAUACUGCAACACAGUGAGGAAGCUCGAGAAAAAGUUUGAAGGUCUGGAACUCCACCAUGUUCCGCGACUGAAAAACCAAGCAGCCGAUGAGUUGGCGAAACUUGGAUCCACUCGGAGACCAGUCCCGAGUGAUGUCUGCCUCGAGCACCUACACCUUCCCUCAGUUAAAGAAGAUCCCUUCACAGAGGAACCAGUACAACCAAAGAGCUCGACAGAUCCGACUGAAGUUAAGGUCCCCGCUGUGGUUGAUCUGAUCAUGGAGAUUCUUGCUAUCAUCCCCGAUUGGACUGUGCCGUUCAUUGCGUACAUCCUAAGGCGAGAAUUAUCAGAAGAUGAGGUCCAAGCCAGACAGAUCGUCCGCAGGUCGAAGUCGUUCACCGUCAUUGAUGGCCAGUUGUACAAAGAAAGUGUUUCAGGCGUCCUUCAACGAUGCAUCUCCCCUGAGGAGGGGCAGUUAAUCCUGGAAGAAAUUCACUCGGGAACUUGCGCUCAUCAUGCCUCCUCAAGAGCAAUCGUCGCCAAAGCAUUCGGAGCUGGUUUCUUCUGGUUGCAGGCGAAUGAAAUGGCGAAGGAUAUGGUCGACCGAUGCGAAGGCUGUUAGUUCUACUCGAACAAGUCUCACAAGCCAACGUCUGCGCUGAAGACAAUCCCCCUUGUUUGGCCGUUUGCAGCGUGGGGAUUAGAUACAGUCGGUCCAUUCAGGACAGGUCAAGGUGGAUUCACACAUCUGUUAGUGGCAGUCGACAAGUUCACCAAGUGGAUUGAAGCCAAGCCCAUCAAGAAACUCGAUGCCCUUACGGCCAUCAAGUUUGUCAGGGACAUCAUCUCCAGAUUCGGGGUACCGCACAACAUAAUCACUGACAAUGGCACAAACUUUGACUCGGACAGAUUCAAGGGUUUCUGUACAAGCCAAGGUAUCCGAGUGGAUUUUGCAUCUGUGGCGCAUCCCCAAACAAACGGGCAAGCAGAGCGGGCGAAUGGACUUAUUCUUCAAGGGUUGAAGCCUCGACUCCUGCGGGAAGUUGGACAUGCUGCGGGCGCAUGGGUCACCGAGCUGCCUUCGGUGUUGUGGGGCCUCCGCACAACUCCAAAUAAAUCUACAGGGCGAUCCCCGUUCUUCCUCGUUUACGGAGCAGAGGCAGUCCUUCCGAGUGACUUGCUUCACAAUGCUCCACGAGUCGAACUCUUCUCCGAAGCCGAAGCAGAGCAAGCCAGGAAAGACGGAGUGGAUUUUCUAGAAGAGGAGCGCGAGAUGGCACUGACUCGCUCAACCAUUUAUCAACAAGAUCUGCGGCGAUUUCACGCGCGGCACGUCAGGAGUCGUACAUUCCAAGCAGGCGACCAGGUUCUCCGAGUGGAUCAGCAGAGACCUCACAAGUUGGCUCCUGCUUGGGAAGGACCCUUCAUCAUCUCCAAGGUGCUAAACAACGGAGCAUAUCGACUCUACAACCUAGACAGGGAAACGGUUGAGCCGCGCGCAUGGAACGGAGAUCUCCUGAAGCGCUUCUACACGUGACCGCCGAAUGGGGCAAUGUAAAGAACAAGUAUCAUUGAAGUAAUACAAAGCAGAUUGAUUUUUUGCAGAUUCAAGAUUCUUCCGCAUUGGCAGACUCCGGUCUCAGAAAAAAAAACUUAGCUGCGAUCCAGAAUCGCCUAAGUACAAACUUUCUCCGAGUAUGCACUAAACGUCACACUCGGGGACUUAGAUGCGAUCCAGAAUCGCCUAAGUAAAAAAGCUUCCUUCGAGUGUAUCCUAGAGAUCCACUCGGAGGCUUAGCAGAACCUCAUUGAGGCUCAUGUGGAUGUCGAGACAACUGACAACUACAUUAGUAUCAACUCGCUCCGAGUGCGCACGAGAUGCCGCACUCAGGGACUUAGCUGUGAUCCAGAAUCGCCUAAGUAAAAAGCUUCCUUCGAGUGUAUCCUCGAGAUCCACUCGGAGGCUUAGCAGACCCUCAUUGAGGCUCAUGUGGAUGUCGAGACAACUGACAACUACAUGAGUAUCAACUCGCUCCGAGUGCGCAUGACAUGCCGCACUCGAGGACUUAGCUGCGAUCCAGAAUCGCCUAAGUAAAAAGCUUCCUUCGAGUGUAUCCUCGACAUCCACUCGGAGGCUUAGCAGACCCUCAUUGAGGCUCAUGUGGAUGUGAAGACAAUUAACAAUUACAUGCUCUGCAUGUUUGCCAUUGGCUUCACCAAGAGACGCCAAACAGAAACCACGAGCCAAAAUCGUGUCAAAAAAAGAGCGAAAUAUUAGAUUCGAAUUCAAAGUAGGUUCAACGAUAGGCGGCUCGGUGUAGAUCAAGCUUAUCCACACCGAACCACGAAUGUGACGGCCAACAGCAGUGGCCAAAGUUUGAUACAGAUACCACUCGGCAUACUGAGGUAAAGUUUUUCAAGCAUCGUCAGGACGGGCACCGGGACUGGGAGGCUCCACAAAAGUGUCAAGGUCGAUCCCGUCUGCGAUGCGAGUGGCGGUCUCAAGGAAGGUCUCCAUGAAAUCUUCGAAUCGAAGCUUCUUGGUGUUGGCGACCUGCAACGCCUUUAGCUUCUCUUCGCGAGCUUCCUUGCAGUGCACUCGGACCAGCGAUAGCGCCACGUCCGCACCACAACGAGCGGCAGAUUUCUUCCACGCCUGCACUCGGUUCGGGACGUCCUCCAGCCGAGUCAUCAGCCCUUCUAUCUCCUGCCGGGAAUCGUCUUCGGGCCACAGCUCCUUGUCGAUCCGGCCGAUGACUUCUCUCAGACGGCCGAUGAAAGGCCCCACUCUGCCAAGGCGAAUAUGUGCUCGGAGCAUGUCCCGAUUCGCUUCGUCGCCGAGUGGAACGUUCGAAACAACCGACCGUUCAAUGUCGGCUGCUUCAGCCUCAGCGUCUAGACAAAAUCUGCAAAGAAAAGAAGAGCAGAAAGUAAGCGCAGAAUGAAUUACAAAGUCAAGAAGCACUCGGCAAGAAGCUUACCACCGAGCAGUGCAAUCAUCUUCCUCGCCCAGUCGUUGACAUACUUCUCCUACGAAAUGCAUCGACGGUUCAUCACCUGCAUUUGACCCAUCAGUUCACUUCUUUGCUUGCCCAUUUUCUCAAUUUCGGCCACCAAUGCCUUGUUGGUCUCCCGGGACUCCUCCAAAGACUUCUCUCGGUCAGCAAGUGCCACCUUCACACCAGCUAAGUCAUUCACAGCUGCCUCAAAUUCCGCAGCAAGCUGAAUCUUUUCAGCCUUCAAUGUUGGAAUUAUGCCCUAGAGGCAAUAAUAAAUAUAGUUAUUAUUAUNNNNNNNNNNNNNNNNNNNNNNNNNNNNNNNNNNNNNNNNNNNNNNNNNNNNNNNNNNNNNNNNNNNNNNNNNNNNNNNNNNNNNNNNNNNNNNNNNNNNUUUUAUGGUCAUGCACCGAAUGUGAGAGGAUUGUUCAUAUUGAAUCUCGAUAGCGAUACGCAUAUACAUAACAUUGAGACCAAAAGAGUUAGAGUAAACAAUGAUAGCGCCAUAUUUUUGUGGCACUGCCGCUUGGGUCAUAUUGGUGUAAAGCGCAUGAAGAAACUCCAUGCUGAUGGACUUUUGGAGUCACUUGAUUUUGAUUCACUUGACACGUGCGAACCAUGCCUCAUGGGCAAGAUGACUAAGACUCCGUUCUCCGGAACAAUGAAGCGUGCAAGUGACUUGUUGGAAAUCAUACAUACCGAUGUGUGUGGUCCGAUGAGCGUGGAGGCACGCGGCGGAUAUCGUUAUUUUCUCACCUUCACUGACGAUUUAAGUAGAUAUGGUUAUGUCUACUUGAUGAAGCACAAGUCUGAAACAUUUGAAAAGUUCAAGCAAUUUCAGAGUGAAGUGGAAAAUCAUCGUAACAAGAAGAUCAAGUUCCUACGGUCUGAUCAUGGGGGUGAAUAUCUGAGUUUUGAGUUUGGUGCUCACUUAAGACAAUGUGGAAUUGUUUCGCAGUUAACACCGCCUGGAACACCACAGCGUAAUGGUGUGUCCGAACGUCGUAAUCGUACUUUGUUAGAGAUGGUGCGAUCUAUGAUGUCUCUUACUGAUUUGCCGUUAUCAUUUUGGGGUUAUGCAUUAGAAACAGCUGCAUUCACUUUAAAUAGGGCACCAUCAAAAUCCGUUGAGACGACACCAUACGAACUGUGGUAUGGCAAAAGGCCAAAGUUGUCGUUUCUUAAAGUUUGGGGAUGUGAUGCUUAUGUCAAAAAGCUUCAGCCUGAAAAGCUGGAACCCAAAGCGGAAAAGUGCGUCUUCAUAGGUUACCCAAAAGAGACGGUUGGGUACACCUUCUAUCUCAAAUCCGAGGGCAAAGUGUUUGUUGCUAAGAAUGGAACUUUUCUCGAGAAGGAGUUUCUCUCGAGAGAAUUGAGUGGGAGGCACAUAGAACUUGACGAGGUUGUCGAACCUCUCAUCCCUCUGGAUGGUGGCGCAGGGCAAGGGGAGACCUCUGUCGUUGCGACGCCGGUUGAGGAGGAAGUUAAUGAUGAUGAUCAUGAAACUCCAGUUCAAGUUUCUGUUGAACCACGCAGGUCGACGAGAUCACGUGCUGCUCCAGAGUGGUACGGUAAUCCCGUCUUAUCGAUCAUGUUGUUAGACAACAAUGAACCUCCGAAUUAUGAAGAGGCAAUGGUGGGCCCAGAUUCCAACAAAUGGCUAGAAGCCAUGAAGUCCGAGAUAGGAUCCAUGUAUGAGAACAAAGUGUGGACUUUGGAGAUACUACCUGAGGGCCGCAAGGCUAUUCAGAACAAAUGGAUCUUUAAGAAGAAGACGGACGCUGACGGUAAUGUGACCGUUUAUAAAGCUCGACUUGUGGCAAAGGGUUUUUCACAAGUUCCAGGAGUUGACUACGAUGAGACCUUCUCACCCGUAGCGAUGCUUAAGUCCGUCAGAAUCACGUUAGCAAUAGCUGCAUUUUUCGAUUAUGAAAUCUGGCAGAUGGAUGUCAAAACGACGUUCCUUAACGGUUUCCUUAAGGAAGAGUUGUAUAUGAUGCAACCCGAAGGUUUUGUCGAUCCUAAGAAUGCUGACAAGGUGUGCAAGCUCCAGCGAUCCAUUUAUGGACUGGUGCAAGCANNNNNNNNNNNNNNNNNNNNNNNNNNNNNNNNNNNNNNNNNNNNNNNNNNNNNNNNNNNNNNNNNNNNNNNNNNNNNNNNNNNNNNNNNNNNNNNNNNNNCGUUGUUUUAUGCGUAUUUGAGUUAUAUGGUUGGUUACCGAAUGUUGGUCGGAGUCCCGGAUGAGAUCACGGACGUCAUGAGGGUUUCCGGAAUAGUCCGGAAACGAAGAUAGAUAUAUAGGAUGACCUCAUUUGAUUACCGGAAGGUUUUCAGAGUUACCGGGAAUGUACCGGGAAUGACGAAUGGGUUCCGGGAGUUCACCGGGGGGGGGGGGGCAACUAGGGAGGAAAACGGAGCAGAANNNNNNNNNNNNNNNNNNNNNNNNNNNNNNNNNNNNGGGCGUUGCCGGGGGGGGGGGGGGGCAACUAGGGAUGAAAACGGAGCAGAAACGGACGAAACUGAGUGCUAUCACAUUUGUUUUCAUAUUAUUUUGCAGAAGUGGAAACGAAUACAGAAACCCCGGAAAUGAAUACGGAAACAUAUACUACCAGAAACAGACACGGAGCGAAUACAAAACGGAUACAGAUAUAGAAGUGGGCGUUGACCGAAACUUUAAGACCCCUUGAAUCAUAGAGUAAUACACACACCAACAAAAAUUAAUGAAUUGCUAACAUGUCUACAAAAUAAUUUGAUUAUGUUAGCAACAUAUCCUAGUAUUGUAUUAGUACAUGACAAUUCUGUAUAGGGUAUAGCUGAGUACAUAUAUGGUAGUAUAAGUUGGGCCUCAAAUGAUCCAUUAUGCUCAUUGUGUUAUUGUGUGUUAUUUGACGGUUGGGAUACAAAGUAGUGCGUAUGCCUAUAGUAAAAAUGGGAAAUUCCAUAUUGACGGAAACAGAAAGUUCCAUUUUCACAUAUGUUCCACCGGAAAACACUCUUCCGUUUUUGUUUCCGUUUUCACAUUGAAAAUUCCAUUUUCAUUUCCGUUUUGCAAAUUUCCAUUUCCGCUUCCAUAUUUUCUCUCCGUUUUCGUUUUUCCUCCGGAAAAGCGGAAAGUUUCCACUCCAUUUUCAUCCCUAGGGGCAACCCACCCCGGGGAAGCCCAUAGGCCUUGAGGGUGGCACACCAGCCCUUAGUGGGAAGGAAGGGAAGGACUCCCACCCACCAAACCAAGUCCAACUCGGUUUGGGGGGGGAGCCUUCCCCCCUUGGACUCGGCCGACCCCCUUGGGGCUCCUUGAGCCCCAAGGCAAGGUCCCCUCCCUCCCACCUAUAUAUACGGAGGUAUUGGGGCUGAUUUGAGACGACUUUUCCAUGGCAGCCCGACCACAUACCUCCACGUUUUUUCCUCUAGAUCGCGUUUCUGCGGAGCUCGGGCGGAGCCCUGCUNNNNNNNNNNNNNNNNNNNNNNNNNNNNNNNNNNNNNNNNNNNNNNNNNNNNNNNNNNNNNNNNNNNNNNNNNNNNNNNNNNNNNNNNNNNNNNNNNNNNUGAAUUCAUGACAACAAGAAUUAUCCAACAUCGACUAGUUAUAAUAAGAAGAGGCGGUAUAAAAAUGUCAAUGCUAUAGAGAUGUGAAACAUCCAUGAAUGAAGAACGGCAAAAACUCCAACAUCGAAAACAUCAUGCAAGAUGCAUAUGGACUCCGUUUUCAAUGAAUUCAAGCUUGGCAUGAAGAUGACCAUAAGCUCUAAGACCAACAAUGAGAAAAGACAACCAAGAACCAAGAAAGAUUGAUGGGGUCAUAGUCCCAGGGUAGGGUCAUAGGCCUGCCCUAUAGGUCCUACCCAAGGACUACCCUUCUUAAGGGACAAGGCACUUAGUCAGUUUCGACUGAAUUAAGGACUUCCCAUCAUCCAGUCGGUAAUGAUUUCCCCAUCAUCCAGUCGGAGAUGAGCAUUCGGAGCGUAUCAAACUGCCGACUGGAUUCCACUAUGUAUAUCGUAACCUCCCUGGAGGGCAACGGUCGUACGUUUUCAUACACCAUUAUUAGCAUUUAAGGCAUACGUUACCUGUAACGUAGGCACUUAUUCGCCAUUACUCCACCCCUGCGCACCGGACCGUUGUGAAGGGUAGCGUACUCUAUAUAAGCCGCCCCUCCCCACUGGUGCAGGGGUUAGCAUUUUCACUGUAAUCCAUAUUUCACUGGACAUUAAGCUUCCAAGAGCACUGAGACAUAGGGCUUUUACCUCCACCGUAGAGGGGCCUGAACUCAUACAACCUCGCCAUAGCUAAGGCUCUGCCCAUCCUUUCGUACCCUACACAUCUACUGUCAGACUUAUACCCACGACAGUUGGCGCCCACCGUGGGGCAGGCGUCUAAGUGACUUCCGGCGAGUUUGUGACUACAUCUUUUCAUCAUGUCGUCCGGUGGAGAUUUGUGCAUGGGUCGUGAGAUCCUCUUCGGCGCACUCUCCUUCAUCGUCGACGAUUCGGCAUGGCUUCGGGAUGCGCCUCUCGACGUCGAGGCGUUCCCUAGUCGCGGGGCUACGCACUUCCGUGCUGGCGCCCGUGACAUCCUUCUUCUCCAGCAGUCGGCUCCGGUGUCGAUCUUCGCCCCCGUCACGCGCCGCAACAAGCGGUCUCGUCGUCCGUGGCUCCAGCGUCGGGUGCGACACGCCCAGGCGCGCCAGAACGCAUCCUCUCAAGUGGCGGUCCUCGAGUCGGUUGUGGUUGCGCCGCCGUCCCAGCGCUCGGACUCAGUUCUGACUGAGUUGCCUUCCGAGUACUUGGGUCGCGGGCCUGCAGCCGAAGUUCACAUGGCCAAUUCCCAUGAAAGUCCCCGCCAAACUGGUCGGAAUGAGCACGAGGUCGGCGAGUCAUCCGGCGCUUGCCGUCAGCCCCGCCGUUCUGCCAGUCGACACACUCGUCAGAGCAACGUGGAGGUGUUCCGCACACCCGUCCUCAACCUGGCUGCCGCCGCCAAGAUAGCCGAUUCCCUCCAGCCGACUGAUUCAGAGGCUGGCAGAGGGAUCGAGCAGAUCCGUGCCAUGUUGCACACGGCGCAGCAACAGAAUUCAGCGGUCUCCCAGUCGCACAACAGGAUCCACAAUAGUUUUGUUCACGCGAACAAGCAUCGUUCAGUUUUCAGCCCCGAUUCUCAUCAGCGACGCAGAGGAGGCAGCCGUUCCAUGAACCCCGAAGAUCAUCGCUGUUCACGCACCCCUCCGUGGGGUGGGCCCUACGGGCCCCUGUUGGGGAACGUCGCAUGGGAAACAAAAUUUUUCCUACGCGCAUGAAGACCUAUCAUGGUGAUGUCCAUCUACGAGAGGGAUGAGUGAUCUACGUACCCUUGUAGAUCGUACAGCAGAAGCGUUAGUGAACGCGGUUGAUGUAGUGGAACGUCCUCACGUCCCUCGAUCCGCCCCGCGAACAAUCCCGCGAUCAGUCCCACGAUCUAGUACCGAACGGACGGCACCUCCGCGUUCAGCACACGUACAGCUCGACGAUGAUCUCGGCCUUCUUGAUCCAGCAAGAGAGACGGAGAGGUAGAAGAGUUCUCCGGCAGCGUGAUGGCGCUCCGGAGGUUGGUGAUGACCUUGUCUUAGCAGGGCUCCGCCCGAGCUCCGCCCGAGCUCCGCAGAAACGCGAUCUAGAGGAAAAACCGUGGAGGUAUGUGGUCGGGCUGCCGUGGAAAAGUCGUCUCAAAUCAGCCCCAAUACCUCCGUAUAUAUAGGUGGGAGGGAGGGGACCUUGCCUUGGGGCUCAAGGAGCCCCAAGGGGGUCGGCCGAGUCCAAGGGGGGAAGGCUCCCCCCCCAAACCGAGUUGGACUUGGUUUGGUGGGUGGGAGUCCUUCCCUUCCUUCCCACCUCCCCUUUUUUUUCUUUCUCUUUGAUUUUUAUCUCUAUGGCGCAUAGGGCCCUUUUGGGCUGUCCCACCAGCCCACUAAGGGCUGGUGUGCCACCCUCAUGGCCUAUGGGCUUCCCCGGGGUGGGUUGCCCCCCCCGGUGAACUCCCAGAACCAAUUCGUCAUUCACGGUACAUUCCCGGUAACUCCGAAAAACUUUCCGGUAAUCAAAUGAGGUCAUCCUAUAUAUCAAUCUUCGUUUCCGNNNNNNNNNNNNNNNNNNNNNNNNNNNNNNNNNNNNNNNNNNNNNNNNNNNNNNNNNNNNNNNNNNNNNNNNNNNNNNNNNNNNNNNNNNNNNNNNNNNNACUGCAUACGUUACAGGUAACGUAUGUCUUAAAUGCUAAUAAAGGUACAUGGAAAUGUAUGACCGUUGCCCUCCAAGGGGGUUACGAUGUACAGAGUGGAAUCCAGUCGGUAAGUUUGAUACGAUCCGAAUGCUCAUCUCCGACUGGAUGAUGUAGGAAUCGUCAUCGACUGGAUGAUGGGAAGUCCUUAAUUCAGUCGGAACUGACUAAGGGCCUUAUCCCUUAUGAAGGGUAGUCCUUGGGUAGGACCCAUUGGGCAGGCCUAUGACCCUACCCUAGGACUAUAACCCCAUCAGCCUAGGAACAUAGUUUCCUAUAAAAGCAUUGUUGUUGCCAAAGUUAUUCCUACCAACAAAAUUAACGUCCAAGCUAGCGUUGCUACUCCCAAUCAAAGAAGACAAAGGCAUAUCAUUAGGAUCCAAAGGAGCACUUCUACUAGCAAGCAAAUUCAUUAACUCAUCCAUCUUAGCACUCAACGAGUUAAUUUCUUCUAUAGCGUGUACCUUCUUACUAGUAGGUGACCUUUGAGUGUUCCAUUGAGAGUAGUUUGUCAUGAUGUUGUCUAAGAGCUUUGUGGCUUCUCCUAACGUGAUUUCCAUGAACGUUCCACCUGAGGCGGAGUCCAAGAUAUUUCUAGAAGCGAAAUUCAAGCCAGCGUAAAAGAUUUGAAUAAUCAUCCAAAGGCUCAAGCCAUGAGCGGGACAAUUUCUAAUCAUUAAUUUCAUUCUCUCCCAAGCUUGUGCAACAUGCUCAUGAUCAUGUUGCUUGAAAUUCAUGAUAUCAUUACGGAGAGAGAUGAUCUUUGCCGGCGGAAAAUACUUGGAUAUAUAAGCAUCUUUGCACUUAUCCCAAGAAUCGAUACUAUUUUUGGGCAAAGAAGAAAACCAAGUUUUUGCACGAUCUCGCAACGAGAAAGGAAAAAAGCUUCAAUUUAAUCACGUCAUUAUCCACAUUUUUUUAUUUUGCAUAUCGCAAAGCUCAAUGAAGCUAUUGAGAUGGGAUGCGACAUCUUCACUAGGAAGGCCAGAGAAUUGCUCUUUCAUAACAAGAUUCAGCAAAGCGGCAUUGAUUUCGUAUGACUCCGCACUAGUGGCGGGAGCAAUCGGAGUACUAAUAAAAUCAUUAUUAUUAGUAUUUGAGAAGUUACAAAGUUUAGUGUUUUCGUUCAUGGUGAAUUCAGCAAGCAAGCAAGAACACAAGCAAACAAAAAGCGGGCGAGAAAAAGGGCGAACGAAAAGGCGAACGAAAAAGGCAAAUUGGUGAAGUGGGGGAGAGGAAAACGAGAGGCAAGUGACAAACAAAGUAAAUGCAUGAGAUGAGUUUGCGACACUUACUUGGAUGAGUUUUAGACUUGAUCUUCCACCCCGGCAACGGCGCCAGAAAUUCUUUUGCUGCGGCAACAAAAGUCCUUCCCUGGCGCGUAGGAAUUCUUCUUGUUACUUCUCUCGUUUGCGUCGGUUUUUCCCUUGAAGAGGAAAGGGUGAUGCAGCACAGGAGCAGUAAGUAUUUCCCUGAGUUUGAGAACCAAGGUAUUGAUACGUCUCAAACGUAUCUUAAUUUUUGAUGGUUUCACGCUGUUAUCUUGUCAACUUUGGAUGUUUUAUACACCUUUUAUAUCUUUUUUUGGGACUAACUUAUUAAUUCAGUGCCAAGUGCCAGUUCCUGUUUUUUUCUGUGUUUUUGACUCUUUUCAGAUCUGAUUUUGGAACAGAGUCCAAACGGAAUAAAAUCCCCGAAAUAAAUUUUUCCAGAACAGAAGAAGAUUGGGGGACUUGAGGGCCAAGGCAGGGGGCCCACAGGGAGCCCACAAGCCCUGUUGCCGUAGCCAGGGGGCCUGCUGCAACCAGGCUUGUGGCCUCCCUGACGCUCCCCUGCCCUAGCUCUUUGGCCUAUAAAUUCCCUAAAAUCCCAGAAGAAAUCAGGGCAUCCACGAAAACACUUUUCCGCCGCCGCAAGCUUCCGUUUCCGCGAGAUCUCAUCUGGAGACCCUUCCCGGUGCCCUGCCAGAGGGGACUUUGGAGUUGGAGGGCUUCUACAUCAACACCAUCGCCCCUCCAAUGACUCGUGAGUAGUCCACUUCAGACCUACGGGUCCGUAGUUAGUAUCUAGAUGGCUUCUCGUCUCUCUUGGAUCUUCAAUACAAAGUUCUCCAUGAUCUUCAUGGAGAUCUAUCCGAUGUAAUCCUCUUUGUCGGUGUGUUUGUCGAGAUCCGAUGAAUUGUGGAUUUGUGAUCAGAUUAUCUAUGAAUUAUAUUUGAGUCUUUGCUGAUUUCUUAUAUGCAUGAUUUGAUAUCCUUGUAAGUCUCUCCGAGUCUUGGGUUUUGUUUGGCCAACUAAAUCUAUGAUUCUUGCAAUGGGAGAAGUGCUUGGUUUUGGGUUCAUACCGUGCGGUGACCUUUCCCAGUGACAGAAGGGGCAACAAGGCACGCAUCAAGUUGUUGCCAUCAAGGGUAACAAGAUGGGCUUUUAUCAUAGAUUUGAGAUUGUCCAUCUAUAUCAUGUCAUCUUGCUUAAGGCGUUACUCUGUUCUUUUGACCUCAAUACACUAGAUGCAUGCUGGAUAGCGGUCGACGUGUGGAGUAANNNNNNNNNNNNNNNNNNNNNNNNNNNNNNNNNNNNNNNNNNNNNNNNNNNNNNNNNNNNNNNNNNNNNNNNNNNNNNNNNNNNNNNNNNNNNNNNNNNNCUGGAUCGAUACCUUGGUUCUCAAACUGAGGGAAAUACUUACCGCCGCUGUGCUACAUCACCCUUUCCUCUUCAAGGGAACACCAACGCAAGGCUCCAAGGCCCCGGGGAAAUCCUUUGCAUAUUUGCCAAGGAAAUCCCUAUAGGCGUAGCCCGUAGCAGAAGGAUUCCUGGCGCCAUUGCCAGGGAAGGUCUGUUGUCGCAGUAGCAGAAAGAUUUCUAGCGCCGUUGCCGGGGAGGAUCGCUUGCCGAGGAGUAUCAAGACAAGAAUAAUCUCACGUCAACACGCCUAUUUCUGGCGCCGUUGCCGGGGAGGCGAGAUGAAGUCAAGAUCUAUCCAAGUAGGUGUCACAAACUCAUCUCUUGCAUUUACCUUUUUUUGCCAGUCGCCUCUCGUUUUCCUCUCCCCCACUUCACAUUUACCGUUUUCAUUUGCCUUUCUCCCUUGCCGUUUUCAUUUGCCUUUUUGCCUUUCUCCUUUGUUGUUUUCUUUUGCCUUUUGCCGUUUUCCUUUGCCAGUUUUCUUGCUUGCUUCUGUUCUUGUUGGUUUGUUGAAGUCAUCAUGGUUGAAAACACCAAACUUUGCGACUUCUCGAGUACUAAUAAUAAUGAUUUUAUUAGUACUCCGAUUGCUCCUGCCACUAGUGCGGAAUCUUAUGAAAUCAAUGCUGCCUUGCUGAAUCUUGUUAUGAAAGAGCAAUUCUCUGGCCUUCCUAGUGAAGAUGUCGCAUCCCAUCUCAAUACCUUCAUUGAGCUUUGCGAUAUGCAAAAGAAAAGAGAUGUGGAUAAUGAUGUUGUUAAAUUGAAGCUCUUUCCUUUCUCGUUGCGAGAUCGUGCGAAAACUUGGUUUUCUUCUUUGCCUAAAAAUAGUAUCGAUUCUUGGGAUAAGUGCAAAGAUGCUUACAUAUCCAAGUAUUUUCCGCCGGCUAAGAUUAUCUCUCUCUAUAACGAUAUCAUGAAUUUUAAGCAACUUGAUCAUGAACACGUUGCACAAUCUUGGGAGAGGAUGAAGUUAAUGAUUAGAAAUUGUCCCGCUCAUGGCUUGAGUUUGUGGAUGAUUAUACAAAUCUUUUACGCUGGUUUGAAUUUUGCUUCUCGCAAUAUCUUGGACUCUGCCUCAGGUGGAACGUUCAUGGAAAUCACGUUAGGGGAAGCUACAAAACUCCUAGACAAUAUCAUGACCAACUACUCUCAGUGGCACACUGAAAGGUCACCUGCUAGCAAAAAGGUACAUGCUAUAGAAGAAAUUGACUCGCUUAGUGCUAAGAUGGACGAGUUGAUGAAUUUGGUUGCUAGUAGAAAUGCUCCUUUAGAUCCUAAUGACAUGCCACUAUCUUCCUUGAUUGAGAGUAGCAACGCUAGUUUGGACGUUAAUUUUGUUGGUAGGAACAAUUUUGGCAACAACAAUGCUUUUAGAGGAAACUAUGUUCCUAGGCCUUUUCCUAGUAACUCCUCUAACAAUUCUGGCAAUUCCUACAACAACACUUAUGGAAAUCACAACAAAUUACCCUCUGAUUUAGAGAGUAAUAUCAAAGAGUUCAUCAACUCUCAAAAGAUUUUCAACACGUCCAUAGAGGAAAACUACUCAAAAUAGACGAUUUGGCUAAGAGCGUUGAUAGGAUGUCUUGUGAUAUUGAUGCUUUCAAAGUUAAUGUGCUCCUCCCAAGGUCAACUUGGAUGAAACUUUAAAAGCUAAGCGUGUCUCCAUGAAUGAGAGCAAAGAAAGAACCGCCCAAAUUCGCGCUAGGCAUGAAUGGUUUAAAAGGGUGCGUUCUAGUGAUGCAAAUCACGAAGAUCUUAAAGUGCUUGGUGUGACCCCUCUUGAAUCUUUUUUUUCGCGUGUAAAACCUAUUGAUGAAGGGGCUGGAUAUGAAUUCACUUUGGUUGAAAAACGCCCCAAUGAUUCGGAGUCCACCUAUCUUGAUGAUAAAGGCGUGGAGACUGGAGUAGAAGAAAUCAAAAUAUUGGGUAGUAAUGAAACUCCCACUUUGGAUUUCAAGGAAUUCAAUUAUGAUAGUUGCUCCUUGUUUGAAUGCAUUUCCUUGAUGCAAUCCAUUGCAAACUCUCCACAUGCUUAUAGCCAAAGCAAAGCCUUUACCGCACAUAUCGUAGAUGCUAUGAUGAAAUCUCUUGAAGAGAAACUCGAAUUAUAAGUCUCUAUACCUAGAAAACUUCAUGAUGAGUGGGAACCUACUAUCAAAAUAAAAAUCAAAAACUAUGAAUGCAAUGUUUUGUGUGAUUUGGGUGCUAGUGUUUCCGCGAUCCCAAAGUCUUUAUGUGAUAUUCUUGGUUUUCAUGAGAUUGAAGAGUGUUCUCUUAAUUUGCAUCUUGCGGAUUCUACUGUCAAGAAACCCAUGGGAAGGAUCAAUGAUGUUCUUAUUGUUGCAAAUAAGAACUAUGUACCCGUGGAUUUCAUUGUACUUGACAUAGAUUGCAAUCCUUCAUGUCCCAUUAUUCUUGGUAGACCUUUCCUAAGGACUAUUGGUGCUAUCAUCGAUAUGAAGGAAGGGAAUAUUAGAUUUCAAUUUCGUCUAAAGAAGGGCAUGGAGCAUUUUCCUAGAAAGAAAAUAAGAUUGCCUUAUGAAUCUAUGAUGAGGGCUACUUAUGGUUUGAGCACCAAAGAUGACUAUACGUGAUUCCAUCACCUUAUGCCUAGCUAAGGGCGUUAAACAAUAGCGCUUGUUGGGAGGCAACACAACGAAUCUAUCCUUUUUAUUUCUGUUUUUUGUUUUCUACACUUUCAUAAUUCUGUUACGAUUGUGUUUUUUGUGUUUCUUUUGUGUUUGUGCCAAGUAAAACCGUUAUGAUAAGUCUUGGGGAUGAUCGUUUGGUCAUGCUGGAAAAGACAGAAACUUUAUGCUCACGAAAAGAAUUUUCAUUUUUUUCUGUAAGAGCUUUUGAGCUGAUUCUUUUUUCUGCUGAUUUCUACGCAAAUUCUUCAUACUGUCGUAAUUUUUCAGAAUUUUUGAAGUACCAGAAGUAUACGAAGUAUACAGAUUUCUACAGGCUGGUCUGCUGUUAACAGAUUUUGUUUUUGUUGAGUUGGUUGCUUAUUUUGAUGAAACUAUGGAUAGUAUCGGGGGGUAUUAGCCAGGGAAGAUUGAAAAUACAGUAAUCCAACAUCAACAUAAGUAGAAUUUAAGUUUGCUAGAGUACCUAAGGAAGUGGUGGUUUGCUUUCUUAUACUAAUGUUAUCACGAGUUUCUGUUUAAGUUUCGUGUUGUGAAGUUUUCAAGUUUUGGGUGAAGUUCUUAUGGACAAAAAGAUAAAGAGUGGCAAGAGCUCAAGCUUGGGGAUGCCCAAGGCACCCCAAGUUGAUUCAAGUAUGCUGAAAAAGCCUAAGCUUGGGGAUGCCCCGGGAAGGCAUCCCCUCUUUUGUCUUCAAUCCAUCGGUAACGUUACUUGGGGCUAUAUUUUUAUUCACCACAUGUUAUGUGUUUUGCUUGGAGCAUCUUGUAUCGUAGGAGUCUUUUAUUUUUGUUGUGUCACAAACUUUCUUGCUGCACACCUAGAGAGAGAGACAUGCACUCACCGUGAUUUUGUCGAGCUUCACUUAUAUCCUUUGGUUAGACAAUUCAACUCACAUGUGCUUCACUUAUAUCUUUUGAGCUAGUUGAUUUUACUCUAUGUGCUUCACUUAUAUCUUUUAGAGCACGGAAGCGCGUGGCUUGGUAGUUGAUCUAUGCUAUGAAAGUAGUCUCAAAAGGGGUAGUUAUCCAAAGGGAUAUGAAAACUUCCACCUUCAUGUGCAUUGAAUAGUUAGAGAAGUUUGAUUCAUCUCAAUUAGUUUUGACUUGUGGUUGUGGUAAUAUUGAAGUUAUACUAGUAAGGUGUUGUGGAUCUAGAAAUACUUGUGUUGAAGUUAGUGAUUCCCGUAGCAUGCACGUAUGGUGAACCGCUAUGUGAUGAAGUCUGAGCAUGAUUAGUCUAUUGAUUGUCAUCCUUUGUGUGGCGGUCGGGGUCGCGCGAUGGUUUAUACCUACCAACCCUUCCCCUAGGAGUAUGCGUUGAAUGCUUUGUUUCGAUUACUACUAAAACUUUUGCAACAAGUAUAUGAGUUCUUCAUGACUAAUGUUGAGUCCAUGGUUUAGAUGCACUUUCACCUUCCACCAUCACUAUCUUCUUUAGUGUCGUGCAACUUUCGCCGGUGCACAAAACCCACCAUUAGCCUCCCUCAAAACAGCCACCAUACCUACCUCCUAUGGCUUCUUCAAAGCCAUUCUGAGAUAUAUUGCCAUGCAACUACCACCAUGACAUGUGCCACCACUUCUACAUUGCCAUUGCAUGAUCAUAAUAUAGCUAGCAUGAUGUUUCCAUUGAUGUCUAUGCCAUGCUAGAUCAUUGUCACGGUACACUACCGAAGGCAUUUCAUAUAGACUCAUCAUUGCUCUAAGUUUUGAGUUGUAAGUGUGAUGAUCAUCUUUGAUGGAGCAUUGUCCCAUGUGAGGAAAUAAAAGAGGCCAAAGAUGCCCACCAAAAUAAAAUAUAAAAAAAUAGGCCAAAGAGCCCACCAAAAAAAAUUGAGAGAAAAAGAGAGAAGGGACAAUGCUACUAUGUUUCCACACUUGUGCUUAUUAAGCACCAUGAUCUUCAUGAUUGAGAGUCUCUCGUUUUCUCACCACCAUAUAGCUAGUGGGAAAUUUUCAUUAUAUAACUUGGCUUGUAUAUUCCAAUGAUAGGCUUCCUCAAAUUUGCCUUAGGUCUUCGUGAGCAAGCAAGUUGGAUGCACACCCACUAGUUUUCUUUAAGAGCUUUCACAUACUCUUAGCUCUAGUGCAUCAUUUGUAUGGCAAUCCCUACUCAUUCACGUUGAUAUCUAUUGAUGAGCAUCUCCACAGCUCAUUGAUAUGCCUAGUCAAUGUGACCAUCUUCUCCUUGUUUGUCUUGCAACCUCCACCACACUCCACUCCACUUAUAGUGCUAAAACCAUGGCUCACGCUCAUGUAUUGCGUGAGAGUUGAAAAGGUUUGAGAAAGUAAAGGUGUGAAAACAAUUACUUGGCCAAUACCGAGGUUGUGCAUGAUUCAAAUUCAUUGUGCAAGGAUGAUAGAGCAUAGCCAGACUAUAUGAUUUUGUAGGGAUAACUUUCUUUUGGCCUUGUUAUUUUGAAAGUUCAUAUUACCUUGCUAGUUUGCUUGAAGUAUUAUUGUCUCCACAUCAAUAGCAAACUAUUGUUUUGAAUCUAAUGGAUCUGAACAUUCAUGUCACAUAAGAGGAGUUACAAAGGACAUCUAUGCUAGGUAGCAUGAAAGCAUCAAAAAUUCAUUCUUUAUCACUUCCCUACUCGAGGACGAGCAGGAGUUAAGCUUGGGGAUGCUUGAUACGUCUCAAACGUAUCUAUAAUUUUUGAUGGUUUCACGUUGUUAUCUUGUCAACUUUGGAUGUUUUAUACACCUUUUAUAUCUUUUUUUGGGACUAACUUAUUAAUUCAGUGCCAAGUGCCAGUUCCUGUUUCUUUCUGUGUUUUUGACUCUUUUCAGAUCUAAUUUUGGAACGGAGUCCAAACGAAAUAAAAUCCCCGAAAUAAAUUUUUCCAGAACAGAAGAAGAUCGGGGGACUUGAGGGCCAAGGCAGGGGGCCCACAGGGAGCCCACAAGCCCUGUCGCCGCGGCCAGGGGGGCGGCCACCAGGCUUGUGGAAUUUUUGAUGGUUUCACGUUGUUAUCUUGUCAACUUUGGAUGUUUUAUACACCUUUUAUAUCUUUUUUUGGGACUAACUUAUUAAUUCAGUGCCAAGUGCCAGUUCCUGUUUCUUUCUGUGUUUUUGACUCUUUUCAGAUCUAAUUUUGGAACGGAGUCCAAACGAAAUAAAAUCCCCGAAAUAAAUUUUUCCAGAACAGAAGAAGAUCGGGGGACUUGAGGGCCAAGGCAGGGGGCCCACAGGGAGCCCACAAGCCCUGUUGCCGCAGCCAUGGGGGCCUGCGGCAACCAGGCUUGUGGCCUCCUUGGCGCUCCCUUGCCCUAGCUCUUUGGCCUAUAAAUUCCCUAAAAUCUCAGAAAAAAUCAGGGCAUCCACGAAAACACUUUUCUGCCGCCGCAAGCUUCCGUUUCCGCGAGAUCUCAUCUGGAGACCCUUCCCGGUGCCCUGCCAGAGGGGACUUUGGAGUUGGAGGGCUUCUACAUCAACACCAUCGCCCCUCCAAUGACUCGUGAGUAGUCCACUUCAGACCUAUGGGUCCGUAGUUAGUAGCUAGAUGGCUUCUCCUCUCUCUUGGAUCUUCAAUACAAAGUUCUCCGUGAUCUUCAUGGAGAUCUAUCCGAUGUAAUCUUCUUUGUCGGUGUGUUUGUCGAGAUCCGAUGAAUUGUGGAUUUGUGAUCAGAUUAUCUAUGAAUUAUAUUUGAGUCUUUGCUGAUUUCUUAUAUGCAUGAUUUUAUAUCCUUGUAAGUCUCUCUGAGUCUUGGGUUUUGUUUGGCCAACUAGAUCUAUGAUUCUUGCAAUGGGAGAAGUGCUUGGUUUUGGGUUCAUACCGUGCGGUGACCUUUCCCAGUGACAGAAGGGGCAGCAAGGCAUGCAUCAUGUUGUUGCCAUCAAGGGUAACAAGAUGGGCUUUUAUCAUAUAUUUGAGAUUGUCCAUCUAUAUCGUGUCAUCUUGCUUAAGGCGUUAAUCUGUUCUUUUGAACUCAAUACACUAGAUGCAUGCUGGAUAGCGGUCGACGUGUGGAGUAANNNNNNNNNNNNNNNNNNNNNNNNNNNNNNNNNNNNNNNNNNNNNNNNNNNNNNNNNNNNNNNNNNNNNNNNNNNNNNNNNNNNNNNNNNNNNNNNNNNNCCUGAACUCAUACAACCUCGCCGUAGCUAAGGCUCUGCCCAUCCUUUUGUACCCUACACAUCUACUGUCACACUUAUACCCACGACAGUUGGCGCCCACCUUGGGGCAGGCGUCUAAGCGACUUCCAGCGAGUUUGCCACUACAUCUUUUCAUCAUGUCAUCCGGUGGAGAUUUGAGCAUGGGUCACGAGAUCCUCUUUGGCGCUCUCUCCUUCAUCGUCGACGAUUCGGCAUGGCUUUGGGACGCCCCUCUCGACGUCGAGGCGCUCCCCAGUCGCGGGGCUACGCACUUCCGUGCCGGCGCCCGCAGUAUCCUUAUUCUCCAGCAGUCGGCUCCGGUGUCGACCUAUGCCGCCGUCGCACGCCUCAAUAAGCGGUCCCGCCGUCCGUGGCUCUAGCGUUGGGUGCAACACGCCCAGGCGCGCCAGCACGCGUCCUCACAAGUGGCGGUCCUAGAGUCGGUUGUAGUGGCGCCUCCGUCCCAGCGCUCGGACUCAGUUCCGACUGAGUUUCCUUCCGAGUACUUGGGUCGUGGACCUGCAGCUGAAGUUCACAUGGCCAACUCCCAUGAAAGUCCUCGUCAGACCGGCCGGAACGAGCAGGAGGUCGGCGAAACAUCCGGCGCUCGCCGUCAGCCCCGCCGUUCUGCCAGUCGGCACACUCGGCGGAGCAACGUGGAGGUGUUCCGCACACCCGUCCUCAACCUGGUGCCGCCGCCAAGAUAGCCGAUUCCCUCGAGCCGACUGAUUCAGAGGCUGGUAGAGGGAUCGAGCAAAUCCGUGCCCUGCUGCACACGGCACAACAGCAAAAUUCGGCGGUCUCCCAGUCGCAUAACAGGAUCCACAAUAGUUCUGUUCACGCGAACACGCAUCGGUCAGUUCACAGCCCCGGUUCUCAUCAGCGACACAGGGGGGCAGCCGUUCCAUGAAUCCCGAAGAUCGUCGCCGUUCACGCACCCCUCCGCGGGGUGGGCCCUAUGGGCCCCGACAUCAUGAUGACCGGCGUUCAGUCGGUGACACUUAUGUUCCAAGGCCCGACGCGAGGGGCAUAUCGCCCAGAGGAGGGUCGACAGGGGCCGGGCCCACCGCGAUGGCCACGAUGUGGACCGUCCGAGUGGAAGCAGGACCAUCGUCUCUGGUCCCGAGUGUUUCAGUCGAGCCAUCCGUUCGGCUGACAUCCCUCCCAACUUCCGAUUGGCGACGGGGAUCAACAAGUUUACAGGAGAAUCCAAGCCAGAAACGUGGCUGGACGACUACCGAGUGGCAGUACAGAUCGGAGGAGGGGACGACCACGUCGCCAUGAAACACCUCCCUCUGAUGCUCGACGGCUCGGCACGAGCGUGGCUGAAUCAGUUGGCUCCCUCAAGCAUCUACAGCUGGGCAAAUCUGGCCCGAGUCUUCAUCAGGACCUUCGAAGGGAUGUGCAAAUGCCCUGCUGGUCUCGUGGAGCUCCAGCACUAUGUCCAGAAGCAGAAUGAGCCCCUGCGCGAUUUUAUUCAGCGUUGGACGACCCUUUACCACACGGUGGAGAACGUUACAGAGCACCAAGCAGUCUGCGCCUUCAAGGCAGGCGUGCGGUACAGAGAUUUGUACUUGAAGUUCGGUCGAACAGGCGACAUCUCCAUGAGUAAGAUGAUGGAGAUAGCGGCACGCUAUGCGAAUGGCGAAGAAGAGGACCGCAUUCGUAGCGGCAAGCACACAGCAGUCGCCGAUGGAGAUGGGAACAGCACUCGGAAGCAGAAGCAGAAAGCUCCAUCUACUCCACAGGCAGAGGCCGCAGCCGUUACCAAUGCCAAAUUCAAGGGCAAGGGGAAGGCUCAGUUCACCCCCAAGAAGAAGCAGUUCGGAAACCACAUCCUGGACCAGCCAUGUCCAAUUGACACGAAGAUGGAUGAAGAGGGCAACGCCAUAUUUCCGAAGCAUACCACUCGGCAAUGUCGCCUCCUGAUCCAGGGGUUCGGCGAAGGGCAGUCGAGUGAAAAGGACAAUGAACAGGAUGAGGAGGACAAGGAGGAUCCGUUCCCCCAAGUCCAUGCAACACUGAUGAUUUUUGCUAACGCUGAGAGCAAGAGUCGACUGAAGCUGGUGAACAGGGAGGUGAACAUGGCCACGCCGACCAACCCCACGUUCCUCAAAUGGUCUCAGACUGUGAUCUCCUUUGACCAGUCGGAUCAUCCAGCGCACGUACCUACCCCAGGGAGACAGGCUCUGGUCGUCGACCCGAUGGUGGAAGGAGUCCGACUGCGCAAAGUCCUCAUGGACGGCGGCAGUUGCUUGAACAUCAUGUACGCUCACACUCUGAAGGGGAUGGGCAUUCCGAUGUCCAAACUUAGCGAGAGCAGCAUGCAGUUCCAUGGAGUCGUCCCUGGACGAAAGGCCAAGUCACUCGGCCAGAUCGCGUUGGACGUCGUCUUCGGCUCCGACAAGAACUUCUGUAAGGAAAAGCUAACGUUCGAGGUGGUGGACUUCCAGAGUGCGUACCACGCAAUUCUGGGCCGCCUGGCGUAUGCGCGUUUCAUGGCCCGUCCAUGUUACGUGUACCUGAAGCUGAAGAUGCCAGGCCCAAAAGGUGUGAUCACUAUCACCGGCAAUCGGCAGUGGGCCGAGGAGUGUCUGCAGCAGGGAUCGAGGAUUGCCGAUCAGCAGAUGGCUGUCCUCGAGCUUGACGAGUACAAGAAAACAGUCGACCCCGCUGACUUGAUGCGUUCGAAUAAGCCAGCUUCGGAGUCCGCAUUCCAGUCGGCGGGAGAGACGAAGAAGGUCAGCAUCCACCCGACGGACGACACCGCUGCCUCGACGAACAUCUCCACCACCCUCGACCCUAAAUAGGAAGCCGAGCUCAUCCAAUUCCUCCGUGAGAACUGGGACAUCUUCGCAUGGAAGCCCGCUGACAUGCCAGGUGUACCCAGGGAGUUGGCUGAGCACCGACUGCAUGUGGAUCCCGCCGCUCGGCCUGUCCGAGAACUCCUGCGUCGGUCCGCCGCGCACAAGAGGAAGGCAAUCGGAGAAGAGGUGGCUAAGCUUUUGGCAGCCAACUUCAUUCGCGAGGUACACCACUCCGAGUGGCUCGCCAAUGUUGUCAUGGUGCCCAAGAAAGACAAGUCGCUCCGAAUGUGCAUCGACUUCAAGCAUCUCAAUAAGGUCUGCCCAAAAGACCAUUUUCCGCUCCCACGCAUCGAUCAAAUUGUCGAUUCGACUGUGGGUUGCGAGCGCUUGUCAUUCCUUGAUGCCUACUCGGGCUAUCAUCAGAUCCGUCUGUAUGGCCCCGAUGAAUAAAAAAACAGCCUUCAUCACCCCAGUCGGGUGCUUCUGCUACAUCACUAUGCCAUUUGGUUUGAAGAAUGCAGGAGCAACCUGUAUGCGCAUGAUCCAAAAAUGCCUCCUCGACCAGAUCGGUCGGAAUGUGGAGGCGUAUAUGGAUGAUAUUGUAGUCAAGUCACGCAAAGGUUCCGACCUGCUGACUGACUUGGCAGAAACAUUCGCCAACCUUCGUAGGUACGAUAUCAAGCUCAACCCAGCCAAGUGUUCAAUCGGCGUUCCCAGCGGAAAGUUACUCGGUUUCUUCGUUUCCGAACGAGGGAUCGAUGUCAACCCCGAAAAGAUCGGGACCAUCGUCCGAAUGGAGCGGCCGGUCAGAAUACACGAUGUUCAAAGACUCACAGGUUGCCUAGCGGCUUUGAGCAGGUUUAUCAGUCGACUCGGCGAGAAGGCACUUCCUCUGUACCGACUUAUGAAGAAAUCAGAUACUUUCGAGUGGACAGACGAAGCCCAAAUCGCAUUCGACGACCUCAAAGUCCUACUUUCCACCCAGCCGGUUCUUACUGCUCCGCUCAGUAAAGAACCCCUUCUUCUUUACAUCGCGGCUACAAAUCAAGUCGUCAGCACUGUUCUCACAGUCGAAUGGGAAGAAGAAGGCAAAGCAUACAAGGUUCAGCGGCCAGUGUAUUAUGUCUCCGAAGUCCUGACUCCUUCCAAGCAGAGGUAUCCCCAUUAUCAAAAACUUAUCUACGGGAUUUACAUGACUGCGAAGAAGGUGGCUCAUUAUUUUCAAGACCACUCGGUGUCCGUCGUUUUUGAUGCUCCGUUGUCGGAAAUCCUACACAAUCCGAACGCAUCGGGCCGAGUGGCGAAGUGGGCAAUGGAGAUGUUAUACUGCGACAUCAAGUUCGAGGCCAAGAAAGCUAUAAAGUCUCAAGCUCUGGCUGACUUCAUAGCAGAAUGGGUAGAACAAUAGCAACCGACCCACAUCUACUCGGCUCAUUGGACAAUGUUCUUCGAUGGGUCCAAGAUGUUGAAUGGCUCCGGCGCUCGCGUUGUGAUCAUAUCGCCAAAGGGUGACAAACUCAAGUAUGUGUUGCAGAUACACUUUGAUUCCUCCAACAAGGAGGCAGAGUAUGAAGGAGUGGGACGUCGAGAACCCCACCAUGACCACAUACUGCAAUGCAGUGAGGAAGCUCGAGAAAAAGUUUGAAGGUCUGGAACUUCACCAUGUUUCGCGACUGAAAAACCAAGCAGCUGAUGAGUUGGCAAAACUCGGAUCCACUCGGAGACCACUCCCGAGUGACGUCUGCCUCGAGCACCUCCACCUUCCUUCAGUUAAAGAAGAUCCUUUCACAGAGGAACCAGUACAACCAAGGAGCUCGACAGAUCCGACUGAAGUCGAAGUCCCUGCUGCGGUUGAUUUGAUCAUGGAGAUUCUUGCUAUCAUCCCCGAUUGGACCGUGCCGUUUAUUGCAUACAUUCUGAGGCAAGAAUUACCAGAAGACGAAGUCCAAGCCAGACAGAUCGUCCGCAGGUCAAAGUCGUUCACUGUCAUUGAUGGCCAGUUGUACAAAGAAAGCGUUUCAGGCGUCCUUCAACGAUGCAUCUCCCCUGAGGAGGGACAGUUAAUCCUGGAAGAAAUUCACUCGGAAACCUGCGGUCAUCACGCCUCCUCAAGGUCAAUCGUCGCCAAAGCAUUCAUAGCUGGCUUCUUCUGGCUGCAGGCGAAUCAAAUGGCGAAAGAUAUGGUCGACCGAUGUGAAGGCUGUCAGUUCUACUCUAACAAGUCCCACAAACUGACAUCUGCAUUGAAGACAAUCCCUCUUGUUUGGCCGUUUGCAGUAUGGGGAUUAGAUACAGUCGGUCCAUUCAGGACAGGCCAAGGGGUAAUCACACAUCUGUUGGUGGCAGUCGACAAGUUCACAAAGUGGACUGAAGCCAAGCCCAUCAAGAAGCUCGACGCCCUUACGGCCAUCAAGUUUGUCAGGGACAUCAUCUCCAGAUUCGGGGUACCUCACAACAUAAUCACUGACAAUGGAACAAACUUUGACUCGGACAGAUUCAAAGGUUUCUGUACAGGCCAAGGUAUCCGAGUGGAUUUUGCAUCAGUGGUGCAUCCCCAAACAAACGGGCAAGCAGAGAGGGCGAAUGGACUUAUGCUGCAAGGUUUGAAGCCUCGACUCCUGCGAGAAGUGGGACAUGCCGCCGGCGCAUGGGUCACCGAGCUGCCUUCGGUACUUUGGGGUCUCCGCACAACCCCAAAUAGAUCUACAGGGCAAUCCCCAUUCUUCCUCGUUUACGGAGCAGAGGCAGUCCUUCCGAGUGACUUGCUUCACAACGCUCCACGAGUUGAACUCUUCUCCAAAGCUGAAGCAGAGCAAGCAAGGCAAGACGGAGUGGAUCUUCUAGAGGAGGAGCGUGAGAUGGCACUGACUCGCUCAACCAUUUAUCAACAAGAUCUGCGGCGCUUUCACGCUCGACACGUCAGGAGUCGUACAUUCCAAGCAGGCGACCUGGUGUUCCGAGUGGAUCAGCAGAGACCUCACAAGUUGGCUCCCGCCUGGGAAGGAUCCUUCAUCAUCUCCAAGGUGCUGAACAACGGAGCAUAUCGAAUCUACAACCUCGACAGGGAAACGGACGAGCCGCGAGCAUGGAACGGAGAUCUCCUGAAGCGCUUCUACACGUGACAGUCGACGGAAGCAAUGUAAAGAGCAAGUAUCGUUGAAGUAAUACAAGGCAGAUUGAGUUUUUGCAGAUUCAAAAUUCUUCCGCGUUCGCAGACUCCGGUCUAAAAAAAAACUUAGCUGCGAACCAGAAUCGCCUAAGUAUAAACUUUCUCCGAGUGUGCACUAAACGUCGCACUCGGGGACUUAGCUGCGAUCCAGAAACGCCUAAGUAAUAACUUUCUCCGAGUGUGCACUAAACGUCGCACUCGGGGACUUAGCUGCGAUCCAGAAACGCCUAAGUAAUAACUUUCUCCGAGUGUGCACUAAACGUCGCACUCGGGGACUUAGCUGCGAUCCAGAAUCGCCUAAGUAUUAACUUUCUCCGAGUGUGCACUAAACGUCGCACUCGGGGACUUGUCUGCGACCAAGAAUCGCCUAAGUAGAAAGCUUCCUUCGAGUGUAUCUUACAGAUCCACUCGGAGGCUUAGCAGACCCUCAUCGAGGCUCAUGUAGAUGUCAAGACAACUGACAAUUACAUGAGUAGCACGAACCUCAUUGAGGCUCAUGUAGAUGUCAAGACAACUGACAAUUACAUGAGUACCAGAACCUCAUUGAGGCUCAUGUAGAUGUCAAGACAACUGAGAAUUAAAUGAGUAAGAACUCGCUCCGAGUACGACCUUACAGUCGCACUCGAAGACUUAGCCGCGAUCACGAAUCGCCUAAGUACACAAUUGCCUUCGAGUGUAUCCUACAGAUCCACUCGGAGACUCAGCAGACCCUCAGUGAGGCUCAUGCAGAUGUCAAGACAACUAACAAUUACAUGAGUAACAACUCGCUCCAAGUACGACCUUACAGUCGCACUCGAAGACUUAGCCGCGAUCACGAAUCGCCUAAGUACACAAUUGCCUUCGAGUGUAUCCUACAGAUCCACUCGGAGACUCAGCAGACCCUCGGUGAGGCUCAUGCAGAUGUCAAGACAACUGACAAUUACAUGCUCCGCAUGUUUGUUAUUGGCUUCACCAAGAAACGCCAAACAAAAACCACGAGCCAAAAUCGUGUCAACAACUCUUUGGCAAAGGAUGAGCAAAAGAUUCGAUUCAAAUUCAAAGUUGGUUUAAAGAUAGUCGGUUCGGUGUAGAUCAAGCUUAUCCACACCGAACCACGAAUGUGACGGCCAACAGCAGUGGCCAAAGUUUGAUACAAGUAACACUCGGCAUACCGAGGUAAAAGUUUUCUCAAGCGUCGUCAGGACUCGCACUGGGACUGGCAGGCUCCACGAAAGUGUCGAGGUCGAUCCCGUCCACGAUACGAGUGGCGCUCUCAAGGAAGGUCUCCAUGAAAUCUUCGAAUCGAAGCUUCUUGGUGUUUGCGACCUGCAGCGCCUUUAGCUUCUCCUCGCGAGCCUCUUUGCAGUGCACUCGGACCAGCGACAACGCCACGUCCGCACCAUAGCGAGCAGCAGACUUCUUCCAUGCCUGCACUCGAUUUGGGACGUCCUCCAGCCGAGUCAUCAACCCUUCCAUUUCCUGCCGGGACUCGUCUUCGGGCCACAACUCCUUGUCGAUUCGGCCGACGACUUCUCUCAGUCGACUGAUGAAAGGUCCCACUUUGCCCAGGCGAAUGUGCGCUCGGAGCAUGUCUCGAUUGGCGUCCUCGCCGAGUGGAACGUUCGGAAUAACCGACCGCUCAACGUCAGCUGCUUCAGCCUCAGCGUCCAUACAAAAAUCUGCAAAGACAAGACGAGAAGAAAGUAAGCGCAGAAUGAAAUACACAGUCAAGAAGCACUCGGAAAAACAGAACUUACCACCGAGAAGCGCAAUCAUCUUCCUUGCCCAGUCACUGACGUACUUCUCCUGUGAUAUGCACCGCCUGUUCAUCCCCUUCAUCUGCCCCAUCAGCUCGGUUCUUUGUUUCCCCAUUUUCUCCAUUUCGGCCACCAAUGCCUUGUUUGCCUCACGGGACUCCUCCAAGGACUUCUCUCGUUCAGCCAGAACACCCUUUAGACCAGCCAAGGCAAGCAUUGUUGCAUCCAGUUCCGCAGCAAACUGAAUCUUUUCAGCCUUCACAGUGUUGUACGCAGAUCCCAUCUCGCAAGUCUUCUACAAGUCAGCGCGAAGAGACGACCAGACAAAUUCAGCAAGGAAAACAAUAAAAACUUGAAGUUCUUCAGACCCCUGCCGACGGAAGCAGUCGACAGCGGUCUCGAGGACUACACCCAGUGGGUUCACUAAGAGUGACCCCACUGGCAUGAAGCUCAAACAGGUCCGCCCUAUUGAGAUACAUAACAAAAACAAGCCUAUGAGGCUACUACUACCCGACCUGAGUAAAAUUACUCUCGGGGACUAAUCCAGUAGGUGCACUCGGAGUCCCCCCACCGGUAACAUUCGAACAGAUUAGUUUUGAUCAGAUCAACUUAAAGAAAAUGUAUAUAAAGACAACUGCCGGUGCAAGCACUCGACAGAAGUCUCGGGGACUACACCCACUAGGUUCACUAAGAGUGAACCCACUGCAAAAUAAUCAUCCUGCAUCCGAGUAUAUUGCUUAAACACCCACUGGGUUACAAGGGGAAAGCAAAUACUUACUAGCCCACUUACUCGGAUAUCGUCCCGGAGUUCCAAGCUUCGCUUGUAUACAGACGCGAUGGAGUCGUACGCUCUCUUGGCAUCACCCGCCAUCAACUCCGCCUGCACCAUGGCCCCCUUGGCAGCUCCCACCUGAUCUUCCGGAAGGCGCUGGGCGUCGAACUGGACGGUCGACGAACCUGGCACCACAAGAGACUCCUUGGGCAUCCCAAGUCCUGCUCCAGUCGGUUCAGCAGCGAUGAGCNNNNNNNNNNNNNNNNNNCAACGAUGAGCGCCGUGUCAGUCGACGGCAUCGUCUCGGUUGGCGGCGCGUCCAUGGCGGGAGUAGUAACAGACGGAACAGCCUCAAGGACAGGCGCCGCAGCUUGCUCGGACCUCUUCUGAUCGUCCUCCUCCACAUGGAUCACCUCUGAAGGAAGCCCGACCAAACGACGUGAGACCACAGGAAAAAGGACAAGACCAAAGACAGAAUUCGUGAAACAAUAAUGUAAGCUCACGGAGUCACCACGACGUACCUUGCUGGGAUGUGACAACGUUGUCCGUAUCCAUGGGAUCGUCCCCCUGGCGUGGCAGAGAAGUGGUAGAGGUGGCAGCUCUAUCGAGUAAAAUUCACUCGACCAAUAAGCAUGAGUUCAAUCAAAUACUGGAAGAAGAUAGAAGAACAAUACACUUACGCUAAGGCGACGGGAACGGCGAUCCUCAUCCGCGGCAAAGCCUUCCGAGGCUUGGAUCCACUCGGUUUGGCCACCUUAGAGGGCUGGCCCGCGGGCUCAGCAGCAGAGUCCCUGGUCCUCUUUGUGCUCCGAGCACUCGGAACCACGGGAGAAGCUGGCAAGGCACUCGGAACCGCAGGAGGAGCUGGCGGGGCACUCGAGGCCGCUGGAGGAGCCGACGGAGCCACGGGUUCGUGGCGGCGUUUAGUUCGAGGCUCUGGUGGUGGGGGUGGCGAGUUCUGUUCCUCAUCUUCCCCCUCUUCUUCUUCGGACUCCUCCUCCGUCUCCCCACUGCCGGAGACGUACUCGACGCUCUCCACGCUACCCUCCUGGCUGCCUUCCUCUUCCUCAGCCGGAUUCCCGUUCGAGACGGGAGAAAACCAGUUGGUCCACGCCUGCACGAGAUACAGUCGACAACAUCAGACGUCAGACAGUGAUACAAGAAAAAGCGAUAAAUCUAAGACAAUUGUGUGCACUCGACAAGUUAUACUCACCUCAUUCGGAGGAGGGUUGUCCGCGCGGAAGGGCUUCACUCGUCGGGCUCCUCUGGGGUUGUCGCAGGCGCCUGUGAUGUUGCGGACCCACGACGUCACAAGCUCCCCGGUCACGCACUCGGGGUUAGUCCGAGUGGAGUCCUCAGGCCCCGCGUAGUGCCACAUGGCAUGGUGUUGAGCUUGCAAAGGCUGGAUACGCCGACCCAGAAAAAUCUCCAGCAAAUCUAUGCCAGUGACUCCCUUUCGGACGACCUCUACUAGUGCAUCGACCAGAGGCUGGAUCUGGAUCUUCUCCAUCUUUGUGAGCGCAAGUUGCCUAGGCGGAGCCGGACGGUCUAGGCUAAAAGGUGGCAGUCCAGUUGCGCCAUUCGGACAUGCAACAUCCUGGCAGUAGAACCAAGUCGACUGCCAGUUCCUAACUGAAGAGCGGGAUAGCUACUUUUACUUUUCUUUUGGAAGCCUAAGCCUCCGCAGAGCUGGAGGAGGUGAGUUUUGUCGUCCGACUGGCUAAGUCUUUUGAUGGUUUGAGAUCUAGCAGAGAAGAUGUGCUUGAAGAGCCCCCAAUGGGGAGGACAGCCGAUAAAACACUCACACAGCACGACGAAGGCAGAGAGAUGAGCUAUUGCGUUGGGAGGAAAAUGGUGGAGCUGCGCCCCGAAGUGGUUCAUUAUACCUCUGAAGAAGGGAUGAGGAGGCAGAGAGAAGCCUCGGUACACGUGACUGAGCAGCAGGACGCGCUCCCCCUCCUGGGGCGCCGGCUCCGUCUGGCCCUCCGUCGGCAGCCUCCAUGUCUUGUGCUCGAUCAUGCCUUGCUCCACCAGCUCCAGCAUGUCCUCCUUCGUCACCGUGGAGGGGAGGAAAUCCCCCUGGAUCCAACCCGCCGGCAGUGCUCGCUGCCGCCGCUGAGCAGGAGCCGCCUUCUUCUUCUUCUUCCGUGCCUCGAGCUUGCUCGUCUGCCCCUUCGUCAUGGUGGAGGCUGUAGAUCCGCGGGGGAGGAGGGGAAGGAAGGAGCUUGGGAUGCGCAGGAGGUCACGAGAGAAGCGGGGCAAGUGCGAGUUAUCAGGCGAGUGCAACGAAAAACCCUCGCUGUAGAGGUUUAAAUAAGGUUCCGACUGGGUCACUAGCAGGUGGCCCCGAAAUCUUAUCCCCCGACCGGUCGCUGCGAUAUUAGUGGAGGAGAUGAAGGCGCGGAAAUCGAGGCGUCAGAUACUACUCGAUUACGAUGUCGUCAUCCCCGCCGAGCGCGCGGCAACCGAAAUUUGAGGAUCCCAGAAAAUCCGCCGCUGUCAGUUGACUGGUCACGUCAAAAGAUUCCACGGAAACACUCGGUACCUGACUGUUCGUUUCACAAAUACAUCCACUCGGAUCACUGGUCAAGAGUAUAAAAUGGAUCGAGGUAAACAACGCCAAAGUCGCAUCCAUACCAGUCGGAUCCGUACUCCAAGCAUCGCUUCGUCGUUCCAACCCCAAUCCAUUCGGGGACUAAUGAUGGGGUUAUAGUCCUAGGGUAGGGUCAUAGGCCUGCCCAAUGUGUCCUACCCAAGGACUACCCUUCAUAAGGGAUAAGGCCCUUAGUCAGUUCCGACUGAAUUAAGGACUUCCCAUCAUCCAGUCGGUGACGAUUCCUACAUCAUCCAGUCGGAAAUGAGCAUUCGGAGCGUAUCAAACUUACCGACUGGAUUCCACUCUGUACAUCGUAACCCCCCUGGAGGGCAACGGUCAUACGUUUCCAUCUACCUUUAUUAGCAUUUAAGACAUACGUUACCUGUAACGUAUGCAGUUAUUCGCCACUACUCCACCCCUGUGCACCGAACCGUUAUGAAGUGUAGCGCACUCUAUAUAAGCCGCCCUUCCCCACUGGUGCAGGGGUUGGCAAUUCACUGUAAUCCAUAUUCCACUCGACAACAAGCUCCCAAGAGCACUGAGACGUAGGGCUUUUACCUCCACCGUAGAGGGGCCUGAACUCAUACAACCUCGCCGUAGCUAAGGCUCUGCCCAUCCUUUCGUACCCUACACAUCUACUGUCACACUUAUACCCACGACAUAGGCCUUUUCCUAGUAACUCCUCUAAUAAUUUUGGCAACUCCUACAACAAUACUCAUGGAAAUUACAAUAGAUUACCCUCUGAUAUAGAGAGUAAUAUCAAAGAGUUCAUCCACUCUCAAAAGAUUUUCAAUGCGUCCAUAGAGGAAAAACUACUCAAAAUUAACGAUUUGGCUAAGAGCGUUGAUAGGAUUUCUUGUGAUGUUGAUGCUUUGAAAGUUAGAUGUGAUCCUCCCAAAAUCAACAUAGAUGAAACUUUGAAAGCUAUGCGUGUUUCCAUGAUUGAGAGCCAAGAAAGAACCGCCCAAAUUUGUGCUAGACAUGAAUGGCUUAAAAAGGCGUGUUCUCGUGAUGAGAAUAACGAAGAUCUUAAAGUGCUUGGUGUGACUCCCAUGGAAUCUUUGUUUUCUUGUGUCAAACCUAAUGAUUAUGGGGCUUGAUAUGAAUCCACUUUGGUUGAAAAGUGCCCCAAUGAUCCGGAGUCCGUCUAUCUUGAUGCUAAGAACAUUAAAAGUGGAGUAGAAGACGUUAAAACUUUGAGUAGUAAUGAAGUUACUACCGUGGAUUUCAAGGAAUUCAAUUAUGAUAGUUAUCCUUGAUUUAUCGAAUGCAUUUCUUUGAUGCAAUUCAUGUUAAACUCUCCACACGCUUAUAGCCAAAACAAAGCCUUUACCGAUCAUAUCGUCGAAGCUAUGAUAAAAGCUCUUGAAGAGAAACUUGAAUUGGAAGUCUCUAUCCCUAGAAAGCUUCAUGAUGAGUGGGAACCUACCAUCAAAAUCAAAAUCAAAAACUAUGAGUGCAAUGCUUUGUGUGAUUUGGGUGCAAGUGUUUCUGCGAUUCCAAAGUCUCUAUGUGAUGUUCUGGGUUUUAAUGAGAUUGAAGAGUGUUCUCUUAAUUUGCAUCUUGCUGAUUCUACUGUCAAGAAACCCAUGGGAAGGAUCAAUGAUGUUCUUAUUAUUGCAAAUAGGAACUAUGUACCCAUGGAUUUCAUUGUGCUUGACAUUGAUUGCAAUCCUACAUGCCCUAUUAUUCUUGGUAGACCUUUCCUAAGGACUAUUGGUGCUAUCAUCGAUAUGAAGGAAUGGAAUAUUAGAUUUUAAUUUUCUUUAAGGAAGGGUAUGGAACACUUUCCUACACUAGUGGGGACGGGGCCUUUAGCCCCGGCCCGUAAGGGGCUUUAGUCCCGGUUCACCAACCGGGACUAAAGGGGCGGGACUAAAGGCCUAACCUUUAGACCCGGCCCAGUUACAAGCCGGGACUAAAGGUGCUCCACGUGGGCGCCUCGUAGCGCCCCAGGGGCACGCCCUUUAGUCCCGGUUCGUUACACGGGCCGGGACUAAAGAGUUUUAAAUUUUGCUUAUUUUUGGGGUUUUUUUGAAUGAAAUUAUUUUUGGGUUUUAGGGUUUUAGGGUUUAGGUGUUCGGAGAUUAACGUGAUGCCUCGUUUCGUGUUCGGGAAUUAGUUUUCAUAUAAUUUAAAUAGAAAUAAUUAUGCAUAUAUAUAUAAGGUUAACUUAUCUUACAAGCGAGCAUAUAUAUAAAAUUAUAUGGAGAUCUGAAUUAUCGGGACUAGAGCCCGUCUAUUCGAUUACAUGGACGAACAUCAGUAAUGGCCCCUAGCUACACUAAAUCGUCCUUUGUAAUCUAUAGCUUCCGUCCUCAGAAAGGUCGCAAGCUCCUCUGCAACACCAAUCGCGCGUUGCUCUGGUAGGACCUUCGUCGUCAUGGCUGUGUGCUAUAUAAGAAGAGGAUAUGAAUAUGAAUAUCAAUCAUGAUAACAAAGAAUGACGGGUAAAAAUAGAGGUGUGAAUGUUUAUUGCUUACGUCGAAUCUGUGAUCCUUGUGCUCGGAGGUAAACGUGCGAAUGGUCUCGCAAACAUAGUAUCCGCAUAGAUGCGUCCCCCGUGGCUGCUGGUCGCACUUUACGAGAAUAGAAUAUAUAUAAUCAAAAUAAUAAUCUAGCAUCAUAAAUGUAUUGAAAAUAGAAGUAUAUCAUACUACUACUUACCUGAGCCGCUCUAAAGGUCAGCUUCUCAGGCUCGAUACCGGGAGUCACGCACUUGAACCUCUUCCAAACCCUGCCCGACAAGGAUAAUGAUUUGCUAAGUUUUUUAUUAAUUGAUAUAUCAGAAAAUCAUCGAAAGUGACCGAUAGAGCGCAAGAAUGAUUGAAAUUACCCUUGGAGCAUGUCCUGCAGGCUUUGGAACUGUUCCAAGGGUCUCAAUAAUGGGUCGAAGGCAUCAACUUUUCCCUUAUCAAUUUGAAUGUCCAACAGAAUCCAAUGGAAGCUGCACAUGUAUAUAUAUAUAUAUGUGUGUGUGAGUAACUUAUCAAUUACACUUAUAAGUGAAUGGACACAACAGAGUAAAGACCCUCACGUGAAGUUGUAUGGAAACAGUAUGUGGUCACAUAAAUUUUGAUCUGUUAGAAACCUUAGAAGGUUUUCCUCCAUCUCCUUGGGAUAAUCAGUUAGCGUCGCUAUAUGUAUUUUAUCUGGGUCAAUAAACCCAAUAUUUAGGAUGUUCUUACUUUUACAAUCCAGAAUCUUCAUUCUGCAUAACAGAGUAUAAGUUAUAUAUAGACAAUGAAUUGAAAUAACUAAACAAGUUAUAUGUAGACAACGAAUUGAAAAACUUACAAACAAUAGCAACUCAUAAGCGAUUUGUCGAGGGCGUCGCCAUUGUACAUCUGGAAGAGUUCAUCAAAGUCGAUAUGGAUUUCUUCGGGGCGGCCGUAGUACUCCCGUGGGACACUCAGCACGAUCAUCGUUCUCCCAUUCUUUGAUUCACUUAAGUACCAUUGAUGCAAGUAACGCAUAUUUGUUGGGAGAUCAUCUUUGCCGACCAAAGGCUCACCCAUGACAAACUGUGGCUUAGGGGCUACCACAUCCUUGGGUAUCCUGUCGUCUUGGGAAGCCAGCAAAUCUUCAACCGAGACACCACAUUCAGCCGCCAACUCCUUUGCUAUUUCAAAAGCUAGCCCCUGCACCGGAGGGGGAACAUUCUCGGUUAACACGUUGAGGGCUGGGAUUGACUGUUUGGCCUGUUGUCCAAGCUGAGGAAUGUCUGAUUUUUUCUUUCUUGUAGUUGAACUUGAUUUGCUCGCACUUGCACUUGCACGUGAUCUGCUCUUUUUCACUUCCUUCUACAAUGUGCGUGUGUAGUCAUCAGGCUUAUGGUGUAAGUCAUACUAUGAUGGAAGGGUCGUGAAGUAUUUUGCAAAUGCUAUUUGCUUCUCGGUGUAUUCCGGGCGGGGCUCGGGGUCCUUAUUUUUCAUCUGCGCAUCAUGAUGUUCCUUUGCUAUCCUGGCGUUUUCCUCGGAGGUACGAUCAUAAGGUCUGAUAGGAAGAUUAGCAUGACGUACCUUUGGGAGGGGCGACCGUUUGCGCUUUGGGGGGGCUCCGUGGCUUAGGAAUCGUCGGUGGAGCGUUCUUGGUGGCACGCUCCCGCUUAGUAUCCGGAGCGGGCGGCGGCGGAGACGGACGACCCAAGUCCGACGGCGGUGAUCGAGAUGGACUCGUGUUGUGCUGGCCGACGUCAUGUGGAGGGCUUGGAGGUGAUCUGCUCUUUUUCACUUCCUUCUGCAAUGUGCGUGUAUAGUCAUCACGCUUAUGGUGUAAGUCAUACUGUGAUGGAAGGGUCGUGAAGUAUUUUGCAAAUGCUAUUUGCUUCUCGGUGUAUUCCGGGCGGGGCUCGGGUUCCUUCUUUUUCAUCUGCGCAUCAUGAUGUUCCUUUGCUAUCCUGGCGUUUUCCUCGGGGGUAUGAUCAUAAGGUCUGAUAGGAAGAUUAGCAUGACGUGCCUUUGGGGGGGGCGACCGUUUGCGCUUUGGGGGGCUCCGUGGCUUAGGAAUCGUCGGCGGAGCGUUCUUGGUGGCACGCUCCCGCUUAGUAUCCGGAGCGGGCGGCGGCGGAGACGGACGACCCAAGUCCGGCGGCGGUGAUCGAGGUGGACUCGUGUUGUGCUGGCCGACGUCAUGUGGAGGGCUUGGAGGUAAUGGAGCUGUAGGUGACCUGCGACGACUCGGAGACGGUGUUGUCCUUGGGGCCGAGCCUGGAAGCUUGAUGUAGUUCUUGUCCCAUAGGAUGACUCCACCCAGUACUUCUCCGAGUGUCCUCUCAUCUUCGGGUCCAGCUAUGUCGAGCUCCAUAUCAUGAAACCCCGUCAUGAUUUCAUCCACCCCGACUUUAGCAAAGCCAACUGGAAUCUCACGGCCAUGCCAGCGUGCAUCAGGGCCAGAAGGUAAAGCUUGUCCGACGGCCACCUUCAUGGAUAUGUUCUUGAAUUUCUGAUGGAGUUCACAUGAUCUUGACCCCUUGAUUCCAUCCACGGGGUAGCCGGGACCGCCCUCUAUCAUUCUUCGUGCAUCGUCAGGCGGGGCCUCAGAUUCAGCCACGCUGCUUUUCCGCUUAGAUGGGGCGCCGGUAAUAUCAAGUGCAGGAUCUUCCUGGCGCGCUACUCCUCUAAGCUCAUCAAUCUGCUUCUGUUGCUCGUUAAUCCUGGCAAGCAACUGGUUGAACUUGUCAUUCUCCUCAUCCUGCUGCUGCUUCUUUGCUCUCUCUCGGCUUCUAUAAGUGUCUUGGUCUCUGGCAAACCCAAGCCACCACGGGUAAGAAGGACCGAAGCCUCGCGUUCGUCCUCCAUGUUCGUCAUUGCCGAGGACCAGUGUGAGGAAAUCUUUCUCUCUAUCUGCAGUGAACUUUCUUUUUCCCUCCUUAAUUUCUUUCACUAUCCUUUUCCAAUUCUCCCUGGGUAUCCUAAGACCGUCAGUGCAGAUGAGGUCCCCUGUUUUUUCGUCGUACGAACCACCAUGCGCAAGGAACCAAUUUCUUGCUCUCAAUUCCCACUCAUCACGGAGUGGUUCAGGUACGAUGCCUUUAUCUAGCAGAUCUUGCUCUUUCUUAUCCCACUUUGGGAUGACAGUCUCAUAACCCCCUGGCCCCAGCUUGUGGUGAUAUUUCUUCUUGUCGUCAUUUAUCUUGUUCUUUUCUGAUAAUGCCUGGGCAUCUUCUGACUCCUUGUACUCUUGAAAUGCCUUCCAGUGAUUCGCCUGCUUGGCUAGAUACCCCUCAAAUACUGGCACUUUCUUUGUCUUCGGAUAGUUUUUCCAUAGCUUCUUCUUCCAGCUACGGAACAGUUCGGCCAUCUUCUUUAGAGUCCACUGCUUGACUUUGGCCCUCAGUUUGUCUGCAGCGUCUUCAUUCUCACAUUCUGGCAGGUUGAAAUGUGACAUGAGAUUAUUCCAAAGAUUAUCUUUGUACCUUUCGGCGACAUAGUCACUAUCGGAUGCCUCUUUGCGCUUGUUCCACUCCCAAAUCUGAUCGGGACGUGAUCCCUAGCGAGAACUCUGCAUUGCUUCUUGAAUGUGUCAGCAGCAUUCUUAGGAAGCUUGGGUUCGCCCGUAGGCAAUAUCACCUCAAAGGUGUAAUGCGUCUGUGCAUCCAACUUUCUAGUCGGGUCUCGUUUCGUAGCUUUGCUCGAUGUGGACGCCUAAAAGGGAGAAACAUUUGUCAAAUGAAUGUAUAUGUAUACAAUAUAGAGCUAUCUCCAAUAUUUUUCACAUAUUACAAGUGAUUGUCGAACUUCAUAUGUAUACCUCGUCGAACUUUAUUAUUUCUUCACCGGCUUCUCCACCGGCUUCUCCAUCAGUGGAGCUAUCACCUUCUCCGUCAUUGGACCUAUCUACUGCCCCAUCGGCUUCAUCUUCGUGUCGCUCGACCUCCAUUCCAUAUUCGGAGGGGUUUAGAUAUGAUGACGGAGAUACAGCUGGUUCAACGUCAGGGUCGUCUUUGAUUAUAUCUUCGAGAAGUUCUUCCUCUUCGAGGUUCCUGAUAUGUGGAUCCAUAGUUCUGCAAAAAACGGACAUUUGAUUAACUAAUAAACUAACAAACUAUAUAAGAGGGGUUGGAAACUUCGAAGUGUCGUUUUAUAUAGGAGGACCUUUAGUCCCGGGUCUUGGCUAGAACCUAAACUCUAAAAUACCAGCCGGGCGGAGCCCAGUCCCGGACACUUAAGCAUAUACAAUAGCAAAAUUAAACUAGUUCUAUUAAUUUUCUUGCUAAAAAUAAACUAUUAACACUUAAGCAUAUACAAUAGCAAAAUUAAACUAUUAACACUUAAGCAUAUACAAUAGAAAAAUUAAGCAUAUACACUAUACAAUAGCAAAAUUAAAUGACAAAAAAAAUAUUUCUUCUUCUUGUAACCCUAAACUAAUUUUUCCUCUUCUUCUAUUUCUCCUCUUCUUCUACUUCUUCUUCUACUUCUACUUCUCCUCUUCUUCUACUACUUCUCCUCUUCUCUUCUUCUACUUCUCCUCUCCUCCUCUUCUAAAUUCUUCUCUUCUUCUACUUCUCCUCUUCUUCUAUUUUUCCUCUUCUUCUCCUCUCCUCCUCUUAUUAUUCUCCUUUUUCUUCUUUUCUUCUCCUCCUCUUCUUAUUUUCCUUUUUCCUAAUUCUACAUAUUACUAACCCUAAUAAUCUAGCACAAACCUAAUAACAAUAGGAAUUAAAUGACAAAAAAAUCUUUUUCUUCUUUUCUUCUCCUUUUUCUUCCUUUCUUCUCCUUUUUCUUCCUUUCUUCCCUUUUUCUUCUUUUCUUCUCCUUUUUCUUCUUUUCUUCUCCUUCCCUUUUUCUUCCUUUCUUCUCCUUUUUCUUUCUUUCUUCUCCUUUUUCUUCCUUUCUUCUCCUUUUUAUUCUUUUCUUCUCCUUUUUCUCCCUUUCUUUUCCUUUUUCUUCUUUUCUUUUCCUUUUUCUUCUUCUCUUCUACUGGCCGGAGUGUUGGGGUGGAGGGGGCGGGGGGCUUACCGGCCGAAGGUGUCGAUGGCGCGCGGCGAGGAGGACGGCGGCGCGCGGCGAGGAGUACGGCGGCGGCGAGGAGGACGGCGGCACGCGGCGAGGAGGACGGCGCGCGGCGAGCAGGACGACGGCGACGGCGAGGAGGACGGCAGGCGGCGGCGAGCAGGACGGCGGGCAGCCUGACGGCGUCGUCGAGUUCGUCGUUGUGCCGCGCCGGGCAGGAGAACGAGAGGAAGAAGAAGAGAAAUGGACGAUUUGGGUUCGAAAUUUUCCAACUCCCGCUUAUACAGGUGGAUCUUUAGUCCCGGUUCGGGGCUCGAUCCGGGACUAAAGACCCCUUUAGUCCCGGUUGGAGCCAAGACCCGGGACUAAAGGCCCUUUUUCGGCAGACCAAAAGGCGGGAAGGAGGGUCCUUUAGUCCCGGGUCGUGGCUUGAACCGGGACUAAAGACACCCUUUAGUCCCGGGUGGAGCCACGACCCGGGACUAAAGGCCCUUUUUCGGCAGACCAAAAGGCGGGAAGCAGGGUCCUUUAGUCCCGGGGCGUGGCAAGAACCGGGACUAAAGUGUUGUCUAUAUAAACCCUCGCCCCAGCCCACCAUAUUCCCUGUUUUUUGGUUGUUGAAGUGUGACCAUGCCAUGCUCUUGCCACUCUAGUUCAUGCACAUGACGUGUUCGAUGAAAUGCCCGAGCCACUCUACUUAAGCUUUCUCCUCUCCAAGCUCCAUUUUCCUUAAUAUUUGUCUAGGUUUGGCCGUGCACCAACUGCACAAGUGUUUUAAAAGGUUAGCUACUUCAUCCUUUCGCCCCGUGCCGAUCUCGUCGCGAGCACCACCGUGGUGAGCCUCUUGUUCUUAUCUUCUUUUUAAAAGAAAAAAAAUCUUACUUGUAUGAUUUAGAUACAUACUUGUAUAAAUUACUAACAUUCAUUAUUUUUUGUUAUUAUAUAGUGCGAUGGUUUUGGUAUCCGCCUCCGUCGGCCCUCGUCCUGUCUAUGAUUCGGAUGUGGUAUAUAUUAUCUUUUAUAACUAUUUGUUUUAUUUUGUGUUUAUGACAAUUAUGACGACCAACGUGACAUAUAUUUUUUAAUCUAGGAGGUAUGUGAACCGGAAAUUCCAACCCACAUAAAAAUUCUUGUCAAGAAGUUAAAUUUGGUUGAAAAAGAAAACAAAUACUUGAAGAAGAAAAUUGAAAAUAAUUGAGGAUGAGAAUAUGGAACUGGAGUUGCAUGUCGCCGAUGCCAUCGAUGAUCGCAAGAUGAAGAUCGAUGCGAUGCGGUUGAAGAUGGAUGCAAUGCGCUUGAAGAUGGAUGAAAUGCGCUUGAAGAUUAGGAAUAUUAGAAAAUAUGCCAUUGAUAAAGAGGCUUGGUAUCAUUAUGCUGUUGGGUCAAUUGUUACCUUAAUUGCGAUUUUGAUCGCAUUUGUUGUUGCAUUUAAAUGUUUUACAUAGUUGUAUGUUGUUUUAUGAGAGAACUUUAUGUAUUUAUUUUUUGCAAUAAUAACAUUUGAUCACUACUGUUCUUUGGCUUUAAUGUGAUGAUGAACUUGUAUUAAUUUGGUCAUAUCUUCUGCAAUGGUUUUUUGAUAUAUUUAAUUUCAUAAUAGAGAUGAAUCGCCAAUUUGACCCUGAAAUUGAAAAGCACUACAAAUGAACUCUGAAAAUGUUGAAAGUUGGCAUGCUAUCAUCAUUUCACCCACAUAGCAUGUGUUAAAAAGUUGAGAGGGCUACGACAAAAACUGGAUGCACUUCGUGUACAAAACAAAUAAUCUCUUUCGAAGUAUCAGGGUUUCGAACGAGAACUCAUCUCUUACAUGGAUACUAUGUAAAUGAAAAGUGUUUGAAAUUUAGUACAUUCCAUACAUGCAUUACAUAAAAGGUUUAAUACAUUAUUACAUUAUUGCACCAAUAUUCCUAUCUAUUAUUUCUGUUUUCUUCUGGGUCGUAGCCAUGGAGAAUCUUCAUCAUUCAGUAGGAUGCUUGGGUCAGUUUUCACUUUGAAGGGCGGAAUUUUAUGAAACUUAUUAUAAUCUUCUGACAUGUCUGUCUUGUCAUCUACUCCCAUGAUGUUUCUUUUCCUUGAAAGAACUAUGUGGCGUUUUGGCUCAUCGGACGAUAUCUUCUUUUGCUGAUUUCUUUUUCUCGUUUUUGUAGACAUGUCCUUCACAUAGAAAACUUGAGCGACAUCAUUGGCUAGGACAAAUGGUUCGUCCAUGUACGCAAGAUUGUUGAGAUCCACUGUUGUCAUGCCGUACUUUUGGUCUACAACUACCCCGCCUCCUGUCAGCUUCACCCAUUUGCACCGAAGCAAAGGGAUCUUAAAAGUAGGUCCAUAGUCAAGUUCCCAUAUUUCCUCUAUGUACCCGUAAUAUGUUUCCAAACAGUGCCCAUUCUCGUCUGUUGCAUCAAAGCGGACACCACUAUUUUGGUUGGUGCUCUUUUUAUCUUGGGCAACCUUGUAAAAUGUAUUCCCAUUUAUCUCAUAUCCUUGGAAAGUACAUAUAGUCGAAGAUGGUGGCCUGGCCAAACAGUACAGCUCAUCUCCAACGGUGUCGUCAUUCAUGAGAUGUGUCUGCAACCAACUGCCGAAAGUCUUCUCGUGUUCCCUUUAAUCCAAGAGUCAGCCUUCCCCGGGUUUUCGGAGCGUAGAAUAUUCUUGUGUCGCACGAUAUACGGAGCCACCACGGUGGAAUUGUGUAGAACUGUGUAGUGUGCUUGAGAGAAAGAAUGCCCGUCCAUACAUACUUUUGCUUUCCUUCCUAAUGUGCCUUUUCCUGUCAGCCUACCCUCAUACCGAGAUUCAGGAACACCAAUCGGCUUAAGGUCAGGAAGAAAGUCCACACAAAACUCAAUGACCUCCUCUGUUCCAUAGCCCUUGGAGAUGCUUCCUUCUGGCCUAGCACGGUUACGAACAUAUUUCUUUAAGACUCCCAUGAACCUCUCGAAGGGGAACAUAUUGUGUAGAAACACAGGACCGAGAAUUCUAAUCUCUUCGACUAGGUGAACUAGGAGGUGUGUCAUUAUAUUGAAGAAGGAUGGCGGGAACAACAACUCAAAGCUGACCAGACAUUGGACCACAUCAAUCUGUAACCCUGAUAGACUUUCUCGACCGAUUACCUUCUGAGAAAUUGCAUUGAGGAAUGCACAUACCUUCACAAUUGCCAGGCGAACAUUUUCCGGUAGAAUUCCCCUCAAUGCAACCGGAAGCAAUUGCGUCAUAAGCACGUGGCAGUCAUGAGACUUCAGGUUUUGGAAUUUUUUGUCUUUCAUAUUUACGAUUCCCUUUAUAUUCGACGAGAAGCCAGUCGGGACCUUGAUACUGAAAAGGACUUCAAAGAAGAUUUCCUUCUCUUCCUUAGUAAGUGCGUAGCUGGCACGCCCUUGAAACUGCCCUGGAUGCAUGCCAUCUCUUCCUUUAUGACGUUCCUGGUCCUCCCGUGCUUCCGGUGUAUCUUUUGACUUCCCAUACAAGCCCAGGAAGCCUAGAAUAUUCACGCAGAGAUUCUUCGUCAGGUGCAUCACUUCGAUUGCCGAGCGGACCUCAUGGACUUCCCAGUAGGGUAGCUCCCAAAAUAUAGAUUUCUUCUUCCACAUGGGUACGCGCUUAUCAGGGCCGUUAGGAACAGGUUGGCUGCCAGGACCCUUUCCAAAGAUUACUUUUAAAUCUUUGACCAUAUCAAAUACUUCAGCACCAGUACGGAUGACAGGCUUCGCCCGGGGUUCUGCCUUGCCAUUGAAAUGCUUGCCUUUUUUCUUUAAGGGAUGCUUGGGCGGAAGAAAACGACGAUUGUAUGGGUACACAUUCUUCCUACAUUUGUCCAGAUAUAUACUUUCUGUCUGAUCCAAACAGUGCGUGCAUGCAUUGUAUCCCUUGUUUGACUGUCCUGAAAUGUUACUAAGAGCAGGCCAAUCAUUGAUGGUUACGAAAAGCAACGCUCGAAGGUCAAAUUCCUCUUGUUUGUGCUCGUCCCACACACGUACACCUGGUUCGGCCCACAACUGUAAAAGUUCAUCAACUAAUGGCCUUAGGUACACAUCAAUAUCGUUGUUGGGUUGCUUUGGACCUUGGAUAAGCACUGGCAUCAUAAUGAACUUCCGCUUCAUGCACAACCAAGGAGGAAGGUUGUAGAUACAUAGAGUAGCGGGCCAGGUGCUGUGACUGCAACUCUGCUCCCCAAAAGGAUUCAUGCCAUCUGUACUCAGACCUAACCAUAAGUUCCUUGCGUCAGCUGCAAAUCUCGGGAACUCUCUCUCGAUUUUUCUCCAUUGCCGACCAUCAGCGGUGUGCCUCAACUUAUCGUCUUUCAUACGAUCUUCCAUGUGCCAUCGCAACAACUUCGCAUGAUCUUUAUUUCUGAACAGACGUUUCAACCGUGGUAUUAUAGGAGCAUACCACAUCACCUUGGCAGGAACCCUCUUCCUGGGUGGCUCGCCCUCAAUAUCACCAGGGUCAUCUUUUCUGAUCUUAUACCGCAAUGCAGUGCAUACCGGGCAUUUAUCCAUAUUCUCGUACUUAGGGCAUGCAUGUAUCUUCUGCACGUCUAAUCCUAGAGGGCAGACAAGCUUCUUUGCUUCGUCCGUGCUGGCGGGCAAUUCGUUCUUUCUUGGAAGCAUCUUCUUCAUCAGUACCAGCAACUUUUCGAAUGACGAGUCAGUCACACCGGUCUCUGCCUUCCACUUCAGCAAUUCCAGUGUGCUACCCAGCUUCUUCUGGCCAUCUUCACAAGUUGGGUACAACAAUUUGUUGUGGUCCUGUAACAUCUGCUGGAACUGCAACCUCUCCUUUUCUGUGUCGCAACCUCGCUGUGCAUCAGAAAUGACCCGGCCAAGAUCAUCAGCGGGCUCAUCUGGUUCCCGUUCUUCAUCCUGAUCUUCUUCUUCAUUGUCUUCCAUUGCGGUAUCAGCAUACUCAGGGAACAUAGAUCGGUAGUUGUCAUCAUCGUUCUCUUCUUCUUCAUCGUCGUCUUCCAUCAUAACCCCUCUUUCUCCAUGCUUGGUCCAAACAUUAUAGCCCGACAUAAAACCGGACCGAAGCAGGUGGCUCUGAAUGACUCUUGAGGAAGUGUAAUCCUUCUCAUUCCGACAUUCAACACAUGGACAAAACAUAUAGCCACCACCAUGCUUGUUUGCAUCGGCUGCAUCUCAAAAAGAAUGCACGCCUUCUCUGUAAGCGGAUGUGCGUCGAUCACCGUACAUCCAUGGAUGGCUCAUCUGUGUUAUACGACAGUAUAUCAAAUACAACCACGUUCCUAAAAAUUAGUACCGCAUGGUCUAAACGAGGAAAUAUAGUUGCUAACCUUUUAGAAUAAGUAGAAAUAAAGAGGAAGAGGUUUAAGCGUGGCUCGGGCAUCUCAUAUCGUAGUUGUGUUCGGUGAACUAAAGCGGCAUCGCUCUAACACACAUUUCAACAAACACCUCUAGUGCAUCAAAAAAAGUGGAGAGCUAGCACCCACCCACAAUCCUCCAUCCAAGAAAAAUGCAAGGAAGAGGGGAGAGGGGGGCUGUGCUAUAUAUAGGCAGAGGACUUUAGUCCCGGUUUGAGACACAAACCGGGACUAAAGGUGGCGCACAUGUGGGCUGCCCACCGCGUAGCCCUUUAGUCCCGGUUUGGGACAUGAACCGGGACUAAAGGCUCCUUACGGGCCGGGACAAAAGCCUCGAGGGAGGCAUUGAGAAUUGGGGCGACGUGGCCGGGCCUUUAGUCCCGGCCCAGAGGCAGGCCGGGACUAAAGGGUCCCGGCCAAAGGCCCGUUCUCCACUAGUUCUAGAAAUAAAAUAAGAUUGCCUUAUGAAUCCAUGAUGAGGGCCACUUAUGGUUUGAGCACCAAAGACGAUGAUACCUGAUUCUAUCGCUUCUAUGCCUAGCUAAGGGCGUUAAACAAUAGCGCUUGUUGGGAGGCAACCCAAUGAAUUUAUCUUUUUCUUUCUGUUUUGUUGCGUCCACACUUUCAUAAUUCUGUUGUGAUUGUGUUUUUUGUGUUUCUUUUUGUGUUUGAGCCAAGCAAAGCCUUUAUGAUCAGUCUUGGUAAUGGUUGUUUGAUCAUGCUGGAAAAAGACAGAAACUUUCUGCUGACGAGAUGAUUUUUCAUUUUUAUUCAGAAAGAGCUUUUGAGUUGAUUCGUUUUUCUGCUGAUUUAUAUGCUUUUUCCCCAGACCUUCGUAAUUGUUCAGAUUUUUUGAGGUACCAUAAGUAUGCUAGGUAUACAGAUUGCUACAGACUGGUCUGUUUUUGACAGAUUCUGUUUUUGUUGAGUUGGUUUCUUGUUUUGAUGAAACUAUGGUUAGUAUCGGGGGGUACUAGCCAUGGAAAAGUGAGAAUACAGUAGCCCAUCAUCAAUAUAGAUGGAAUUCAAGUUUUCUACAGUACCAAAAGAAGUGUUAGAUUGUUUUCUUGUACUAAUGUUAUCACAAGUUUCUGUUUAAGUUUUGUGUUGUGAAGUUUUCAAGUUUUGGGUGAUGUUCUCAUGGACAAAGAGAUAAGGAGUGGAAAAAGCCCAAGCUUGGGGAUGCCCAAGGCACCCCAAGCCAAAUUCGAGGACACCAAAAAGCCUAAGCUUGGGGAUGCCCCGGGAAGGCAUCCCCUUUUUCGUCUUCAAUCCAUCGGUAACAUUACUUGGGGCUAUAUUUUUAUUCACCACAUGAUAUGUGUUUUGCUUGGAGCGUCUUGUAUCUUAGGAGUCUUUUAUUUUUGUUGCGUCACAAUCAUCCUUGCUGCACACCUUUUUGAGAGAGAGACACGCACUCAUUGUGAUUUUGCUAGAAUGCUUAUAGUGUUUCACUUAUAUCUUUUGAGCUAGAUACUUUUGCUCUAGUGCUUCACUUAUAUCUUUUGAGCUAGAUACUUAUGCUCUAGUGCUUCACUUAUAUCUUUUGAGCUAGAUACUUUUGCUCUUGUGCUUCACUUAUAUCUUUAGAGCACGGUGGUGCGUGAUUUGGUAGUUGGCUUAUGCUAUGAAAGUAGUCCCAUGUGCUAGGUACCCAAAGAGGAUGCAAAAACCUCCAUCUUCAUGUGCAUUGAGUAAAAAGAGAAGUUUCGAUUCCUCUCGAUUAGUUUUGAGACAUGGAUUCGGUAAUAUUAAAAGCUAUGUCAGUAGGGUGUUGUGAAUCUAGAAAUACUUGUGUUGAAGUUAGUGAUUCCCGUAGCAUGCACGUAUGGUGAACCGCUAUGUUAGGAAGUCGGAGCAUAAUUGAUCUAUUGAUUUUCAUCCUUUGUGUUGAGGUCGGGAUCGCGCCAUGGUUUACGCCUACCAACCCUUCCCCUCGGAGUAUGCGUUUAGCACUUUGUUUCAAUUACUAAUAAAAACUUUCGCAACAAGUAUGUGAGUUCUUUAUGACUAAUGUUGAGUCCAUGGAUUAGAUGCACUUUCACCUUCCACCAUUGUUAGCCUCUCUAGUACCACGCAACUCUCGCCGGUGCACAAACCCACCAAAUUCCUUCCUCAAAACAGCCACCAUACCUACCUACUAUGGCAUUUUCAGCCAUUCCGAGAAAUAUUGCCAUGCAACUACCACAGUUCCGUCUCAUGACCUGUGCCGUCACUCUCAUAUUGCCAUUGCAUGAUCAUACUAGAUCGUUGCACAUCCCGGUACACUGCCGGAGGCAUUCCCUAUGGAGUCAUCAUCAUUGUGAUCUUUGAACUUUGGGUAACUAAAAAUUGUGAUGAUCACCAUUAUUAGAGCAUUGUCCCAUGUGAGGAAUUAAAAAAAAGAGAGGCCAAAGAGCCCAAAAACAAAAAAAAAGAGAAAAAAAGAGGCCUAAGAGCCCAAAUAAAAAAAAUGAGAGAAAAAGAGAGAAGGGACAAUGCUACUGUCUUUUUCCACACUUGUGCUUCAUAUUAGCACCAUGUUCUUCAUGAUUGAGAGCUUCUUGCUUUGUCACUACCAUAUGCUAGUGGGAAUAUUUUAUAUAACUUGGCUUGUAUAUUCCAAUGAUGGGCUUCUACAAAAUUUCCCUAGGUCUUCGUGAGCAAGCAAGUUGGAUGCACACCCACUUGUUUUCCUUUUGAGCUUUCACAUACUUAUAGCUCUAGUGCAUCUCUUGUAUGGCAAUCCCUACUCAUUCACAUUGAUAUCUAUUAAUGGGCAUCUCCAUAGCCUAUUGAUACGCCGAGUCAAUGUGACCAUCUCCUCCUUUUUGUCUCACAACCACUACCACACUCUAUUCCACCUAUAGUGUUAUAUCCAUGGCUCGCGCUCAUGUAUUGCGUGAUAGUUAUGAAAAGUUUGAGAAAGUAAGAGUGCGAAAACAAUUACUUGGCCAAUUCCGGGGUUGUGCAUGAAUUACAUUAGUUGUGUGAGGAUGAUGGAGCAUAGCCAGACUAUAUGAUUUUUUAGGGAUAACUUUCUUUGGCCUUGUUAUUUAGAAAGUUCAUGAUUACUUUGCUAGUUUGCUUGAAGUAUUACUGUUUUCAUGUCAAUAGCAAACUAUUGUUUUGAAUCAUAUGGAUCUGAAUAUUCAUGCCAUGUGAGAGAAGUUGCAAAGGACAACUAUGCUAGGUAGCAUUCCACAUCAAAAAUUCAUUCUUUAUCACUUCCCUACUCGAGGACGAGCGGGGGUUAAGCUUGGGGAUGCUUGAUACGUCUCCAACGUAUCUAUAAUUUUUGAUGGUUUCAUGUUAUUAUCUUGUCAAACUUUGGAUGUUUUGCAUGCCUUUUAUUUAUUUUCUGGGACUAACUUAUUAAUCCAGUGCCAAGUGCCAGUUCCUGUUUUUUCCAUGUUUUUGACCCCUUUUAGAGGAGAUUUUGAAACGGAGUCCAAACGGAAGAAAAUUCCCGAAAAUAUUUUUUCUGGAAGGGAAGAAGAUCGGAGAGCUUGGGGGCCAAGCCAGAAGAGUCCCACGGGCCCCACAAGCCCCCACCCCGCGGCCAGGGGUCCGCGCCAUGCAGGCUUGUGGGCCCCCUGGAGGUCCCCUGACCUAGAUCUUGCGCCUAUAAAUUCCCAAAUAUUCCCAAAAAAUGAGGGGAGCAUCGUAAUCACUUUUUUGCCGCCGCAAGCUUCUGUCUCCGCAAGAUACCAUCUCGGGCACGUCCUGGUGCCCUGCCGGAGGGGGGAUUCGGACACGGAAGGCUUCUCCAUCAACACCAUGACCUCUCCGAUGAUGCGUGAGUAGUUCACCAUAGACCUACGGGUCCAUAGCUAGUAACUAGAUGACUUCUUCUCUCUCUUGGAUCUUCAAUACAAUGUUCUCCAUGAUCUUCAUGGAGAUCUAUCCGAUGUGAUCUUCUUUUGAGGUGUGUUUGUCGAGAUCCGAUGAAUUGUGGAUUUAUGAUCAGAUUAUCUAUGAAUCUUAUUUGAGUUUCUUCUGAUCUCUCUUAUGCAUGAUUUCAUAUCCUUGUAAUUCUCUUCGAGUUGUGGGUUUUGUAUGGCCAACUAGAUCUAUGAUUCUUUCCAUGGGAGAAAUGCUUGGUUUUGGGUUCAUACCGUGCGGUGACCUCACCCAGUGACAGAAGGGGUAGCGAGGCACGUAUCAUGUUGUUGCCAUCAAGGGUAAAAAGAUGGGGUUUUCAUCAUUGGAUUGAGAUUAUCCCUCUACAUCAUGUCAUCUUGCUUAAAGCGUUACUCUGUUCGUCAUGAACUCAAUACACUAGAUGCAUGCUGGAUAGCGGUCGAUGUGUGGAGUAAUAGUAGUAGAUGCAGAAAGUAUCGGUCUACUUGUCUCGGACGUGAUGCCUAUAUGCUAGAUCGUUGCCUUAGAUAUCGUCAUGACUUUGCGCGGUUCAAUCAAUUGCUCAACAGUAAUUUGUUCACCCACCGUAAUACUUGCUAUUUUGAGAGAAGCCUCUAGUGAACACUAUGGCCCCGAGGGUCUACUCCACAUCAUAUUUUCAGCCUUACACUUUUUACUUCAUUGCACUUUCCGCCUUCAUAUCUCACUUUGCAAACAAUCUUGAAGGGAUUGACAACCCCUUUGAAGCGUUGGGUGCAAGCUUGUUUGUUUUUGCGCAGGUACUUUGGACUUGACAAGGCCCUCCUUUUGGUUCGAUACCUUGGUUCCCAAACUAAGGGAAAUACUUGCUGCUCCUGUGCUGCAUCACCCUUUCCUCUUCAAGAGAAAAAUCGACGCAAACCAGAGAAGUAACUACGCGCCAGGGAAGGACUUUUCUUAACGCAGCAGAGCCCUGCUGGGAUAGAUCACCAUCAACCUCCGGAGUGUCGUCACGCUGCCGGAGAACUCAUCUACCUCUCCGUCUCUCUUGCUGGAUCAAGAAGGCCGAGAUCAUCGUUGCGUUGUAAGUGUGCUGAACGCGGAGGUGCCGUCUGUUCGGCACUAGAUCGGGAAGGAUCAUGAUGAGAUUGCGAGACGGAUCGCGAUGAAGUUUGCGGGACGGAUCAUGAUGAUAUAGUGGGAUGGAGUGUACGACUAUGGUGAUUUGAAUCACGCAAGCUGUUCCACUACAUCGUCCACGUUUCUUAAUGCUUACCGCUAUGCGAUCUAGAAGGGUACGUAGAUCAGAAAUAUCCUCUCAUAGAUUAACAUCACCAUGAUAGGUAUUGCGUGUGCGUAGGAAAUUUUUUGUCUCUCAUGCGACGUUCCCCAACAGUGGCAUCAUGAGCUAGGUUCAUGUGUAGAUGUUAUCUCGAGUAGAACACAAAAGUUUUUGUGGGCGGUGAUGUGCGAUUUUAUGCCCUCCUUAGUCUUUUCUUGAUUCCGCGGUAUUGUUGGAUCGAAGCGGCUCGGACCGACAUUACUCGUACGCUUAUGAGAGACUGGUUUCAUCGCUACGCUCAACCCCAUUGCUUAAAGAUGACUGGCGAGUGUCGGUUUCUCCAACUUUAGUUGAAUCGGAUUUGACCGAGGAGGUCCUUGGAGAGAGGUUAAACAACAAUUCAUACAUCUCCGUUGUGGUGUUUGAGUAAGUAAUAUGCGAUCCUACUAGAUACCCAUGGCAACCAUGUAAAACAUGCAACAACAAUUAGAGGACGUCUAACUUGUUUUUGCAGGGUAUGCUUGUGAUGUGAUAUGGACAACGACGUGAUGUGAUAUAUUGGAUGUAUGAGAUGAUCAUGUUGUAAUAGUUAAUAUCGACUUGCACGCCGAUGCUAGGGCAACCGGCAGGAGCCAUAGGGUUGUCUUUAAACUAACGUUUUUGUUUGCAGAUGCGUUUACUAUAUUGUUAGGACGUAGCUUUAGUAGUAAUAGCAUAGCAUACACGACAAGCUCGAUGGCGGCACAAUGAUGGAGAUCAUGAUGAUGGGGAUCAUGGUGUGGCACCGAUGACAAGAAGAUCAUACCGGUGCUUUGGUGGUGGAGAUCAAGGAGCACUUGAUGAUGGCCAUAUCAUGUCACUUAUGAAUUGCAUGUGAUGUUAAUCCUUUAUGCACCUUAUCUUGCUUAGAACGACGGUAGCAUUAUGAGGUGAUCUCUCACUAAAAUUUCAAGAUGAAAUUGUGUUCUCCCCGACUGUGCACUGUUGUGACAGUUCGUCGUUUCGAGACACCACGUGAUGAUCGGGUGUGAUAGACUCAACGUUCACAUACAACAGGUGCAAAACAGUUGCACACGCGGAACACUCGGGUUAAGAUUGACAAGCCUAGCAUGUGCAGACAUGGCCUUAGAACACAUGAGACCGAAAGGUCGAGCAUGAAUCGUAUAGUUGAUAUGAUUAGCAUAGAGAUGCUUACCACUAAAACUAUUCUCGACUCACGUGAAGAUAGGACUUGAGAUAGUGGAUUUGGAUCAUGUACCACUCAAAUGACUAGAGAGAUGUACUUUUUGAGUGGGAGUUCUUAAGUAAUAUGAUUAAUUGAACUAAUUGUCAUAAACAUAGUCUAAUGGUCUUUGAGAAUUACGAUGUAGCUUGCACUAUAGCUCUACUAUUUUUAUAUGUUCCUAGAGAAAAUUUAGUUGAAAGUUGAUAGUAGCAAACUUUGCGGACUGAGUCUGUAAAACUGAGGAUUGUCCUCGUUGCUGCGCAGAAGGCUUAUGUUCUUAAUGCACCACUCGGUGUACUGCACCUCGAGCGUCGUCUGUGGAUGUUGUGAACAUCCGACAUACACGUUUCUGAUGACUACGCGAUAGUUCAAUGCAAAAUACUUAAUGGCUUAGAAGCAAGGCACCGAAGACGUUUUGAAAUGUUACGGAACAUAAGAGAUGUUCUAAAGAGAUGAAAUUGUGAUUUCAUGCUUGUACCCUUGUUAAGAGGUAUGAGACCUCAGACAAGAUUCUUGGUCCACGAAGUAAAGGAGAAAAGCUCAAUCGUUGAGCGUGUGCUCAGAUUGUCUGAGUACGACAAUCGCUUGAAUCAAGUGGGAGUUAAUCUUCCAGAUGAGAUAGUGAUGGUUCUCCAAAGUCACUGCCACCAAGCUGUGAGAGCUUCGUGAUGAACUAUAACAUAUCAAGGAUAGAUACAAUGAUCCUUGAGUGAUUUGCGAUGUUUGACACUGCGAAAGUAGAAAUCAAGAAGGAGCAUCAAUAGUUGAUGGUUAGUAAAACCACUAAGUUUGAAGAAAGGCAAGGGCUAGAAGGGAUACUUUGUGAAACGGCAAAACAGUUGCUGCACUAAUGGAGAGACCCAAGAUUAAACCCAAACCCGAGACUAAGUGCUUCUGUUAUGAGGGGAACGGUCACUGAGGCGGAGCUACCCUAGAUGCGUGGUAGAUAAGAAGGCUGGCUAAGUCGAAAGAAGUAUAUUUGAUAUACAUGAUGUUGAUGUGUACUUUACUAGUACUCCUAGUAGCGCGAGGGUAUUGGAUACCGGUUCGGUUGCUAAGUGAUUAGUAACACGAAAUGAAAGCUACGGAAUAAACGGAGACUAGCUAAAGACGAGGUGACGAUACGUGUUGGAAGUGUUUCCAAGGUUGAUAUGAUCAAACAUCGCACGCUCCCUCUACCAUCGGGAUUGGUGUUAAACCUAAAUAAUUGUUAUUUGGUGCUUGCGUUAAGCAUGAACAUGAUUGGAUCGUGUUUAUUGCAAUACGAUUAUUCAUUUAAAGAGAAUAAUGGUUACUCUAUUUUCUUGAAUAAUCACCUUCAAUGGUUUAUUGAAUCUCGAUCGUAGUGUUACACAUGUUCAUGAUAUUGGUGCCAAAAGAUACAAGGUAAUGAUGAUAGUACCACUUACUUGUUGCACUGUCGCUUGAGUCAUGUUGGUAUAAAUUGCAUGAAGAGGCUCCAUGCUGAUGGAUCUUUAUACUCACUUGAUUUUGAAUCACUUGUGAAAUGCAAAUCAUACCACAUGAGCAAGGCCUUAUUUUCAUUGAGAUUAAACUAGAUAGUAACUUGUUGGAAGUAAUACAUUUUGAUGUAUGCAGUACAAUGGGUGCUGAGGCACGCAGUGGAUAUCAUUACGUUCUUACUUCAAUGACGAUUUGAGUAGAUACAGGAGUAUUUACUUGAUGAAUCACAAGUCUGAAAUAUUGAAAAAGUUCAAUUCUGUUUCAGAGUGAAGUUCGUCGUAACAAGAGGAUAAACUGUCUACGAUAUGAUCAUAGAGAUGAAUAUCUGAGUUGCGAGUUUUGUUACACAGUUAAGACAAUGUGGAAGUUGUUUCACAAUUCAUGCCACCAAGAACACCAUGGUGUGAUGGUGUCAUAGCUGCAACCUAUUUGAUAUGGUGUAUACUAUGAUGUUUCUUAUCGGGUUAACACUAUCAUUUAUGGGUUAUGCAUUAGAGACAACCGCAUUCACUUUAAAUAGGGCACCACGUAAUUUUGUUGAGAUGACACAGUAUAGACGGAGGUUUAGAGAAAUCUAAGCUGUCGUUUCUUGAAAGUUUAGGGUUGCGACGCUUAUAUGAAAAAGUUUCAGUCUGAUAAGCUCGAACCCAAAGCGGAUGAAUGCAUCUUCAUAGGAUGUCCAAAACAGUUGGGAGCAUCUCCUAUCUCAGAUCCGGAAGCAAAGUGUUUGUUUCUAGAAAACGGGUCCUUUCUCGAGGAAAGGUUUCUCUUGAAAGAAUUGAGUGGGAGGGUGGUAGAAAUUGAUGAGGUUAUUGAACCAUCACUUCAACAAAGUGUGUAGCAGGGCAGAGGAAGUUGUUCCUAUGGCGCCUACACCAAUUGAAGUGGAAGCUGAUGAUGGUGAUCAUUAAGCAUUGGAUCAAGUUACUACAAACCUCGUAGGUCGACAAGGUCGCAUACAACUACAGAGUGGUACACCCUGUCUUGGAGGUCAUGUUGUUGAACAACGAUGAACCUACGAGUUAUGGAGAAGCAAUGGUGGGCCCGGAUUCCGACAAAUGGCUGGAGGCCAUGAAAUCCGAGAGAGAAUCCAUGUGUAAGAACAAAGUAUAGACUUUGGAAGAACUACUUGGUGGUCAUAGGACUAUUAAGUAAAGAUGGAUAUUUAUAAGGAAGACAAACGUUGAUGGUGAAACGUCACCAUUGAGAAAAGCUCGACUUGUCGGAAGGAUGUUUUCUGACAAGUUCAAAGAGUUGAGUAUGAUGAGACUUUCUCACUCAUAGCGAUGCUAAAGGUCUGUUGGAAUUAUGUUAGCAGCUGCUGCAUUAUUUAUGAAAUAUUGCACAUAGGAUGUCAAAACAUUGUUUUCCUCGACGGAAAGGUUUUAUGCGAUACAACCGGAAAGUUUUGUCGAUCCUAAGGAUGCUAACAAGUAUGCAAGCUCCAGCGAUCCUUCUAUGGACUGGUGCAAGCAUCUCGGUGUUGGAAUAUAUGCUUUGAUGAGUUGAUCAAAGCUUUUGGUUUUAUACAAGGUUUGUGAGAAACUUGUAUUUCCAAAGAAGUGAGUGGGAGCACUAUAGAAUUUCUGAUAAGUAUAUGUGGUUGACAUAUUGUGGAUCAUAAGUAAUGUAGAAUUUCUGUAAAGCAUAAAAGGUUGUUUGAAAGGAGUUUUUCAAAGGAAUAACUGGAUUGCGCUACCUGAACGUUGAGCAUCAAGAUCUAUGGAGAUAGAUCGAAAUGCUUAAUAGAAGUUUCAACAAGAUGCAUGCCUUGACAAGUUUUUGAAAGAGUUCAAAAUAGAUCAGCAAAGAAGGAGUUCUUGGUUGUGUUGUAAGGUGUGAAUUUGAGUAAGACUCAAAACCCGACCCCGGCAGAAUAAAGAGAAUAGACGAAGGUCGUCUUCUAUGCCUUAGCCGUAGAAUCUGAAGUAUGCCAUGCUGAUUACCGCACCUGAUGUGUGCCUUGCCUCAAGUCUGUUGAGAGGUACAGAGAGUGAUCCAUGAUUGAAUCACUAGCAGCGGUCAAAGUUAUCCUUAGUAACUAAUGGACUAAGGAAUUUUUCUCGAUUAUGGAGGUGGUUAAAGAGUUCGUCGUAAAGGGUUAUGUCGAUGCAAGCUUUGACACUAAUCUGAAUAACUAUGAGUAGUGAAACGGAUUCGUAUGGUAGAGUAGAUAUUUGGAAUAUUUCCGAAUAGCACUUAGUAGCAGUAUCUAUAAGAUGACAUAAAUAUUUGUAAAGCUCACUCGGAUCUGAAAGGGUUCAGAACCGUCGACUAAAACCUCUCUCACAAGCAAGACCUGAUCAAACCCGAGAACUGUAAGGGUGUUGGAUUCGUUAGAAUCACAUAGUGAUGUGGACUAGAUUAUUGACUCUAGUGCAAGUGGGAGACUCUUGGAAAUAUGCCCUAGAGGCAAUAAUAAAUUAGUUAUUAUUAUAUUUCUUUGUUCAUGAUAAUCGUUUAUUAUCCAUGUUAUAAUUGUAUUGAUUGGAAACACAAUACAUGUGUGGAUACAUAGACACAACACUGUCCCUAGUAAGCCUCUAGUUGACUAGCUCGUUGAUCAAAGAUGGUCAAGGUUUCCUGACCAUAGGCAAGUGUUGUCACUUGAUAACGGGAUCACAUCAUUAGGAGAAUCAUGUGAUGGACUAGUCCCAAACUAAUGAACGUAGUAUGUUGAUCGUGUCAUUUUGUUGCUACUGUUUUUCUGCGUGUCAAGUAUUUAUUCCUAUGACCAUGAGAUCAUAUAACUCACUGGCACCGGAGGAAUACCUUGUGUGUAUCAAACGUCACAACGUAACUGGGUGACUAUAAAGAUGCUCUACAGGUAUCUCCAAAGGUGUCCGUUGAGUUAGUAUGGAUCAAUACUGGGAUUUGUCACUAAGUGUGACGGAGAGGUAUCUCGGGGCCCACUCGGUAAUACAACAUCACACACAAGCCUUGCAAGCAAUGUGAUUUAGUGUAUGUCACGGGAUCUUGUAUUGCGGAAUGAGUAAAGAGACUUGCCAGUAAACGAGAUUGAAAUAGGUAUGUCGAUACUGACGAUCGAAUCUCGGGCAAGUAACAUACCGAAGGACAAAGGGAAUGACAUACGGGAUUAUAUGAAUCCUUGACACUGAGGUUCAACCGAUAAGAUCUUCGAAGAAUAUGUAGGAUCCAAUAUGGGCAUCCAGGUCCCUCUAUUGGAUAUUGACCGACGAGUCUAUCGGGUCAUGUCUACAUAGUUCUCGAACCCCCAGGGUCUGCACACUUAAGGUUUGACAAUGUUUUAUGCGUAUUUGAGUUAUAUGGUCGGUUACCGAAUGUUGUUCGGAGUCCCGGAUGGGAUCACGGACGUCACGAUGGUUUCCGGAAUGGUCCGAAAAUGAAGAUUGAUAUAUAGGUUUGUCUCAUUUGGUUACCGAAGGUUUUCAGGCAUUACCGGCAUCGUACCGGGAGUGACUAAUCGGUUCCGGGAAUUUAUCGGGAGGGGGGGAACCCACCCGGGAGUGGCCCAAGGCCUUAGAGGUGACACACCAGCCCUUAGUGGCAUGGUGGGACAGACAAGAAAGGCCCAUGGCGCCACCAAGGAAAAACCAAAGAGAAAAACAAAAAAAAGGAAGUGGGAAGGUGGAGAAGGAGUUCACUUUCCAAUCCUAGUUGCACUAGGAUUGGAGGGGGAGGACUUCUCCCCUUGGUUCGGCCGACCCCUUGGGGCUCCCUUGAGCCUCAAGGCAAGGUCCCUCCCCUCCCUCCUAUAUAUACUGGGGUAUUAGGGCUGAUUUGAGACAACUUUGCCACGGCAGCCCGACCACAUACCUCCACGUUUUUCCUCCAGAUCGUAUUUUUGCGGAGCUCGGGCGGAGCCCUCCUGGGAUAGAUCACCACCAACCUCCCGAGCGCCGUCACCCUCCAUAGAACUCAUCUACCUCUCCGUCUCUCUUGCUGGAUCAAGAAGUCCGAGAUCAUCGCCGCGUUGUACGUGUGCUGGACGCGGAGGUGCCGUCCGUUCGGCACUAGAUCGGGAAGGAUCAUGAUGAGAUCGCGGGACGGAUCGCGAUGAAGUUCGCAGGACGGAUCGUGAUGAGAUCGUGGGAUGGAGUGUGCGACUACGAUGAUUUGAAUCACGCAAGCUGUUCCACUACAUCGUCCGCGUUUCUUAACGCUUACCGCUGUGCGAUCUACAAGGGUACGUAGAUCGGAAAUCUCCUCUCGUAGAUGAACAUCACCAUGAUAGGUAUUGCGUGUGCGUAGGAAAUUUUUUGUUUCCCAUGCGACGUUCCCCAACACGACUGGCUACAUGGGAUGGACGACAGGCGCCCGGGCGAUGGGGUUGGAGACCCUCGUGCUAGGGAACCUGCGCGCGUGGCCCCUUCAGGCUGCAGAGGCAUGCCUUUGUCGGGAGCCAGGAGGAAGCACGACGGAGACGACCGGGAAGGCCACAAGAAGUCGUGGAAGGAAGUGCUGCUGGGGAGGAACCGCGGCAAGGAGGCAGCUGCGGCCAACUCCUCCUCGGAGUGCCACGGGAGUGGGACGCCAACUUCCAAGCACCGGCAAGGGGGACCGAGGGCACGCGCAACCGCUGCGNNNNNNNNNNNNNNNNNNNNNNNNNNNNNNNNNNNNNNNNNNNNNNNNNGGGGGGGGGGAGGGGCACCAAGCCUAUGGCGCAGGUGCCGGGUCACCACAAUGAGCCAAUGGGCAGGCCACCGGCAAGGCAGCCUAAGGCGGUGGCCAACAAUCUCCACGCACUGCCGCGCCCCCUUCAAUCUGGUGUGCCACGCCACGUGACCCCGGACCCUGUGGUAGAGUUCUUCGAUGGUGAAGAAGGGGAUGUGCCUGCCCCGAAGCAUAUCGACCCGCACGCCCUCACCCUUGAUGUAGCGGCCACGGGCAAAUCUAGCAAGCCUCUGAGCUUCACCGAUGAUGAGGACGCGGGAAGCGGAGGAGAGCACACGAUGGACCUGGGACCGGCGCUAUCCCUGGCAAGGCAUACCCCUGGGGUGGCAACCACCCAUUCCCUGCAACUGGGGACUGUUACUGGCCAGGUUUGCCUGCUGCAGAUCGGGGACUCGAGCGGCUCCGGCUUGCGUUCGCAAUACGGGCAACCGAAGGAUGCAAUUAUCGUCAGGGAGACGGGCGACGACCACGAGGAGGAGGAGCAAGGCGCUGCUACCGACCCAGCAUAUCUCUUCAUCGAUGUAUCCUCGUCCGUCCUAGGGGAAGCACCACCGCGCAGCAAGACCCCAAUGAGGAGGCAAUUCCGAUACGGUCCAUCUCUCAAGCCUUUGGAAAAGUUACCAUAUGAGAGGACCACGCAGGAAAACGAGGACAUAUGCCGUGCCCAAUUGAGGGAGCAUUUUGCAAACAAAACUCCACCUCUGAAGGAGAAGCUAGAUCCGGUGAAAGUGAACGGCACUAUCAAUGCCCUGAAGCGACCACCACCGCCUCCGCCGGAUUCCAACUAUGACCGCACAUUCUUAAAAAGACAUAUGAAGCAGCGCGGUGGUCGGGAAGUACUUCCAGUGAUGCAAGGUUAGCAAAACGAAGAAGUGGGAAAACAAUUCCCCAGCUCGGCGAACAGGAGAAGCAAUUGUGCCCUCCGCUCAAGGUGUCUAGCGAUAUCGUCGUUAAUCCUCCGGGGAUGGUGCCUGGUACCAAUCCUUGUGAUUACUUGGGGGAUGAUGUAAUUUUUCAAACGGAUGAGGUAACAGAACAAUAUAAAUACGUGCACGGGAACCCUCUCGUCCCCCCUGAUCAUCCACCUCUAACAACAAUGAUGCACAAAUUGCAUGAGUGGUACAUGAAAACGUGCAGGGAGUCUGGGAGAGAUACUAUUUAUGUGGCAGUGAAAUCAGAGCACGAAUUCAUUGGACUUCCUGUGAUGCCUAUUGAGGAGUUAUUUCAGUUAUACAAUCAACUGGCCCUCGACAAACAACUCAUGACUUCCUACUUUCUGUAAGUAUUAUUUCUAUAGUUAAGUCUCUAGCUCAGCUCGUUCAUUGCAUGUAUAUAUAUUUAUCCUCACUAUAUUAUGCAGAUUGAAGAUCGUCGAAUGCAAAAAAGCAGGAAUCUUCGACGUUGGGUUCAUUAGCUCAGAUGCCGUAAAUGAAUGGUCGGUACGAAACCCAAUCAUAGAGGCCGAGAAGAACUUGCUAAAGUCGUUACUUAUACAUCAAAACAAGAAAGAAAUACUCCUUCCUUACAACUUCAAGUCAGUGUUGUUGUCUUCUCUGUAUACUCGGUUUCGCUUACUCGAGGUUAAGUAAUGUAAUUGAUGAGUUAUAUAUGCAUGCGCAGUUUUCACUUUAUUCUGCUAUCCAUUAAGCUUGACGAGACAUUAGUAACUGUCUUUGACUCGAGAUGUAAAAAUCCUGAGGAUUAUGCGGACAUGACUGCAAUGCUCAAGAAGUAAGUUCAGUCAAUACCGGGACCAUAUCGGCAUACAACUUUCGUUAAUUUUCUAAUAUCAAGUAAUCAUUUUCUUGGUUUGGCAGGGUUUGGAACAAGUUCACCAAAAAGGCUCCCGAUCUAAACAAGGAGUUACCAUUUACGCACCCCAACGUAAGUAGUACUAGCUAUGUCUGCGCAUCUCUAAUUGAUUCAAAUUUUCAUCAAUAUAUCAUUACCAUGCUUGCUUAUCAAUUUGAUUGAACUCUAUUCUCGUAAAGUACAUGUAUGAUCUUGUCAAACCUUUGGGGAAAAAUUAAUAAGAAUGACUGCAUGCAUCGAUUGAUGGAGAGGCCGAGGGUUGAACGUCCUUUUCUAAAAAAUUCUCCAAGAAAAUAAAUAAAUUCAAGUGUGACAAGCACGAAACCAGAAGUGCAGGAAUCAUCAUCUUAAGUCAAGCCAAGAAUCGAUCAUGUUUUCAUGGUCAUCCCAAAAGAAAUUCAUUCAACAUGCUUACAAAUGUAUACAAUAAUACAAAAGCAACAUCACAGAUGAAGAUAUCCGCAGUUCUUCAUUGCCUAGAGAUCUGCUCAAGCGCCUCGAGAACCACCUCCAUUGAGGGUCUGCUCCCAGGCUCGCUGUCCAAUCAGCUCAGCGCCACAUGCACCA